Molecule: long non-coding RNA, 107820 nt
Filed under: Vitis vinifera (wine grape)
Lineage: Eukaryota; Viridiplantae; Streptophyta; Magnoliopsida; Vitales; Vitaceae
Description: long non-coding RNA (VVIN_LNC001392)
Source: RNAcentral
GGAGGUUUACCAAUUGGGGUUGGUGGCUUGUGUUCUGGGAGUGGUUUCUCUCCCUUGGGAGGUUUAGUGGGUGACUUGUGUUCUGGAGGUGGCUUCUCCACCGAAGGCUUGUGCUCCGGUGGUGGCUUUUUGGUUGGAGGGGGCUUGGGGUAAUCAGCAAGAGAUGGGGUGGUGAGAACCACCAGUCCAAGGAACAACACUAGCAAGUAUGUGGGAGACAUUUUUGAGUUUGGGCUGAUCAGAUGAUGCAAAACUAAAGCAUUACGUGACCUUUUAUAGCAAGUAGCUCCCAAUACCUACUUGACACGUGUUACUGUGACCCAUAAAUAUUAUGGGGUCUAUUUGUGCCCUACCGGGUUGAAAACUUGGACAAUUGGGCAAGGACCCGCCUGACUAUGGAGGACUACUGAGGUGUGAUCACAGCUUUAGGAUUUUUCUUCCUCUGCAGCCGUCUUGCCGUUGGCAUGAUUUUCUUAAUCUCAAAUAAAGGCAUAGUUAUAGAGUUGUUUAAUCUCUAAAUGGGAUUUUAUAUAUCUUCAGAUAGCCAUUAAUACAUUUGAUGAAGAAAGAAAGACAAGUGCAUACAACAUGUAUACGACUAGCUUUCAUGGAGUUCAUUUAUGAUCAGUUUUCCUGUACAUGUAAACCAAGAUCAUAUAUGUUUUUGUUCCACAACAAUUUUGGAAUCUUGUUUAUCCGUUUUUAUCAUUAUAAUGUCACAUAGGCUGCCAACUUGGGCGCUAAAUUAAAGAUCCAGUUGGGCAAGUUCGUUUCAGAAUUUCAAUGGUGGAUUCAGGAAUUGUUUUAUAAGAUAUGCAAAAUAGUAGAGGGAUGAAUAGUGUUUCAUUAAGAAAAGAGCCCUGUAAAAAUAUUGUUUAAAGGUGCCAUAGAAACUAUAAUCAAUAAAUAACUUUUUUUCCCCAUGGGUGGUGUUUCUUGUGGGGAUCAGUGACUGGUUUGAGUCAACGCCGUGUCUCUUUAGUCCAGAAAUCAACUAUUUUAUGCAUUGAAUACAUCAACAAAGAAAAUAUGAAAGCCAAAUGACACCUCCCCCGCAAAAACUAAACCCUGGUUGCUAACUUUCUAUGUUUCAGUUCCAUUCACACAAGAAUAUUAGUUCAAGUUUGAGAAAAAUGGCGACUUACCUAGUGAUAACUCGGUCUUGGUUUGCGAUUUGACUUUAACGUCAUGGGUUGAAGCCUCCUACAAUCAUCGUGUAUGCUAGUUCAAAGCUCGUGGAAGAAGUUAUACAGGGAGGGAGAAACCUCCACAGCAAGCUCCAAAAGAGAAUUAUCACAUUGAAAGCUCCAGUUGAACACUGGGUGAAAGCCAUAACAAGAUUGGUUUUCUAUCGCUCUUUUAAGUAAUGGAAGAUUAUUAUCUCUGCUUGUCACUACAACCGUGCAUGCUGCUAGAUCUUUCUAGACACUUCAAACAGUGAAACCAAGUAUGAUUCUUUUUCUCUUGAGUGGGUCCACUUGCAUGCCAAUGAACGAGUUGAAAAGUUGGACAAUUGGCCACAGCGCGCACUUACCUUCUGGAACCGAAGGUCAGUGAAGUGGGGUUCCUUUUGGCCCCUUGUGUUUCUGUUCCAACCUACUCCAGGAACCGAAGUUCAGUGAAGUGGGGCUACUUUUGGCCUCUUGUGUUUCUGUUCCAACCAAACAAAAAUGGGAGGGAAAAAUAGCAUUAUGCUUGUGCUAAAGAUCAACGCAUGAUAGCUGAAUAAGGGAGAAAAAGGCAUUGCUAUCUCAAUUUCAUAAACUUGAUAAGUAGUGACAUUAAUAGUCUUCCUCAUAGAUGGAUACAUGGUUUUAUUUUAUUUAUUUAUUUUUAUUUUUUUGUUUUAUGUCAAUGCUAAUGAAUGAAGUGCAUUAGCUUGUUUUGUGACUAGAACUACAAAUGUCCAAAUUGGAGCUUCUCCAAUAUAUUUCUCAGUGAGUUAUUGAUUAGAACUCUUGGAUUGAGUUCCAAGAUUUGAAUCAGACCCCUCUAGCAGCUUCAGGGGUACGUAGCAACCUAUAGCAUAUUAAUGAAGACUUAGGAUUUAGACUUAGGAAUACAAAUUAAUAUGUACCUCAUGCUCUGACUAGCUUCCCUGCGUAUGCACAAAAUGGAGAUGACUCCCAAAAAAAUAGCAGAAUCGCCUUAGUAUGUUUUUGUGGUUAAGAUGAUUCUCCACUUUAUAUAUCCACAUUGGUUCAUUAUGCAAAUUAAUCAACUAAGCUAUUUUUAUUUUUUCUUAAAUGUGAAAUAGGAGCUCCAAAUUAACCUAACCAUUGGCCUGAUUGAAUUGAUUUCACUUGCAUAAUGUUAUAGUAGAAGUCCGUAAUUUGAAUUUUAUUUUUGCAAAAGGUAACGUAAAUGAAGCAUUGUAAUUAAAUUUAUUUGUAAUUACAAACUAAUUUUAUUUUAUUAAGAAUUAAUUUAAUUACUCAUUUAAAAUAAAAAUCAGUUAUACUUUUACCAAGAUGAUAAUAUUCAUAUUUUUCUAGUUAACAUAUAUAAAAUAGUACACUUUUUCAUAUAAAAAAAUAAUUUAUGAUUUAUUAUAAUGUUACUAUUCACAUUUUACUAAAUUGAUGGUACAUGAUAGUGAGAGAAGGGGGUGUCACACUCAGCUAAAGUUCUUUUCAAAAUAUUGCAUGGUGUUUAAUUUUAUGUGUCGGCGCGCGUGUGAAUGGAACCUGCAAAAGUCCAAAUUGGCGUUUCUCCAUUUUCCACAUAGGAUGGUGACGUUAAUAGACAAAGAUACAAUAUCUGUAGACAUUGCUUAAAAAUCGAUGUGAAGUAUUAGAAAUUACAGGGCACUGUACUGGGGGAGCGGCUGCCCCGCCAAAGGAGGAAGAAUGUAGCAAUUUCUUCUGUUAGCCAGGCCUUAGGAUUUAUGCAUGGGAUGCCUAAUAACAAACAGAGAAAAUAUACUUUUGGGGAAGGUAUCCAACAACAGACACCAUCAUUCAGAUGGUGGGAAGGUAUCCAACAGAUGCCAUCAUUCAGAUGGUAACAUAUAUAUACAUUUAUUAGUGAGUUUUUUUAAUACCUAUAAAAAAAAAUAUACACUUUGAUAUUGUGGCUGAAUCCAUUACAUACUCAACUAACCUUGCUCAUUAGGGAUUUGACUUAACAAGGGCAACGUUGCAGUACAAGCUCAAAACUUUAUGCAGGUGACAUUACAUUUGGUAAAGAAGAGGAAAAUAACGAAAGCCAUCCAUAAAAGCAAAAUUCCACAUGGGAUGAAAUUCACAAGCUUCAUUUACGAUAGAGUCGCAUCCAGGCAAUUAAUUCCACAUUAGACCGCCUGUUGACAUGUGUACCAAUCUUUUUUCAAAAAAUAUUUAUAAAUAAUUGAUACUCACAAAAAUAAUUUAAUAUUUAUAAAGGAUAAAAAAAUAUUUUCAAAUCUAUAACAAUUUAUAAAAUAUUAAUAAAAAAUUAUCUCUUAAACUUAGUAUAGUUUUAUCAGAUUAAACUUUUAUUUUGAACAAAUAAUUUUAAUCUAAGUUUUAAAUUCUAAAAUUAUUUCCUUAAAAUAAAAUUUUAAAAUUCAACACUUCAAUUGAAAUUGUCUUUUUAAAAAAUAUCUUCUUAUUUUAAUCCUUAUAAACUAUAGUUGAUUGAAAAUACUAUUGAAGUUCUCUCUUAAAAAAAAGUCUUAUUUUAAUCUUCAUAAAUUGCCCUUGAUUUGAAAAUAAAUUUUCAGUUAUCAUAUUUUAAAUAAUAUCUAUAUUUAAAAUACUCUAUUUAAAAAAAAAUGAACUAAUUUUAAUUAUAUUAUAUUUUAUUUUUUUAUAUAUUUUUAAUGAUAAACCAAACAUAGAAAAUCAUUUUUCUAAAUAUUUUAAAAUUUCUAAGCAACCAAACAUAAUCUUCAAAAUAAAAGGAAAAUAAGGAGGGACAUUUGAGAAAUGGCGAUUAAAAAAAAGUGUACAAAAGCUCAAUUAAUUUUCUUCUAGUCUUUUAUAUAAAAAAGUAAAGGAAUUGAAAAGUAUUGAUAUGUAAAUUAAUAUUUGGAUUUUAAUAGUAUUUUAUUUGUCUUUCUCUAUCUCAUGUAAAAGAGAAUUUAAGAUAUUUCCUAAAGCAAAGCAUUAGUUAUCUGCAAUCAGUGGUGAUCAUGCCCCAUGUCAAUUUCGGACCCAUAUCUUAAAACUGUAUAAUUUGCAUUCAAACAUUACUGAUUUCUCAGAUGUUUCAUACUCCACAGAAGAGCAUUGUUUGUGAAAGCAUGCAUUUAUGUUGGAUUUUGGAUGAUGUGGGAACUGGGGCAAGGAUCAUAUGGAAGAGUGGUCGAUUUUGUUCUGUACUUUAACAUUUGAAAUAGGAGAAGCUCGGGCAUUUGUGGGGCUUAAUUGAUUUUGAAGCCUGAAAUUGCGUUUCUGUCAUUUUGUAAAAAAUAUGGCAGAUUCCAUGCUCUCAUAUGUUUGGUCUGUGGCCAUGUAUAGAUGCCCCUUAGUGACCAGUUUGUAACUGUCAAUCAUAGUGUUUUGACUCUGGCUCAACAACAUCAGCCAUUGACGGAUUUUCAUACUUGCAAAUCAAAUAGUCUUCUUCCUCCCUUAGGAAUUUCGGUUUAAAUGUUAUUAAGCAUACAUUUGGCUGACAAUUAUUAACCACUUCAUGAUAUGGUUUCUUACCCUUAAUCAAUGGUUUCUAAGUGAAUAUAUGCAGAAGGAAAUCUGAACUGUAGACAGCAGUAUUGAUAACUCUCAAUAUUCUUUAUAUAAGAGAAUAAACAACGUCAUAGUGAUCGUCGCCUACAAGAAAGGUACAUUUCCCAACAAGAUGUAGUUGUGACUGGUACAUGGACGCAAUUAACUCGUACAAAAGAAUAAGACCAGUGCACGGCAGCUCUUAUUUUACAUGCUAAUUAUGCUAACCAAAGUCACUCAGUUGGGAUGGGAGGGAGAUGGAGGUUUGUGCGGUGGCUUGUGGGGCGGAGUUGGUGGCUUCUUUUCAGGAGCUUGUGGCUUUUUCGGAGCUGAAGGAGGCUCAAUCUUAUGAGGCGGCUUGUACGAGUCUUCUUUACUCUCGACAGGAGGGUGGCCAGGGUUGUGACCAUAAUGUGGUGGCUUCUCUCCCUUAGGUGGCUUGCCAACUGGGGUUGGUGGCUUGUGUUCAGGAAGUGGUUUCUCUCCCUUGGGAGGUUUACCAAUUGGGGUUGGUGGCUUGUGUUCUGGGAGUGGUUUCUCUCCCUUGGGAGGUUUAGUGGGUGACUUGUGUUCUGGAGGUGGCUUCUCCACCGGAGGCUUGUGCUCCGGUGGUGGCUUCUCCACCGGAGGCUUGUGCUCCGGUGGUGGCUUCUUGAUUGGAGGGGGCUUGGGGUAAUCAGCAAGAGAUGGGAUGGUGAGAACCACCACUCCAAGGAACAACACUAGCAAGUAUGUGGGAGACAUUUCUGAGUUUGAGCUGAUCAGAUGAUGCAAAACUAGAAGAAUUACGGGACCUUUUAUAGCAAGUAUCUCCCAAUACCCACAUGACACGUGUUACUAUGACCAUAAAUAUUAUAGGGUCCAUUUGUGCCCUACCGGGUUGAAAACUUGGACGCUUGGCCGAGGACACACCUGACUAUGGAGGACUAUUGACGUGUGAUCACAGCUUUUGGAUUUUUCUUCCUGUGCAGCUGUCUAGCGGUUGGCAUUAUUUUCUUAAUCUUAAAUAAAGGCAUAGUUAUAGAGUUGUUUAAUCUCUAAAUGGGAUUUUAUAUAUCUUCAGAUAGCCAUUAAUAUAUUUGAUGAAGAAAGACAAGUGCAUACAACAUGUAUACGGCUUGCUUCAAUCGAGUACAUUUAUGAUCAGUUUUCCUGUGCAAGUAAACCAGUUUUUUGUUCCACAACUAUUUUGGAAUCUUGUUUAUCAGUUUCUAUCAUUAUAAUGUCACAUAGGCUGCAAACUUGGGCACCCAAAGAUCUAGGUGGGCAAAUUUGUUUCAGACUUUCAAUGGUGGAUUCAGUAAUUGUUAAAAGGUGUUUCUUCAUUAAGGAAAGAGUCCGGUAAAAAUAUUGUUAAAAGGUGUCAUAGAAACUAUAAUAAAUAAAUAACUUCUUUUCCCCAUGGGUGGUGUUUCUUCUGGGGAUCAGUGACUGGUUAGGGUCACCCAAAAUGAGUCCAGAUUAAAAUUGGUUCGAGUCAAAGCAGUCUCUUUUGUCCAGAAAUCAACUAUUUUGCGCAUUGAAUGAAUCGAUAAAGAAAAAAUGAAAGCCAAAUCACACCUCCCCUGCAAAACCUAAACCCCGGUUGCUAACUUUCUAUGUUUCAGUCCUAUUCAUAUAGGAAUAUUGGUUCAAGUUUGAGAAAAAUGGCAACUUACCUAGGGUUUACUUGGUUUUGGUUUGCGACUAUUUACGCAACCAACCAUGAGUUUGACUUUAACGUCAUGGGUUGAAGCCUCCUACAAUCAUGUAUGAUAGUUCAAAGCUCGUGGAAGAAAUUAUACAGGAAGGAAGAAACCUCCAAAGCUAGCUCCAAAAGAGAAUUAUCACAUCGAUAGCUCCAGAGAUUCCCAAGGGAACUGAAUCAAAGACAAGUUCCUCACUUUUUCUUCUUUUGAGGCCAAAUAUGAACCAAGGAUCACACGACCUCAUUCAACUUCAUAAGUUUGAUUUCAUGCAGUUGAACACUGGGUGAAGGCCAUGACAAGAAUUGAUUAAAAAAUUCUACCACUCUUUUAAGUAAUGGAAGAUUAUUAUCUCUGAUUGGCACCACAACAGCACAUGCUGCUAGAUCUUUCUAGACACUCCAUGCAAUGAAAGCACAAUGGAUCUUGUAAUGAUAGAAACUAAGCCAUGCUACAGUACUAGAUGAGGGGGUAAAACUAGUAGACAUCUUUCUAGACACUCCAUGCAAUGAAAGCACAAUGGAUCUUGUAAUGAUAGAAACUAAGCCAUGCUACAGUACUAGAUGAGGUGGUAAAACUAGUAGACAUGGCUGGCAGUUGAUUACUACUCAAAAAGUACUCUUUUAUAGCUUGAAACUAACUGUUUUAAACACUUUUGAGUAGUAGUUAAUACCUUUUAACUUAAUUGGCACAUUAAGGAACCUAGCAAGGGUUACUAAUCAACAUUUGGCAAGUUUUGAUGUUUUUGGUAGCUAUUUGAUCAUUGAAACAAGCCAAGAAUGAGGGGGAAUUUUGUGAAGUCCAUGGCAAUGCAAGUUAAAGCUCAAAUACAUGAAGAAUCCAAGCUUUGGAGCACUUCAUAGCCCUUUGCCAAGCCAAUCAAAGAUGCAAGGAAGAAAACCAAAGGAAGAAAUCCAACAAUCAGCAUUUUGGCAUGGCUAUGUGAAAUUUCGCACACCAUGCGAAACCACAAGAGGCAGCCAAAGAAUUUCGCAUGGUAUGCGAAAUCUUCUUGUGCACUGACUCUGUUAGAUUUUUAUCUUCAGAUAUUUUGUGUAAUUUCCUAGUUUCUCCUUGUAACCAACUUAGAUAUUUUCUUUUAUAUCUUUUUUUAUAUUUUUUAGGUAACAUCAUAUAUAAGAGGAGAGACAUAAGGAGGAUAUGGAUGUUUUUCAUAGAACACUUGUAAAUUUUUGGUAGUAAGAAAUAUACAAAGCUUUUUGCUCUGCCUUACCUUCUCAAGGGAUGAGUGGCUAGGUUUUCUUGGAGUGAGGGAAGCUAGGUGAAGGACCUGAAUGCAAAGGUGGGAGUUUUCCUUACUUUAAAUGAAAGUAGUUGUUAAACAUUAAUGGUUUUUAUUUUAAGGUUUAGCUUUAAAUCCCUGAAAAACACCUUGAAUGGCCAAUACUUGGUAAGCUUUUUAGAUUCUAUGGAUGCUUAUUGCUAGAUCCAUGGAUGUCUAUUAGUUAUCAUUUACGAGCCAUUGGAAGGUGAUUCAAGGUGAGGGUCUUUAGUGUUUGAAGCCAUUAAUGGGAAGCAAUUACCAUUUUUUCAUGAAUCCUUUGGAUCAAAUCUUAAUUGCUAAAUAUAAAACCGGUUUCGAGAGAUAACCACCAUCCUUUAUGUUAUUAUCCCCAACGCGAGGAGAAGAUCCGAAAUCUUCCUUUUUAUCUAAGGAACCCGAUCCUAGUGACCUAAAGCUCCAAGAUACCUUUUCUUUGUAGUUAACUUCAUUUAUUGUUUUUGCUUAACUUAAAAUCAAUCUUUGCAACCACAAUUCCAUUUUCUUUAAAAGCUAAUUUUUAUAAGGAAAAACACCAUUUUAUUUCCUUCACUAAGUCAACUGUACGAUGAAAACCCAUCCCUGUGGACGAUCCUAGAGCCACUAUACUAUGUUAGCUAUGCUACCCUAGUGUGAGGUGAUUUAGGUUUUAUAAAUUUUUUUGAUAACACCCAUCUGAGCCAGAAUCAAAUGGCACGACUGAACCAGGGACGAAUCAAAUGACGCCGCUACCAAGGAUGGUGCCAAAGUACAUUGACAUGACUUUUGGUGAACACUUGUGAUCUUCACCACAAGUUUGGUGAUUUUUCUUUUACUAAUUUUUUUUAUUUUAGCUUAUCUUUUAUUUAGUUUUUAGUUAACCUUAAAUUUUUCCUAGAAUUGUAUUUCUUUUGUUUUCUUUGUUUUUGUUUCAGUGAUCUUUAGUUGUGCAUGCCCUAUUGGAUAAGAGAUAUUGAGGGAAUACUUGUGAAGAUUGAAACUCCUCGAGAAACUGAGUUAGAAGUGUGCUUGAACAUCAUGGAUGUUCCACCUGAAGACCAGAAUAGCCAACAUGGUUAAGAGGAUAAUUUCAACACAUACCGAUCCAUGAGGAACCGCAUACAUCCACCUUGUAUGAGUGCACCGUCAGGCAUAAUGCCUCCCACUGAGCAGCUAGUAAUCUGACCUCACAUUGUGCCACUCCUACCUACUUUCCAUGGGAUGGAGAGUGAGAAUCCCUACUCGCAUAUUAAGGAAUUCGAGGAGGUUUGUAAUACAUUCCAAGAAGGAGGAGCUUCAAUUGACUUGAUGAGGCUCAAGCUAUUUCCUUUCACUUUGAAGGAUAAGGCCAAGAUUUGGCUUAAUUCUUUAAGGCCAAGAAGUAUCCAAACUUGGAUUGAUUUGUAAGCCGAGUUUCUUAAGAAGUUCUUCCCUACCCAUAGGACCAAUGGUUUGAAAAGGCAAAAUUUGAACUUCUCAGUUAAAGAGAAUGAGAAAUUCUAUGAGUGUUGGGAGAGCUACAUGGAAGCUAUUAACGUUUGUCCUCACCAUGGCUUUGACACAUGGCUCUUAGUGAGCUAUUUUUACAAUGGUAUGUCUUCUUCAAUGAAGCAACUCCUAGAAACUAUGUGUGGAGGAGACUUCAUGAGUAAGAAUCCGGAGGAAGCCAUGGACUUUUUGAGUUAUGUGGCUGAAGUUUCAAGAGGAUGGGAUGAACCAAAUGCUAGAGAGGUGGGAAGAAUGAAGUCUCAACCUAAUGCUAAGGGUGAGAUGUAUGUUUUGAAUGAAGACAUUGACAUGAAAGCAAAGGUUGCAGCUAUGGCAAGGAGAUUGGAAGAGCUAGAAAUGAAGAACAUACAAAAAGUGCAAGCCAUUUCUGAGACAUCAAUGAAAGCUAUGCCUUGUUCCAUUUGUCAAUCUUAUAAGCACCUAGUGGAGGAGUGUCCUACAAUUCCAGCAGUGAGAGAGAUGUUUGGUGAUCAAGCAAAUGUUAUUGAUCAAUUCAAGCCUAAUAACAAUGCUUCAUAUGGCAACACCUACAAUUCAAAUUGGAGGAACCAUUCAAAUUUCUCUUGGAAACGAAAGCCACCUCAAUACACACAACCUACUCAAGCACCUUAGCAAUCCUCGAAUCUUGAACAAGCUAUUGUGAACCUUAGCAAGGUUGUGGGAGACUUUGUGGGAGAUCAGAAGUCCAUCAAUGCUCAACUGAAUCGGAGAAUUGACAGUGUGGAGAGUACAUUGAACAAAAGGAUGGAUGAGAUGUAAAAUGAUCUGUCUCAAAAGAUAGACAAUGUCCAAUACGUAAUCUCAAGGCUUACCAACCUCAACACAGUGUAAGAGAAAGGAAAGUUUCCUUCUCAACCUCAUCAAAAUCCUAAGGGUAUCCAUGAAGUAGAGGCUCAAGAGGGAGAAUCUUCAAAGGUGAGGGAAGUCAAAGUAGUUAUCACCUUGAAGAGUGGUAAAGAGGUUGAUCAACCCACAUCCAAGCCAAAGCAUAAUGAAGAGAGUGUAGCAGAAAAAGAAAAGAGAGGAAAAUAAAGGAAUUAGAAUAGAGAAAAAUACAAAGAAAGAUGACCAUGAGUCUAGUGUGGAUGAAGAGCCCGAGAGGAUGGUGAUCAAGGAAGAUAUGAUGAAGAAACACAUGCCUCCACCUUUCCCCUAAGCUUUGCAUGACAAAAAAAGAACCAAUAAUACAUCAGAAAAUUUUGAAGUAUUGAGGCAAGUGAAGGUCAAUAUCCCUUUGCUAGACAUGAUCAAACAAGUGUCGACAUAUGAAAAAUUCUUGAAGGACUUGUGCACUGUAAAGAGAGGGUUGAAUGUGAACAAGAAAGCUUUAUUGACCGAGCAAGUGAGUUCCAUCAUACAGUGCAAGUCCUAGUGAAGUACAAAGAUCCGGGUUGCCGUACCAUCUCAGUGAGUAUUGGAAGGACUUGUGUGGAGAAAGCUUUGUUGGACUUGGGAGCAAGUGUGAAUUUGCUAUCCUACUCUGUCUAUAAGCAGUUGGGAUUUGGAGAGUUGAAGCCAAUAUCCAUCACUCUAUCUCUAGCGGAUAGAUCAAUGAAGAUUCCAAGAGGGAUGAUCGAAGAUGUCCUGGUUCAAGUUAACAAAUUCUACUAUCCAGUAGAUUUUGUUGUUCUUGAUAUGGAUCCGGUUGUCAAAUGAACUAAUUAUGUUCCUAUCAUACUUGGAAGACCCUUCCUAGCUACAUCAAAUGCAAUCAUCAAUUGUAGGAAUGGAGUCAUGCAACUCACAUUUGUCAACAUGACAUUAGAGCUCAACAUCUUCCAUUUGUACAAGAAGCAUAUCCAUCAGGAGGAAAAAGAAGGUCUAGAGGAAGUGUGAAUGAUUGACACUUUAGUGGAAGAGCAUUGUGAUCGAGAAUGCAAAAAGAUUUAGUUGAGAAUUUUGGGGAUCUUGAUGAAAGGUUACUUGAACCCUCAGAUUUGCUUGCUACCCUACUCCAUUGGAAGAGAAGAGAAGAAAUUCUACCCUUAUUCAAUGAGGAGGAGACGCAAAGAGCUGCAAAGGAGAAACCCCCAAAACUUAUUCUUAAGCCACUACCCACAGAGUUGAAGUAUGUAUACUUGGAAGAAGACAAGAAGUGCCCUAUUGUUAUAUCUUCAACUCUUACCAUUCAUCAGGAGGAUUGUCUACUUGAAGUCCUUAGAAGAUGUAAGAAGACAAUAAGGUGGCUAAUUUCUUAUUUGAAAGGGAUCAGCCCUUUAGUCUGCACCCAUCAUAUUUACAUGGAGGAUGAAGCUAAGCUAAUUCAUCAACCUCAGAGAAGGUUGAACCCUCACAUGCAAGAGGUGGUUCGAGCUGAAGUUCUGAAGCUACUUCAGACCAGUAUUAUUUACCCCAUAUCAAAUAGCCCAUGGGUGAGUCCUACUCAAGUUGCGCCAAAGAAGUCUGGGAUCAUGGUGGUGCAAAAUGAUAAGGGAGAAGAUGUCUCUACACGCCUCACUACAGGUUGGAGGGUGUGUAUCAAUUACAGGAGGUUGAAUGCAGUGAUAAGAAAGGACCAUUUCUCAUUGCCCUUUAUUGAUCAGGUGCUUGAGAGGGUCUCUGGGCUUUUUUUUUUAUUGUUUCUUGGAUGGCUACUCCGGGUACUUUCAGAUAGAAAUUGAUGUUGAAAACCAAGAUAAGACCAUUUUCACAUGCCCAUUUGGAACCUAUGCAUAAAGGAGAAUGCCUUUCGGCUUAUGCAAUGCACCCGCAACUUUCCAAAGAUGCAUGUUAAGCAUUUUCAGUGAUAUGGUGGAGCGUAUUAUGGAAGUCUUUAUGGAUGAUAUCACCAUUUAUGGAAGUGCAUUUGAUGAAUGCUUGGUCAACUUAGAAGCUGUUCUGAACCGAUACAUUGAGAAAGACUUAGUGCUUAACUGGGAGAAGUGCCAUUUCAUGGUACACCAAGGGAUUGUCCUUGGGCACAUUAUCUCCAAGCAAGGCAUUGAAGUUGACAAAGCAAAGGUUGAACUCAUUGUUAAGUUGCCAUCCUCAACAAAUGUCAAAGGAGUAAGGCAAUUCUUUGGCCAUGUCGGGUUCUAUAGGAGGUUUAUCAAGGAUUUCUCUAAGCUUGCAAGGCCUCUUUGUGAAAUAUUGGUGAAUGAUGUUAAAUUCAUAUGGGAUGAUGGAUUUGAAAGGAGUUUUGAAGAAUUGAAGCUAUUUUUGACAACCGUACCAAUAGUGAGGGCUCCCAACUGGCAACUGCCCUUUGAAGUAAUGUGUGAUGUCAAUGAUUUUGCUAUAGGAUUUUUUCUUGGGCAAAGAGAAAAUGGAAAACCUUAUGUGAUCUACUAUGCGAGGAAGGCAUUGAAUGAGGCACAAAGAAACUACACAACCACCGAGAAAGAAUUGUUAGCUGUAGUUUUUGCCUUGGAUAAGUUUCGCGCUUACUUGGUGGGGUCCUUCAUCAUGGUUUUUACUGAUCACUUUGCUUUGAAGUAUCUGUUGACUAAGCAAGAUGCUAAAGCAAGGCUGAUUAGAUGGAUUCUCUUACUUCAAGAGUUCAAUCUCCAUAUCAAAGAUAAGAAAGGAGUGGAGAAUGUGGUAGCAGACCACAUUUCAAGGCUAGCUAUCGCACAUAAUUCCCAUGCUUUGCCCAUUAAUGACGAUUUUCUAGAGGGGUCUCUCAUGUUGGUGGAAGUUGUCCCUUGGUACGCUCACAUUGCUAACUACCUGGUCACGGGAAAAGUUCCAAGUGAGUGGAAAGCACAAGAUAAGAAGCACUUCUUUGCAAAAAUUCAUGCCUACUAUUGGGAAGAGCCAUUUCUAUUCAAGUAUUGUAUGGAUCAGAUAAUAAGGAAGUGCGUUCCUGAAGAAGAGCAACAGGGGAUCCUUAGUCAUUACCAUGAAAAUGCAUGUGGAGGCCACUUUGCUUAUCAAAAGACAGCCAUGAGGGUGUUGCAAUCGGGUUUCUGUUGGCCAUCACUUUUCAAAGAUGCCCACACCAUGUGCAAGAGUUGUGAUCGAUGCCAGAGGCUUGGGAAGUUGACACGCAGGAACAUGAUGCCUUUGAACCCCACUUUAAUAGUUGAUAUUUUUUAUGUUUGGGGCACUAACUUCAUGGGACCUUUCCCUAUGUCUUUUGGCUACUCUUACAUCUUGGUAGGAGUAGAUUAUGUUUCUAAGUGGGUUGAGGCAGUCCCAUGCAAACACAAUGACCAUAGAGUGGUUCUCAAGUUUCUUAAAGAGAAUAUCUUCUCAAGAUUUGGGGUGCCCAAAGCCAUAAUUAGUGAUGGGGGUACUCAUUUUUGCAACAAGCCUUUUGAAACUCUCCUAGCCAAGUAUGGGGUGAAGCAUAAGGUAGCUACACCUUACCACCCUCAAACUCAUGGACAAGUUGAGUUAGCAAACAGGGAGAUUAAAAACAUAUUGAUGAAGGUGGUGAACACAAACAGAAAAGAUUGGUCAGUCAAGCUUCUUAAUUCACUAUGGGCAUAUAGAACAACUUACAAGACCAUUCUCGGGAUGUCUCCUUAUCGCCUAGUUUAUGGCAAAGCAUGCCAUCUCCCUGUGGAAUUGGAAUACAAAGCUUGGUGGGCAAUCAAGAAGCUCAACAUGGAUUUGAGCAGAGCUGGGUUGAAGAGGUUCUUAGACCUUAAUGAGAUGGAGAAAUUGAGAAAUGAUGCCUACAUCAAUUCAAAAAUUGCAAAAGAAAAAUUGAAGAGGUGGCAUGAUCAGUUGAUUUCCCGCAAGGAUUUUCAAAAUGGACAAAGAGUCUUACUUUAUGACUCUAAACUCCACAUCUUUCCGGGCAAGCUGAAAUCAAGGUGGAUAGGUCAUUUUACCAUUCACCAAGUGCAUUCAAAUGGAGUAGUGGAACUACUCAACUCCAACAAUAUCGAGAACUUCAAAGUGAAUGGCCACCGUCUCAAGCCCUUUGUGGAGUCUUUUUCUCACAACAAGGAGAAAUUCAUCCUCCUUGAUCCACAUCAAGCUUAACAAGACCAAUUUUCUUGAUGGACUUAGUCUUUCUAAAGACUAUCGAGUCCAUAACUUUUUGUUUUAUUUUUUAUUUGAGAUUUUUUCGGUAUUGUUACUUGUUUUGUUUUUUAUUUUUCGUUUUAAUUUUAUUUGGUUUGAUUUAACUUAGGUUUUUGAUGAUCAAUUACAGGGGGGAUUUCAAAUAGAGGAAAAACCAAGAUAAUUCGCACACCCUACGAAAAUUUCGCAAGGCAUGCGAAAUUUAUGGCUUAUUUUGCAUGGGGUGAAAAUUUUCGUACAUCUUACGAACCAAUUUCGAACACUUUGCGAAAAUAAACCAACCCUGCGAAAUCAUUUCGAUUACUCUACGAAAUUUUCGUAGAGCAUGCGAAAAAUUUAGCACACCAAACACCAUUUCGCAUACUAUGCAAAAACCUAAGGGGUCUGCGAAACCAUUUCGCACCUCCAAAUCCAUUUCGCACAUUGUGCGAAAACCAAGAGGCGCUGUGCGAAAAUGAAAAGUCGCCCUGUCAUCCCUUUUUAAACCCCUCGAGCCCUAAAAUCUCCAUUUCGCAAGCACCCCUGUCCUUGCGAAUCCCUCAUUUUCCUCUACUACCUUGCAACCUCGUCCCUUUCCAUUUGAUAUUGUGCCCCGCGCACAUCUCAUUUCAGAGACUCGCACUCCGCGCCCCCUCAAAGCAUGGACUCGAGACCCACCUUCCAUUUCCGACGUGGCACGGACCCAAGGAGCCCUUUCUGCCCCUUCACUAAGACACACACCAAGGCAGAAAGCCUCCUUUGCUCAAGUGCCUAGUGAUUCUCCAUCUUAGGCCUCAGAGGCCUCGGAGGCCCCGUGGAUUCCACCUUCCGAGGGUAGAGCAGCCAUUGGUCCUUCCUCUUCUACUCCUUAGCGUAGAUACGAGACGAGGAGACCACCUACUACACAAGGGGCGACUACUUCGAGCCUUGAGAAUUCAGUACGAUGCCUUCCUGCCAAGAGGGUCAAGACUUCAGGUCCAAGUGAGUCAUCCAGAGCUUCAUAGCCUAAGCCUCCUGUAGAUUCCAAGGUUCCUACUGACAUAUCACCGGAGUCUAUUAUCAGAAGCCCGAUGCUCAUAGCACCGCCCAUUGAGGGCAACUCAGAUUAUAGAGCGAGAUCUUUCCACUUGGAGCUAUAUUUUGAUCAGGAGGCCAUACGACAGCAGCCUGAGCUCCGAGACUCUUAUGGCUUACUGCAGAGGUACCAUCUUGAGGAACUUAUGACUCCUCGUGAGUUUUUUUAUCCCAGAGUAGCACUAAACUUUUACCAGUCCAUGACUACUCGUGGCGUCCCGAGUCCUACCACGAUUCACUUCACCAUUGAUAGACGUCAUGGUAUCCUCAAGGCCAGACAUAUUACAGAGGCUCUACAAAUUCCUUUCGAGCUAGAGGAUCCAUCUGUUUUUCGCUAAUGGUCCCCAGUAUCUCAGAGGGACAUGGUCCGUAUUUUAUCUAGGGGAACAUCUACAGAUUCGAUCUUUCUACGGAAGGAGCUUCGACCUGGGAUGCUCCUCUUAGAUGUGGUGCUAUGCUCCAACCUCUUUCCCUUACAACAUUCGGUACAUAGGUGAUGAGCUAUUUUGGACGCUUUAUUCCGUAUAUCAGAGGGCUUCUACUUUGGCCCGCACCACUUGAUCAUGGUCUCCCUCAUCCACUUUGAGGAGAAGGUUCAUAGGAAGAAGCUUCAGAGGGUGGACACCAUUCCAUUACUAUUCCUGAGGUUACUUUGCCAGGUCUUGGAGUACAUGGGCUUUCCUACUGAGCCUCGGCUCGAGCUUUGCCGCCUUUGUCGAGAGUGAUCCACUCUCGACAAAUGGAAUUAGUUGGCGGGCUAUUCUGCACCUCCAGGAGCCCCUCCCAUGGUAGCACCUCCAAUGUCCCCACAGGCAAAGUAGGGCGAGCUCCCGGCAAAGACUGUACCACCAAUGCCCACACUUGAGGCUAUUUCUGCUGCUCUGCCUAUGACUCCUACUGUUCCACCAGUUGGUCCUUUUACAUCCGAGCCUUCCAUCACCAUCUCGGCUUCGGAGUUUCGCGCCCUUGUGCAUACCUUUCAGACACUCACCACCACACAUACUCCUCUCUUCUAGCAAAUGGUUGAGAUGUGUGCCCAUCAGGACCGGAAGACUACUAUACUCUGCCAAAUUCAGCAGCACCUAAGACUUUUGCCUCAACCUCAACCUAACCAUCCCAUAUCAUCAGAGCCUCUAGCUCCAACUGAGGAUACUAUUCCACCUGAGAACACUACCACAGUAGAGGUCCGGUUUCCACCACCUUAAGAGGCCACCACAGCUACAUCAGAGGAUGUGUCAUCUCCACUUGAGGCUCCCACUACUUGAUCAUAGGACAUAUCUUUAUCUUAUUGUAUUUACAUAUUAUAUUACUAGAGAUUUGUCCUUGUUUUGAUACUUUAUAUUCUGGGAUUGGAUGUAUUGCCUGAUGAUAUCUCAAUUGUACUUUCUCAUAUUAAUAUAUAGACAUCAAUUUUUUUUAGUAUACUUAGCAUUUUUCUAUUUCCUCUACUCAUUACUCUUUUGUUUUUUUUUACUCAUGUGGUUUCUCUUAUACAACUCAGACUCCAUUUCACUCAGGAGGUACCACUUCCUCCCUUUAUUUUCAAUUGCUCUUGAAAUAUUGAGUGCAAUGUUGAUCUUGGUUGGGGGGAGAGUUGAGGAAGGAAGUUUUGUUAAUAAUGCUAGGUUAAUUUGUUAAUUUAGUUACUUUCUGCUUAAUUUUAAAAGUUUUCACUCUACUUUCCAUGGUUAUUAAGGAAAAAUUCUCAAAAUGAAAUGGGAGAAAUCGAAUUCUUGCAUUUUUACUUGAAUCUUAGAAUUUGUAUCAUGCUUAUUAAAGUUGAUGAAUUAUUGAAACUCCUAUUGAAUUCAACCUUAUUUUUUCCACUUUAAUCUUACCACACACGGUGCACAUUAGGUUCCAGUUAUAAGAUAAAAAACUAUCUCACCCCCUAAACUUAGAAAAAUUUACACUUGGUACCUUUGACAUCGUUUUAAUAGUGUUGGGACACCUUAUAAAAGGCCAAUGAGCCUUUAAAAAAAAAAAAAAAAAAAAAAAGAGAAAGAACAAAGUAUUGCACUUGCCUUGAAACCUGAGCAAGAUCCGAGGGGUAUACAGUGAAAGUCUUUAAAACCUGGUGCCCUAAGCCUUGAUUGGUUGGGAGUCACCGACCUCAAUGCUCGUUAUAAGGGUGAAUAGGUGGAGUUUAACAUAUUGUAGGUGCUUGGGUAUUGAAUUUCAAUCUCAAAAGUCCGGGAAAAAAUCUAAGGAGUUAGUGGUCAAAAGAUCCUUAAAGCUUGAUGCCCUAAACCUUGAUUGGUUGAGAGUCAUUGAUGGAUCCCCGCUACAUGGACAUUUUAGAAAACAAUACCUUUAGCAUUGCACGCCUACAAUGAAAAAAAAAUGUGAAAUAAAAGAGGUGCGUUCUUAGCCUAUUGGAGGUUGGUCAGUUUGCUAAAGUUUGAGAAAUCUAGGUUGGGGGGAGAGAAUAGUCCGACAUACUAUAAUAAAAAACUAAUAACCUUAACACUUAGAUUUUUGUGGAAGAGUAAGGAUUGGACCUUUAGGGGUGGAAAUUCUUUUGAUGCUUAAAUUUGCAUAAUGCCUACUCUUUAUAAAUUAUGAUUAGGCAAGAGAUUUGAUGACUCUUGUUCAAAGUUGGGUUUUUCCUCUUUGAUGUUCCAUGAGAGAGUAUAAUCCUCAUCAUGCCACUUGAAAUCUUUUUGGAGUGAUUAACAUGAUUUUGUAAAUUAUUUUACUGUCUAUUUUUCUUUAUCUCUCUUUUAUUGCUAAUGGACUAGCAAUAUGUCAGUUGGGGGGAGUGAUUACUACUCAAAAAGUACUCUUUUAUAGCUUGAAACUAACUGUUUUAAACACUUUUGAGUAGGUGUUAAUACAUUUUAACUCAAUUGGCACAUUAAGGAACCUAACAAGGGUUACUAAUAAGUUUUUGGCAAGUUUUGGUGUUUUUGGUAGCUAUUUGAUCAUUGAAACAAGCCAAGAAUGAGGGAGAAUUUUGUGAAGUCCAUAGCAAUGCAAGUUAAAGCUCAAAUACAUGAAGAAUCCAAGCUUUGAAGCACUUCAUAGCCCUUUGCGAAGCCAAUCAGAGAUGCAAGGAAGAAAACCAGAGGAAAAAAUCCAACAACCAGCAUUUUCGCAUGGCUGUGCGAAAUUUUGCACACCAUGCGAAACCACAAGAAGUAGCCAAAGAAUUUUGCACACCAUGCGAAAUUUCGCAUGGUAUACGAAAUCUUCCUAUGCACCAACUCCGUUAUAUUUUUAUCUUCAGAUAUUUUGUGUAAUUUCCUAGUUUCUCCUUGUAACCAACCUAGAUAUUUUCUUUUAUAUCUUUUUUUUAUAUUUUUUAGGUAACAUCAUAUAUAGGGGGAGAGACAUAAGGAGGAUAUGGAUGUUUUUCAUAAAACACUUUUAAUUUUCUGGUAGUAAGAAAUAUACAAAGUUUUUUGCUCUGCCUUACCUUCUCAUUUUGUUUUCACCUAUCUUUCUAGCCAAACAACCUCUGAGAAUGAUUUCUCAGGGGAUGAGUAGUUAGGUUUUACGUUUCUUGGAGUGAGAGAAGCUAGGUGAAAGACCCAAAUGCUAAGGUGGGAGUUGUCCUUGCUUUAAAUGAAAGUAGUUGUUAAAUAUUAAUGGUUUUUAUUUUAAGGUUUAGCUUUAAAUCCCUUAAAAACACCUUGAAUGGCCAAUACUUGGUAAGCUUUUCGGAUUCUAUGGAUGCUUAUUGCUAGAUCCAUGGAUGUCAUUAGUUAUCAUUUAUGAGCCAUUGGAAGGUGGUUCAAGAUGAGAGUCUUUAGUGUUUGAAGCCAUUAAUGGGAAACAAUUACCAUUUUUUCAUGAAUCCUUUGGAUAAAAUCUUAAUUGCUAAAUAUAAAACUGGUUCGGGAGAUAACCAUCCUUUAUGUUAUUAUGCCCAAUGCAAGGAGAAGAUUUCGAAUCUUCUCAUUUGUCUAAGGAACCCGAUCCUAGUGACCUAAAGCUCCUAGAGACCUUUUCUUUGUAGUUAACUUCAUUUAUUGUUUUUGCUUAACUUAAAAUCAAUCUUUGCAACCACAAUUCCAUUUUCUUUAAAAGCUAAUUUUUAUAAGGAAAAGCACCAUUUUAUUUCCUUCACUAAGUCAACUGUAUGAUGAAAACCCAUCCCUGUGGACGAUCUUAGAGCCACUAUACUAUGUUAUCUAUGCUAUCCUAGUGUGAGGUGAUUUAGGUUUUAUAAAUUUUGUUGAUAACACCCGUCUGAGCCAGAAUCAAAUGGAACCACUGAACCAGGGACAAAUCAACAGCCUAUAUGGGAGGGACACAAGUUUAAUUGAUUUGCAUUUCAGCGUUAUAGAUAAGUAUGUUUUGGAAGAUUUGUUCUGGAAAUACUGCACCAAGUACGAUUCUUUUUCUCUUGAGUGAGUCCAUUUGCAUGCCAAUUAACGAGUUGAAAAGUAGGAGCACCUACCUCGUGCUCAUGGAACCGAAUGUCAGUGAAGUGGGGCUCCUUUUAGCCUCUUGUGUUUCUGUUCCAACCAAGGCGGCGUAGGGAAAAACAACAAUAUGUCUGUGCUAAAUAUCAACGCAUGAUAGAUGUUUUUUUUUUUUUUUUUGGUAUGUCAAGGCUAACGAAUGAAAUGCAUUAGCUUGUUUUGUGACUAUAACUGCAAAUGUCCAAAUUGGAGUAUCUCCAUUUCUCACUUCGGAUGGUUAACUUUAUAAACAAGAUAUAGGAAACAUGUGAACAUCUUGAGGAACAAUUCAAAUUAUUCAUUAGAAGUCCUGGGUUAAGUUCCAAGAUUUAAAUCAGACCCUUCUAGCAGCUUCAAGGGUACUUAGCAACCUAUAACAUAUUAAUGAAGAUUUAGGAUUUAGACUCCGGAAUACAAAUAAAUAUGUAUCUCAUGCUUUGACUAGCUUCCCUACAUAUGCAUAAAAUGGAGAUGACCCAAAAAAAAUAGCAGAAUCUAGCUUCCCUACAUAUGCACAAAAUGGAGAUGACCCAAAAAAUAGCAUAAUCGCCUUAGUUUCUGUGGUUAAGGUGAUUCUCCGCUUAAUAUCCACAUUGACUCAUUAUGCAAAAUCAACUGAGCUAAUUUUAUUUAUUUAUUUAAUGUCAAAUAGGAACUCCUAAUUAACUGAUUACUGUCGAAAAGUGCUAUUUUGUAGACCUAAUUAUAAGGGUUUUAAGCACCUUUGAGUAGUAAUCAUAUUCAUUUAACCUAAUUAAUUCAUUAAGCUCCUUAGUAAUUAGUUCUAACCAUUUUUAGUGGCAAGUUUACAUGUUUUUCAUCAGCUUAUGAACCAAUUCAAGCAUGCCAAUUGAUGGAGGAGCUACUUGGGCGAGUUAAGCAAGGAUUUUGGACGUUUACAGGCUUGAAUUUCAAGUGGAAACACGAGCACAAGCAAUGGGAACACCAUUUCGCAAGGGGAGGCAAUUCACCUUGCCAAAUGACCAAUUUCGCAAGGGGAUUUUCCUCAUGGUGCAAAAUUUGGUCAUUUCGCACCAUGAAGAAACCACCUUGCAAAAUUUCGCAAGGUGGAUUUAGGCACCUUGCGAAAUGCCAAAUUUCACAAGGUGGCUUUUCACCUUGCGAAAUUUGGACCUUUCAUCUUCCCCCCUUGCGAAAUGCCUUUGAAAUCCCCUGUUUUGAGACGCUGUUGAUGAUAUUCCACUGCCGGUUCUCCAAGAUAUUUUGCUUGACUUUUAGCUUUAUAAAUACCUAUUUUACCCUUGUAAUCAACCAAUGAAAAGGUUGCUUUUGUAAUAGCUCUUGUAAUUUAGCUUUUUAUUGUCUUUAAAUAGAGGUGAAGAGCCUCAGACACGAUCAUCUUGUAACCUGUAACUUUAUAAGUUAUAAGAGCACUUUUGUUCAUACGCUUCUUUUCUCUUUUCUUUCUCAUUUUCUUAGUAGCCAAACAUCCUUGGAGGAUGAAAUCCCCAAGGAUGAGAGGCUAAAACCUUUUAGUUUCUUGAAGUAAUGGAUGCCAUGUGAAGCUCCCGUGUCAGGAUGGAGAUUUCCAAGCCAUAAAUGUAAGUAGCUGAGCGUCAUAAAUGUUUUCAUUCAAAGUAAAGCUUUUAAUCCCUCUGACUUGCUUUGAAUGGCCAAUACUUGAUAACCUUUUGGUCUCAAUGGAUUCUUAUUGUUAGAUCCACUGACGUUCAUUAGUUAUCUCCUACGAGCCAUUGUAUUGCAAGUCGAGGAGAUGACCUAUACCAAUAAAAGAGCAUUUAUGAGGUUCAACUACCCUUUUUGUAAGUUUUCAAGGACUAAAACUCAGUUGUUAAACUCAUACCGGUUCGAGAAGUAAGCAUCACCUUAGUUGCUUCCCCAACUCGAGGUGAAAAGUCCCAAAAUCUCCAUUUUUACACAGUGAGUUAAGCAUGGCUAUCCAAAGCUUUAAGAAACUUCUUUUUCCAUCUUUUAACCUAUUUUCAUGUUAGUUUAGUUUACAACACCUUCAUCUUUUUAUGUUUUCAUCUUAACCUAAUUUUUAUUAAGAAAAGUUCACUCCAUCCUCCGAACUUCACCAGUUAAAGUAAAAACCCUUCCCAGUGUUCGAUCCUAGAGCCACUAUGCUAUAGUAGCUUUGCUACUUUAGUGUAAGGACCUUAGGUAUAAAUUUUGUUGAUACCCUUACAUGCCAAGCUACCAAGAGUCGGGUUAUCAUUAACCUAACCAUUGGCCUGUGUAAAUUGAUUUCACAUGCACAAUGUUGUAGUAGAAGUCCAUAUUUUGAAUUUUAUUUUUGUAAAGGUAAGGAAAAUGAAGCAUUGUGUAAUUAUAAAAAUAACUUCAUUGGAAUUCACAAGGUUCACCCAAAAUGGAGCUACAUCUGUAUUCUAUCCUACAGUAGACUAUAUAGAUUGUACAAUAGUAAAUUGCAAAUACAAUUAAUAAGUCUUGUGCUUCCUUACUAAUAAUCCUUUGACAUGAACAUUGCAGCACUAAGGUCCUCUUGGGAAGACACCUUGCACCCAUGAGAGCACUAAGAGGAAGCAAGGCAGAGUCAUGGGUGCAAUGUCAUGACUUGUUGUUGCACCAAGAGAGGCUUGGUGAUGCCAUGGUGUUGCAGUAGCAAGAAUGUUGCCUUGGCAGGGACACGAUCUAGGGAUAGAUGCCAAGAAAGGCUUAGCACUCACAUGAGUUGCACAAAGAUGAAUGUAAUAGAGCAUCAGAGAGACGUCUUGGCAAGUAAAUGAAUGGAUCCAAGAGACAACAACAUGAGGAGUUUCAAAUGGAUAAGGAAUGACUCAAAGACAUUUGAAAGCUACAAGUUGGAUUCUAAUUACGAUUGCAAUUUGAGUUUGAGUAGGAGUUUAGAUUUUGAUUGUAAUUGUAGUAUGAGUUGGACUAGGAUUGCUUAUCCUUAGUCAAUAUAGGAGCGGUUCGUGUCACCCUAUGAAAAGAGUUUGAGUAGGGACUAGGAUUGCUUACUCCUAGUCAAAUAUGGAGUAGGUGGUGCCACACCUAUAAAAAAAAGGGACAACAUGAGAGAGAGAGAGAGAGAGAAAGAGAGAGUGAAUUCACUAAAGAUAUUGUGGGAGUUUUGCUUUGUUACGUCUUGUAUUAUUACUUAGAAUAGGAAUAAAAUACAAGUUGGGGCUAGAGCCCCAUAAUUAAUCUCGUGUGCCUUUGUGGUUAUUCUUUAUUUGUCAUCUCGUGUGGAUUGGAUUAGGUUGACUUAGAGGGCUUCUAAGCACCACCUUUGUGGGUUAUUAUUUAUUUUCCAUCUCUUGUGGAUUAGAUUAGGUUGACUUAGAGGGCUUCUGAGCACCACCUUUGUGGGUUAUUAUUUAUUUUCCAUCUAUUGUGGAUUAGAUUAGGUUGACUUAGAGGGCUUUUAAGCACCACAUUUGUGGGUUAUUCUUUAUUUUCCAUAUCGUGUGGGUUGGAUUAGGUUGACAAGGAGAAAAAUUAUGUGGGAAAUUUGUGUUGGGACACUUACCAUAACCAAGUAAAAUCUACCAAGUCCUUUGUAAUAUCUUCAACAAAUAUUUUAGACUAGUUCUUUCAGUUAGUGUAAAGGAGGAAGAAGUGGUAUUGAUUCUAGAAAUAGGGUGUGUGUAUUUGAACUACAAUCCUUAUGAUCCUUAGGUCUCUAAACCUUCGUGAUGGGCUCCCUGACAUUUCAUAGGUUGUGCUACACAUGCGUUUGAAAUUUAGAGUGCGUUUGACAGUGAUUCCGGGAAGUGUUUUUGGCCUUUCUUACACUUGAAAAUUUUUAUUUUUCAAGUAUUAGAAAUGCUACAAACACUUUUGAAAAUUACUGUCAAACACACUCUUAGGAGCGCACAUAUAUAGUAGAAAACUAGAAAUUGUGGUUUUUUUAGGAUUUACUGUAAUGUCAUUAGGAGGGUAGUAAGUUGAAAUUGAGUAUGAACAAAUAUUUCUUUCUUUGGGAUGUUCUUCUAGUAGGUGCUGAUGAAACUGUUCUUUCUACUGCCAAUGUCACAUAUCAGCCAGAAAUUGAAAAUUUCAGUCAAGGUGUCCUCUGUUUUAGUGGUGAGGAAAGCUAGAAAUUUUAAGGUGAAGUUUUGUUAAAAACCUUAAGUAGCUGGGAUAUCAGGCCUGUUUUGCUUGAAAAAAAAAGUUGCAAGAUAACUCAUAUGCCAAACAGGUUCUGAUAUUGUGAAUCUAUCGGCAGACAUCAGUAAUCUCAUCUUCUGAGAUGGAUGUUGGGGGUGCAUGUGGUGGUGGAGGGGCAAGGUUUCAUUUGGUUUAUUUUGUUGAUGGAUAUUGUCUAGCCACCUGCGCCAAGUUUGAGGGGUGGUGGGUUGUGAUGACCCUACAAUUACUAUUAAUUUCUUCAUCUUUUACCGAUUAAAGUGUCCGAACAGUCGAAGUUACCCUUAUGCAUGUCAACUUGAUCACUUACCUCUUCAAUGGAGUUUAUGCUGGUUCAUUUAGGAACUGAUUUUUAUUGUUAUGUAUUAUAUGCUGAUGUUUAGGUCUCUCCAUCAUCACUAUAUACAAAAAUUCUAGGUUGAUACUAUAGGUUGAGAUUUAUUUUUUAAAUAAAAAAUAAUAAAAAUAAAAAUUAUGGUGAUGUUUAGUUGUUUUAUGGAAAAUUUUAACAAGUAAAAGUUAUUUUUGGGCAAGUUUUCAAACAAAAAGAAAAGUAAAAGUUGUUUUGACAAAAACAUAUAGAAAAAAAAAUCAUAGAAAAUAAAUAAUUUCCCCAUAUUCUAACUUUUUUGAAUUUUUCUCAAUGGGCAAAGGAAUAUCAAAUCAAGUUUGAGUAGGAUUUCUUAAUUUUUAAAAUAACUUACAAUUAAAAAAUUUUGGUGUUUUCAUUUUUGGACAAUUUUUUAUUAAGCAAAUGGACUCUGAGUCAUGCAAGAGAUAUGGUUCAUUAACCGGUCGAACAAUUUUUUUAAAUUAAUUUAAAAGUCAAAUACAUAAUCAAUUUCACAAAAUUUAUAAACAAAAAUAGGUUUAGAGAAGAUCUACACAUAAUUUUACUUUUCUAAUUUUAUUUUAUUUUAUUUUUUGUUGGAAAAUAGUCUUCAAAUCAUGUAAGAUUUAAUAGGUUAAAUUUGUUAACAAUAAAUUUUAAAUUAUAAAAUAUAAUCUGGAACUCAAAAAUCAAUUCAAGUAAUGCUAAAAAAAAAUCAAAUUUGGUAUAGAAUGACUUUGUAAAUUUUUUUACAAAACAAAUGAAUUUUAAAUCAAGUGAGAUUUAAUGCAUUAGAUUUUUAUCAAAUAUAGUAAUUUUAAAAAUAAAUUUGGAACUCAACAAUAGACACAAUAAAUACCAAAAAAUAAUGAACCAAAAUUGGUUUGGAAUAACUCCACAACCUUUUUUUUUUUUUUUUGGUGCACACGAAUUUUCUUACUAGGUAUAUUGCUUUCAAAUUGAGAAAGAUUUACCAUUUAGAUUUUUUUUUAAUGAGUUUAAUGGUAUUUUAAAAUAAUUCAAAAUUUAAAAAAUUGACUAAUUAAUAUUAUAAAUUGAUAAACCAAGACUAUUUCAAAAUGCAUUGGGGGCUAAGGGGGUUGAAAAUAGGGACAAUGGGAUGGGUUUGGGACAUGACACUCAUAUCUCAUUUCCAUUCCAAUUACACAGUUAUCUCCCAUCCUUAUCCCAAACUUGUGUUGGAGCAAGUUGAUUUGUUCCCAUCUUUGUUGACGAAAUGACUAAUAACCUCAUCCCCUCCUUAUCUUAGAUGUACAUUUUGUCAAAUUUGAUCAGGUAUGAUUGAUCCAAGCCCUAACCCUAAUUGGUAAUGAGUGAAUACUACACCUAAUUGCAUUCUUCUUUCAUUGCAAAAUAAUGAGAUUAUAAUAAUCUAGCAAAUAAGAAAAAAUAGUAUGGAAGUUCAAAUUAACACCAUAACUAUCAAUAAUUUUAAGCUUAUAGAUGACUUAAAUGAUUAAAAACUAAUGCAAAAUCCUAAAAAAAAUAAAAAUCAUAUAAAGAAUUCACAAGAGAACAGAAUGAACAAAAACCAAAUAUGAACAUGGGUCAACAUUAGUUAUGGAUUUGGAUUCCUUUCAAGGCCAAUCUUUGAACCAAGACUUCAUCAAAUCAACUACUUCAAAGGCUUUUGUGUUCUUCUUGGGUUGUGCUCUCAAACAAAGACUUCGAGGUGAUGUUCUAGAUGAUUGAAUUACACAUAUUUAGGGUGGAGAGAUUGGAGAAGCUUGAAGAUGCCAACGAUGGGUACAAUUGAGUGGUCAAUAAGAACAAUGUAGCCUAUGACUAGUUUGAUGUCAUGGUACAAGAGUUUUAGGCAUUGAGGUUAAAGCAAGAGCAACAUGGAAUUGAUUUCGGAGUCUUUCAGUUAGUGUAAAGGAGGAAGAAGUGGUGUUGAUUCUAGAAAUAGGGUUUUAAGUGGUGCGUGAUUACUACUCAAAAAGUGCUAUUUGAUAGCCUUUAAUUAAUCCUUUUUAACACUUUUGAGUAGUAGUUUAGGCCUUUUAACUCAAUUGGCAUGUUAAGGAUCCUUUAAAGCAAUUUUGAUCACUUUGUGCAAGUUUUGGUGUUUUUGUUAGUAUUUUGAUCACCAAAGCAAGUCAAGAAUGAGGAGAACUAUGAGGAAUCAUGGGCAAAGCUUAGAAUUCAAUUGCCAAGAGUGAAUCCGGAUUGCAAGGAGAAAAAGCAAAGAGAAUCUGUCAUGAAGCCUAUUCUUGAUGACAGUCGUAGCAGCCACUUUUGGAGCACUUUCUGAAGUCCAAAUGAUGCAAGCUAUAUACCAUUUCAAAGAUCAGGAAGUCAACAAUCCAAUGCUUCAAACGGUGCGCGAUUCGGAGUUGAAACGAAGAAGUUGCAGCCAUUACAAGCCAGUCACUCUAAAGUGUUGCGGAAUCAGCCUUUUGUUGCGAGAAUUUCGCAGCACUUUUGUACAGUAAGGUGUUUCUCCUUCUGACGAUGCACGAACCAUGCCGCGAGAGGGAAGCUAGGAACUUCAAGAUGGAAGCCAACUUUGCAGCCUGGUGAAGAUAGCUUGGUCUUGCGAAAUAAUUUCGCAGCCCUCUUGGGUGUCUGCGAAAUUUCGCAGGCACCACUUUUUUCCUGCGAAAUGGCUCCGGAAGCCUCCCGAAGCUUGCUACCGACAUUGGGAGAUAUUUUCCAUUAGAUUUUUGUUGUCUAAAUUCCAAAAUACUCCUUGUAAACCACCAAUUACAUGAUUCCUUAGUUUUUAAGUUAGUAAAAAGACCAAAUAUCUAUGUAAUAAUUAGUUUUAUAUUAGUUUGCUAUAAAUACCUCUCGGGAGCAUGUUCUCAGAGAGGAGUUCCUUCUGUAACCAUUUUGGUAAGCAAGUAAAGUCUUUUCUUUCUACUGCCUUACCUUCUCACUUUGUAUUUUCAUUUUAUUUCUAAGUUAUGAAUUCUCUGAGGAGCUUUCCCCAGAGAAUGAGUAACUAAACCUCCAAUUCCUUGGAGCUAAGGUUGCCGGGGAAGGUUCCAAGUGCAAGAAUGCAAAGCUCUGUGGUUUUAGCUAGUAAUGAAGAGGAAGUGAAAUCCUUUAGUGAUUUCAAUGUUUUUAGUUAACUUAAAACACCUUGGAGUCACCUGGGCCAACACUUGGUAAGGCAAGUGAUUUCCAACCGUGGAAAUGCACUAGUUUACCCCUUGCGAGCCUCUGGUAGGUGACUUCAAGGUAGGAUUUUCUGGAAUUACCAACACUUGGUAAGCUUUUGGACUCCUAGGAGACAUCCAUUAGUUAUCUCUUGCGAGUUUGUGAAGGGGAAUCCAAGGUUAAAGAUCACCUUGAAUGGUAAGUGCUCGUGAGAGGCAUGAACCAUUGCAAGUUGUAUCAGUGAGAGAAUUAAAGUGAAAUCUAAUUGAAGGAGUCUCUGUACAUCACCGGUUAGAGAAUUGACUAUAAGUUGAAUCUCUAAUGCGAGGAAAUGAACCAUCUGACCGGAGCUAUGUCUUUUGCAUGAGGAACCACCCCAGUGAACCUAAAUCUCCAAGGAAUGCUUUUCUUCCUAAAUUAUUCCAAACUUCUGUUAAGUUAGUUAGUUUAAGUCUAAACCUUUACCAAUCAAACUUUGUGUUUUAUUUCUUAAGCUAACCGUGAAAUGAAACAAAACCAAUUCACUUGGAAUUGGUAUCCUUGAUUGCUUGCAAAUCAUUCCCAGUGAACGAUCCUUAGAGCCACUAUACUAUAGUAGCUUUGUAUUUGCUACCCUAGUGUAUGGUGUUAUAGGUAUAAAUUUUGUUGAUCACUUCCUCAAUCAAGGAACACCAGCUGAACACAAAUCAGCUGAGACACCAAUUGGGCAUGAGUCAAAUGGCGCCGUUGCCGGGGAAUGAGUGUCAAGAUCAUUGUGAUACCAUUUUUGAGCACUUGUGAUUUUCAUCACAAGUUGGUAAAGUUUCUUUCACUUUACUAAUUUUCAUUCUCUCUUUGUUUAUUUACAAUCUAAGUUUAUCUUUUUAAAAUUUAGUCUAGUUUAAUUUUGCUAUUGUAGCCUUGUUUCUCUUGUUGUCCUCUGUUCUUGUUGUCCUCUGUUUUCAUUUUAGUUGCAGCUGAAUACUAGUUGUGUAUGCCAAAGUGGAUACGAGACAUUGGAGGUAGGCUUAUUAAGUGUGAUACACCUCAGAGAGGAGAAUUGGAAGUAAUCUUGAAUAUCAUGGAGGCUGCACCUGAAGAUCAGCAUAGUCACCAAGGUCGUCAAGACAAUCUCAAUGAAUUCAGAUCAAUGAGGGACCGUAUGCAUCCACCUCGUAUGAGUGCACCAUCAUGUAUAGUGCCCCCUACAGAGCAACUAGUGAUCAGACCAUAUCUUGUUCCACUUCUACCAACUUUCCAUGGGAUGGAAAGUGAGAAUCCGUAUGCACACAUCAAGGAAUUUGAAGAUGUUUGUAAUACAUUCCAAGAGGGAGGAGCUUCAAUUGAUUUGAUGAGGCUUAAGUUAUUUCCUUUUAAUUUAAAGGAUAAGGCCAAAAUUUGGCUUAAUUCUUUAAGGCCAAGGAGUAUCCGCUCUUGGACUGAUUUACAAGCUGAAUUCCUCAAGAAAUUUUUUCCUACUCAUAGAACAAAUGGCUUGAAAAGGCAAAUUUCAAACUUCUCAGCUAAAGAGAAUGAGAAAUUCUAUGAGUGUUGGGAAAGAUACAUGGAAGCUAUAAAUGCUUGUCCUCACCAUGGCUUUGAUACUUGGCUACUGGUGAGUUAUUUUUAUGAUGGUAUGUCCUCCUCAAUGAAGCAACUCCUCGAGAAAAUGUGUGGAGAAGAUUUCAUGAGCAAAAAUCCAGAGGAAGCUAUGGAUUUCUUGAGCUAUGUAGCUGAUGUUUCAAGGGGAUGGGAUGAACCAACUAAAGGAGAAGUGGGAAAGAUGAAGUCUCAGUUGAAUGCUUACAAUGCAAAGGCUGGGAUGUAUACUUUAAAAGAGGAUGAUGACAUGAAAGCAAAGUUGGCAGCUAUGACAAGAAGAUUGGAGGAGCUGGAGCUGAAAAGAAUGCAUGAAGUGCAAGCUGUUGCUGAAGCACCAGUGCAAGUGAAGUUGUGUCCCAAUUGUCAAUCGUUUGAACAUUUGGUAGAGGAAUGCCCUGCAAUUUCAGCUGAAAGGGAAAUGUAUAGAGAUCAAGCAAAUGUUGUUGGACAAUUCAGGCCCAAUAACAAUGCUCCUUAUGGAAAUACCUACAAUUCAAGUUGGAGGAAUCAUCCAAAUUUUUCAUGGAAGGCCAGAGCAACUCAAUACCAACAGCCGGAUCCACCAUCUCAACAAUCUUCAAGUAUUGAACAAAUAAUAGCUAAUCUCAGCAAGGUAGUGGGAGAUUUUGUGGGAAAGCAAGAAGCCACCAAUGCUCGAGUGGAUCAAAGAAUGGACAGAGUGGAUCAAAGAAUGGACAGAAUGGAGAGUAUGUUGAACAAAAGAAUGGAUGGAAUGCAAAAUGAUAUGAAUCAAAAAUUUGAUAACAUCCAAUAUUCAAUUUCAAGGCUUACAAAUUUGAAUACACUGCAAGAAAAGGGAAGAUUUCCUUCUCAACCUAACCAAAAUCCCAAAGGUGUCCAUGAAGUGGAAAGCCAUGAGGGAGAAUCAUCACAGGUGAAAGAUGUGAAAGCUUUGAUCACUCUAAGGAGUGGUAAGAAAAUUGAGCAGCCAACACCCAAGCCACAUGUUGAGAAAGAAGAAGAGAUGAAGAAAGGGAAGGAAAUGGAAGAUAAAGGCAGUGAGAUCAGUGAAGAAAAGAAGGACUCUGAUGCAACAAUGAAAGUAAUUCCAGAGAAGGAGCUUCUGAAGGAAGAAAUGCUGAAGAAAUCAACUUUUCCACCUUUUCCUCAAGCAUUACAGGGGAAAAAGGGGGUUAGAAAUGCAGCUGAAAUCCUAGAAGUAUUGAGGCAAGUGAAAGUUAAUAUUCCACUGCUGGAUAUGAUCAAACAAGUUCCAACGUAUGCAAAAUUCCUAAAGGACUUGUGUACUAUCAAAAGAGGGUUGACUGUAAACAAGAAAGCCUUCUUGACUGAGCAAGUAAGUGCAAUCUUACAGUGUAAGUCUCCUUUGAAGUACAAAGACCCUGGAAGUCCUACCAUUUCAGUCAUGAUUGGAGGAAAGGUAGUGGAGAAAGCCUUGCUAGACUUGGGAGCAAGUGUGAAUUUGCUUCCAUAUUCUGUCUACAAGCAACUGGGACUUGGAGAGUUGAAGCCAACAGCAAUCACUUUGUCUCUGGCAGAUAGAUCAGUGAAAAUUCCAAGAGGGGUAAUUGAGGAUGUAUUGGUUCAAGUAGAUAAUUUCUACUAUCCUGUAGAUUUUGUUGUUCUUGAUACAGAUCCUACUGUAAAGGAAGCUAAUUUAGUUCCUAUCAUCCUUGGAAGGCCAUUUCUUGCAACUUCAAAUGCAAUCAUCAACUGUAGAAAUGGGCUUAUGCAACUCACUUUUGGUAACAUGACACUGGAUCUAAAUAUUUUCUAUAUGUCUAAAAAGCAAAUCACUCCAGAAGAAGAAGAGGGUCCAGAAGAGCUAUGUAUUAUUGAUACUUUGGUGGAGGAGCACUGCAAUCAACAUAUGCAAGAUAAGUUGAAUGAAAGUUUUGUGGAUAUUGAGGAAGGUUUUUCUGAAUCUCCUAAUGGGCUUGCUACUCUACAAAGUUGGAGAAAGAUAGAAGGAAUUCUACCUUUGUUCAAUGAAGAAGAGGAGGCAGCUGUUGAAAAAGAAAUUCCAAAACUCAAUCUGAAGCCUUUACCUAUGGAGCUGAAAUAUACAUAUCUUGAAGAAAAUAAUCAAUGUCCUGUCGUAAUAUCUUCAUCUCAAACCAAGUCUCAAGUGAAGGAUGCAAGCUUCAAAUGGGAUCCGGGCAAACUGAAUCAGGAAGGGCAAAAAGUUUUGAUGUAUGACACAAGACUCCAUAUCUUUCCUGGGAAGCUCAAGUCAAGGUGGAUUGGUCCAUUUGUUAUUCACCGAGUAUAUUCCAAUGGAGUGGUGGACUUAUUGAAUUCCAAUGGCAAGGACAGCUUUAGAGUCAAUGGAUAUCGUCUUAAGCCGUUCAUGGAGUCAUUCAAAUCAGAAAAGGAGGCAAUCAACCUCCUUGAACCUCAAAAAGCCUAAGUGAAAUGGGUUUGCUGGACGUGGUUUUACCACAGUCCAAAAAUUUUUGUAAAUUUUGUAAAUUUUCAAGUUGUUUCCAUGCUUUUAAUCUUAGUUUUUGAUUUUAAAUCAUGUUUUUAGGUGUGUUUUAAUCGUUUUAUAUGAUCCCAGGCGGAAGAAAUUUCAAGGGGAUUGAAAAGAAAAAAAUCGGGUCGAAAUUGGAGCCGAAACAGAGCAAAAACAGGGGAAAAACAGAGCUCUGCGAAAUUUCGCAGGGUGAAGGAAACUUCUGCGAAAUUGGCAUUUUGCUGCCAAACCAUUCCGCAGCACUGUAGAAGCCUCUGCGAGUGUAUUUCGCAAUUGCGAAAGUGGAUUUGGCACACGAGUGCCACUUCGCAGCACAGUGACAUCAAUUUCGCAGCUGCGAAACUCACUGCGAAGUUGCUGCGAAAAUGGCAAGUUGCUGCGAAAUUGGCGUUUUGUUGCGAAACGUAAUCUGACCCCUGGGCUUCCGUUUUUCCUAUUUAUACCUGUCAAAAGUGCUGCGAAAAAGGUUUCAAAAAUUAGAGCACCAUUCUCGCAGCCCUUUCAUCUUCUUCGCCAAGCCACGCCGUCCGUUUCUCCGGUCGUCUUCUCCGUUUAGCAGCGCCGGCCAAAGAUCGAUAGCCCAAAAAUGGCACGAACGCGAGGGGCAAAGUCUUCAUCCCCUUCGAACCGCAAAAGGAGUCUGCGAAAGGAGCCAAGUUCAGGCUCUGUUCCAGAACCUGCUCCAAAGCCUUCGCCGUCGAGACCACAACCUUCUCCAGUGAAGCCGGCGCCACCAAAGCCGCCGGCAAGGCGAUAUUUAACCAGGUCAGGUGGUCAGCCAUUGAAGAAGAAAGCCAGAGUUGAGAGCUCUGAACCAAUCGAUUUGACUGAGCAAUCCCCUGAGAAAUCACCAAAUCCUUCACCGGUACAAAUUCCAGUGCCAUCACCGGUUCCCUCGCCAAUUCCCUCACCAGAAGCAACUCCAAUUCCAUCGCCGGUACCAUCUCCGGCACCCCAAGAAAAAGCUCAGGAGCCUCAAGCGCCAAUUCCAGAGCCCCAAAUUGCAGCUGAAGCACCUCUGGAAGAAGUGAUCCGAAGGCCAAUGCUGCCUCAGCCCCCAAUCGAAGGAAACCUGGAUUGCCGAACUCGGGCAUUCCAUUCUGAGCUUUGCUUCGAUUUAACAGCAUUCAGAGUGAGGCCAGAGCUUGCCCAAUCCUUCCAACUGCUGAGGAGAUAUCAUAUGGAGCAUCUGCUAGCUCCAAGGGAUUUUUUCUAUCCCCGGGUAGUCACGGAUUUCUACCAAACCAUGACAACCAAAGAAGUAAGAAAUCCAACUCUGAUUCAUUUCAUAAUUGAUGGAAGGCAUGGUAUUUUGGGAGCAAGACAUAUUGCUGAAGCCCUGCAAAUUCCUUUUGAGCCAACUCAAUUCGACAAUUUUAAAGCUUGGACAAAUCCUACUGAGUUAGAGAUGGUUAGCACACUAACCAGAGGAGCUGCAAAUCGAUCGCAUUUGUUGAGGGGGGAGCUACCUCCAGUUAUGUUUUUGAUUGAUGCCUUUUUGAGGCAUAAUAUCUAUCCCCUGCAGCAUUGGACCCAAAGAAGGGGAAUUCUCCUAGAAGCCUUGUACAAAAUGUCUGAAGGAUUCUUCUUUGGGCCUCAUCAUCUGAUCAUGGCAGCCCUUCUAUACUUUGAGGAGAAGGUUCACAAGAAGAAGCUUCAAAGAGCAGAUUGCAUUCCACUCCUCUUCCCAAGGCUGCUAUGCCAAGUUUUGGAGCAUCUCGGAUACCCCUCUGAGCCUCAGCAGGAAAGAAAGAGAAUAUGCCGUGAGCCUUUUACCCUUGAUAAAUGGAAUAAUAUGACGGCCUACAAAAUUGAUCAGCCUGGGCAGCCUCAGCCAGCAGCAAGGAGAGUCUCCCCAAGACAUAUACCUGAAGGUAUAACACUUGCUACUCCUGCCAUCCCUCGAGCUCCACCAGCUGCACCUGCUCCAUCACAGCCAUCCACAUCAGCUGAGCCGAGGAUGGCCAUCCCUAUAUCCGAAUAUCGAGAGCUGUGCCGUGCAUUGGAGACUCUUACAGCUUCUCAGAGCAAUCUUGCUCAGGAGUUGGCAGCCAUUAAAGCAUGCCAGGAGCAGAUGUUAGCCUCUCAGACUCAACAAGCUGCCAUCCUAAGGCAGCUUCAAGUCCAUUUCGAUCUGCCACAAGCUGUAGAGCCCUCUAUUCCUACUCCACCAGAGCCACACUCUCAGCCUUCAGAGUCUCAUCCUCCAGAACCCGAAGCACCAGCUGAUCCACCUACUGAGGAGGCAGAUCCUUCUGCCUAGCACCAUCACCCCCCUCAUCAGACAUUAUAUAUAUAUUUGCUGUUUAUGUUUUUAUGCAUGUUUGUUUUGUUUUAGUUGAAAAGAAAUCCCAGUAUUUUGGUACUAUAUAUGGGAUUCCUUGUGUUACUUGUCUUUAGUAUUGUAAUCACAUGAACUCAAAGUAAUACAAGUUGACUAUUUCUUGUUAAAAGUUAGCAUUAAAGUUUCCUUAUUUCCUUUUCUCACAUAUUCUAUUCUUUUUGAAACAUGUGGUUUUCCCCAAUCAAUAUUCGAAUUUGAUAUCAGCAUGGAGGUACCACUUCCUCCCUUUUAUUACAGUCACUCAAAUCACAUUGAGGACAAUGCUCAGUUCGGUUGGGGGGUAUGAGGAAGGAAGUAUUCUAAACCUUUUUGGUAUUGCAAUUAUAUUGGUUAAUUAGUUGUAGAUUUUACUUUUUACUAGUGUUACUCUAUUCUCCAUGAAUUUUGAGGAAAAAUUUUCAAAUUAAACCAAGAGAAAUUGAACUGUUGUUUUUCACUUGACUUAGAGUAUGGAUUAUGCUUACUAAAGUGGUUCAAUUGUUGAAACUUCUACUGAAAUUGAAUUGAGUUCUUCCACUUUAAGCUAUCCACACACUGUGCACAUUAGUUUCCGAUUAUAAGAUGAAAAGCUAUUUCCCUCUUGACUUAGUAUAUUUUUGGGACUUGGUAUAUUUGACCUCAUUUGAUAAAAAUUGAAACACCCUGCAAAAGGCCAAUGAGCCUUUGAAAUAAAGAAAGUUGUUUGCUUGCCUUGAAACCCGAGCAAGGUCUGAGGGGUAUAUGGUGAAAAUCUUUAAAGCCUGGUGCCCUAAGCCUUAAUUGGUUGGGAGUCACCGACCUCAAUGCUCGUUACAAGGGUGAAUAGGUAGAGUUAGCAUAUGGUAGAUGCUUGGGUAUUAGAAAUUCAUUCUUAAAAGUCCGGGGAAAAAUCCGAGGAGUUAGUGGUUGAAAGAUCCUUAAAACUUGGUGCCCUAAACCUUAAUUGGUUGGGAGUCAUCGAUGGACCCCCAUUACAUGGACAAGUCAGAAAGAGUACCCCAUAAAGCUACCUUAAAAAAAAAAAAAAAAAAAAAAAAAAAAAAAAAGAUGAAAGUGUGUUCUUUUCUUAUUGAUUUUGGUCAGUUUGCUAAAGUGUUGAAAAGAGAUAGGUUGGGGGGUGAGAUUAGUAGCAUAUUAUUCUCGGAACCUAAGGAACCAAUACACAUAGAUUUUUGUGGAAGAUUGAAGUUUAGUUCUUAGAAAAUGAAAUGAUUUUAAAACUUCAGUUUGCAUAAUGCACUCCCUUGAUUGACAGUGUUUAGCAUAGGUGUUAUGACUCUUGUUGAGAUUUGGGUUUGUAUUUCUUUAAUGAUUCAUGUGAGAAAUAGAUCAUCAUGCCACUUGAGAAUUAUUUUCCUUUUAGCAUGAUGUUGUAAAUUUUAGAUUAGUUUGCUAUUUAUUUUUUAUUUUCUCUCCUAUAUUGCUAAGGGACUAGCAAUAUGUCGGUUGGGGGGAGUGAUUACUACUCAAAAAGUGCUAUUUGAUAGCCUUUAAUUAAUCCUUUUUAACACUUUUGAGUAGUAGUUUAGGCCUUUUAACUCAAUUGGCAUGUUAAGGAUCCUUUAAAGCAAUUUUGAUCACUUUGUGCAAGUUUUGGUGUUUUUGUUAGUAUUUUGAUCACCAAAGCAAGUCAAGAAUGAGGAGAACUAUGAGGAAUCAUGGGCAAAGCUUAGAAUUCAAUUGCCAAGAGUGAAUCCGGAUUGCAAGGAGAAAAAGCAAAGAGAAUCUGUCAUGAAGCCUAUUCUUGAUGACAGUCGUAGCAGCCACUUUUGGAGCACUUUCUGAAGUCCAAAUGAUGCAAGCUAUAUACCAUUUCAAAGCUCAGGAAGUCAACAAUCCAAUGCUUCAAACGGUGCGCGAUUCGGAGUUGAAACGAAGAAGUUGCAGCCAUUACAAGCCAGUCACUCUAAAGUGUUGCGGAAUCAGCCUUUUGUUGCGAGAAUUUCGCAGCACUUUUGUACAGUAAGGUGUUUCUCCUUCUGACGAUGCACGAACCAUGCCGCGAGAGGGAAGCUAGGAACUUCAAGAUGGAAGCCAACUUUGCAGCCUGGUGAAGAUAGCUUGGUCUUGCGAAAUAAUUUCGCAGCCCUCUUGGGUGUCUGCGAAAUUUCGCAGGCACCACUUUUUUCCUGCGAAAUGGCUCCGGAAGCCUCCCGAAGCUUGCUACCGACAUUGGGAGAUAUUUUCCAUUAGAUUUUUGUUGUCUAAAUUCCAAAAUACUCCUUGUAAACCACCAAUUACAUGAUUCCUUAGUUUUUAAGUUAGUAAAAAGACCAAAUAUCUAUGUAAUAAUUAGUUUUAUAUUAGUUUGCUAUAAAUACCUCUCGGGAGCAUGUUCUCAGAGAGGAGUUCCUUCUGUAACCAUUUUGGUAAGCAAGUAAAGUCUUUUCUUUCUACUGCCUUACCUUCUCACUUUGUAUUUUCAUUUUAUUUCUAAGUUAUGAAUUCUCUGAGGAGCUUUCCCCAGAGAAUGAGUAACUAAACCUCCAAUUCCUUGGAGCUAAGGUUGCCGGGGAAGGUUCCAAGUGCAAGAAUGCAAAGCUCUGUGGUUUUAGCUAGUAAUGAAGAGGAAGUGAAAUCCUUUAGUGAUUUCAAUGUUUUUAGUUAACUUAAAACACCUUGGAGUCACCUGGGCCAACACUUGGUAAGGCAAGUGAUUUCCAACCGUGGAAAUGCACUAGUUUACCCCUUGCGAGCCUCUGGUAGGUGACUUCAAGGUAGGAUUUUCUGGAAUUACCAACACUUGGUAAGCUUUUGGACUCCUAGGAGACAUCCAUUAGUUAUCUCUUGCGAGUUUGUGAAGGGGAAUCCAAGGUUAAAGAUCACCUUGAAUGGUAAGUGCUCGUGAGAGGCAUGAACCAUUGCAAGUUGUAUCAGUGAGAGAAUUAAAGUGAAAUCUAAUUGAAGGAGUCUCUGUACAUCACCGGUUAGAGAAUUGACUAUAAGUUGAAUCUCUAAUGCGAGGAAAUGAACCAUCUGACCGGAGCUAUGUCUUUUGCAUGAGGAACCACCCCAGUGAACCUAAAUCUCCAAGGAAUGCUUUUCUUCCUAAAUUAUUCCAAACUUCUGUUAAGUUAGUUAGUUUAAGUCUAAACCUUUACCAAUCAAACUUUGUGUUUUAUUCCUUAAGCUAACCGUGAAAUGAAACAAAACCAAUUCACUUGGAAUUGGUAUCCUUGAUUGCUUGCAAAUCAUUCCCAGUGAACGAUCCUUAGAGCCACUAUACUAUAGUAGCUUUGUAUUUGCUACCCUAGUGUAUGGUGUUAUAGGUAUAAAUUUUGUUGAUCACUUCCUCAAUCAAGGAACACCAGCUGAACACAAAUCAGCUGAGACACCAAUUGGGCAUGAGUCAGUGCGUUAGAGGAUCAAGAAGAAGAAAAAGAAGGAACUGUUGGAAUUAGUAUGAGUGUGAAGAGAAAAGUAUAUAAAUAAGGGGAAGUAAAAGCAAAGUUCAAAAAGCUAUAUUUUUUUAUUGUUGGUGUAUGGUUGCAUGAUUAUCCCUAUAAAUAAUAGGAGUUUUUUGGUAUUCUACUAGUAGUUGAAGCAUAAUUUCAUAAAUUAAUAUUUAGAGCGGGGUGGGGUGAGUUGUGACAAAAUUCAUACCCGUCCCAAACCUUGGUUCAGAUUUUUAAAAUAUUCUCAAACUUAUCAUAUACCCAACUUUUAUAUUUCAUACUUGUCCUAAUAGAGGCACGUUAGGCCGGGUUACUUGAGUAACCUACAUAAUUGUCAUCCCUAGUUGAAAUACACUUUUUGGCAGUGGCCACCAACUGAGCUAGAAGCUUGAUUGAUUGACCUACAAGAUUAGUUCUCAUCAUUUUAAAAAAAGUUCUGGCUUUGGUUGUGAGUGCAAUUGAAUCUAAACUGGCAUUUGCUUAAUGCAUCUACUUCAAUCCUAAACUUCUUACUUCUUAAGCCUCAAUUGUUGUUAGGAUUUUGGAAAACCCAUUUCCUUAAAUUGUAAAUUUAAGAUAAAAUAAAAUAAAAGUGAGACAUUUCUUGAUUGAAUAUUGUUAAAGGUCCCUUGGCAUUAAGACUUGGUUGAAGCCUUGGAAGAUUAGUGGAACUCUCAACAUGUGUUUGAAUCUUGAGGAGAGUGGAUGUAAGCCAAAAUUUUGUCAAACCAUUAUACAAAUUGAGUUUGAAUCCUCAUUUCUUGAUUUCUUAUUUAUUUGCUUUUUCUUAUUAUUACUUGAAUUGUCAUUUGCAUUCAUUAAUGUUAAAAUUGGUUAUAAUUAACCAACACUAAUUCUCUUUCCCCUUCCCUUUCUUGGGUGUAAACCUAGGUUGGAUUAACUAGAUAAAUCUAUUAAGAUGGUAAAAGAAUAAUUAUUCUUAACAUACAUAAGAUCAUCUUCAAUCAAAUGACUCAUUGGCUAAUAUGUUGAAUUUGCUUAUUACUUGCAACUCAAAAUUGUGUUCUAGUUGUGUCAAGUCCCCAGUGUAUGGACAUUAAAUUUGUAGUACGUGAUGAGUAAUUAGAUGGUCCAACUCCAAGAAAGUGAUUGAAAAGUAGUUCAAGAAAGGUGCAAAAGGGAAUUGUUUUGGUAUUUUCGUUUUUAUUCUUGAAGGUGGCAGAGCUAAAAUUUGAGAAAUCAAGCAAAACAUACUGAAAUUACAUUGAAAGAAAGAAGAUGGGAGUUAAUGUCUUGCAGUACAUGAUAAGGACUUCAUGCAUGUAGUGUGACCCAUGUCUUGGACUGAUGCCAACUCACGGUUACACUUAUACCCUUGGUUCUCUCUUUACUACCUUGGCUAACCUAGAUCAGGCUAUGAGAUAGGCUCCUCACCACACCAUUACUUGCCCAUUAAUUAGAGACAUUUUCAAGCAAUGAGGUAACAUGGUGACACCAAGAGGGUCUAUUCCUCGCCCGGAACAAGUCUAGACUUGGUCUCAAAAAAAUGGAGAAAAAUGAGGUGUCGUUAUGUAGAAAUACAACAACCAUGCCUUCCUCAUUACUUAGAUUCAGAAUGUGAAGGUGAAAUUGAGAAACAGAAACUCUUGAAACCAAAAUGAAAAUUGAUACUUUUACGAAGAAUUACAACAACAUUAGAGGAAGACUACAUUCUUCCUCUUUAUUCCUACAUUUCUACACUACUUCUACUCCACUCCAUAUUUCUACAUACAUCUUUAAUCAGUCUUCCCUCCUUUAUAUAGAGCCAUCUUCACACAAAUUUCGCAAGGUAGAAAAGAGGAAUGAAACUUGGAGCAAGGUUCGACUACUGGUUGUAGCUUGUCAAGGCUGGAAGUGAACUUUUCUUGGCUUUCUGGGCAUGGGUAGUAACUUGUGGGUUCCUGUUUGGCAUAAAAAUGGCUAGAACAUGUGGCACUAUCUUGUUGGAUGAUGUGUCAAGCAUGUGGCAGCCAUCUAGUGGCGAUUAUGUCAAUUUUGGGAUGGAGAGUUGGCAUCCAAUUGCAAAGAAAUAUGACGUCUACCAACAUGCAAUGUAAACCUAUGUAGAUCAUAUGAAGAUAGAGAGGAAAAAUAUAGAAAUGGAUAUAUACCUAGAACUAGCUUUUUAUUAAAUGAAACGGAGAGACAACAAUGAAGGAAAAUAAAAUUUUUUGGCUUAUAUCAAAGAGUUCACAUUGUGUUACCCUAGGUUUUCUUAAAACUUACUUUUAUGAUAACAAAAAAGAAAAAACCAUUAUUGUUUAAUCCUUUGUUUUAAACGCAUGUAAGGUGUAAUUAAGUUAGUUCAAUGCAUUAAUUUAAGAAACUUGACCUAUCAAAAGUACAAAAUUAGAUGAAAUCCAUUUCAAUGGUUAAAAUGAUCAAAAUCAAACUUUUUCUAAGUAUUUUUUAAAAGCAUCAAUAGUGAAAGACAAUUUUAUAUUUAGUCGGAGUUUGGACAAAACUGAAAAACACACAAAAUCCAAGCGACCAUCUCUAGCUUGGAUGGUCGCUUGAUCCCACCUAGAGAUGUGCAUGAGUAAAAGGAUUUGAAAAUGGAAAUUGACUAUGUAGUCGAUCAAUUAACUUUGCAACAUCAUAUGCAAUCCUAAUUGCUAGUCAUCUAAUCAAUUAGGUAGUCAAUCAACAGGCCAAAAAUAUGUUUAUAAUGACUAUUUUGUACAAAAACCACCUGUAUAGUUAAAUAUAAUGCAUUUCAUUUAUAAAUCUUCUAAUUCUUGAAUAACGAUCCUAUCAUCCUUUGAAAGUUUUUAUUACACUUUUUUUACUUUUGUUCUAAAACUUACACAUCACCCUUAAUUGUACCAUGAGAACCUAGCUAUUUUUUAUUUUUUUUUUUGUAAUUCAUCAAAGUUAGCUUUUGUAUUCAUUGUUGUAUUAUUUUUAGUAUAACUUAGAAAGCUAGUGUUUUCAAGUGAGUAAAAUUAACUUGUAAAUAUUGUAAAGAUUCAUCGACAUGUAUCUUAAACUAAGUGUACAAGUUAAAACAUUUGCUAGUAGAUUUUCUCAAAAUUUAGAAUAGAGCUUGAGACUAUUGAAAUAGGUGGGGUUGCACCAAACCACAUCACAUCGUUGUUUGCACCUUUUUUCACUCUCUUUUACUUAGUUGCUCUAUAUUUGUUGUCUAGUAAUAUCCUAUAGGCUUGAUGGGUUAGGGAGCAUCCCUUUGUGAAAAAAUUUUAUUCAAUCCUUAGUUGUAUCACGCAUAUAUAAAAUGCCUCAUUGUUUUAAUGGUAUUCAGUCGUGGCAUCACAGAUAUGGGCAUCUAAAUUUUAAAAGUUUGAAACUUUUAUCUAAAGAAAAUAUGGUGCUUUGCCUUUUUGUAAAGCAUGUUGAUGAAAUCCAUGAGAAUUGUGUACUUGGGAAGCAACACCGAGAUGACUUUUUUUUUUUUUUUAUAAUAUUGUUUGUCCAAAUUCCCUACAAAUUAGGCCACCAGAUGUUCAUAAUUCUCCCUUCUUGAAUUUGAAAACUCGGACAAUUGGACAAUGCGACACCUAAGUCCGGUUUCUAAAUGCUAAAGUGAAAGGGUAGGUAUGGACCAUUGAAAUGUGAUCACAACUUUUCUCUGUAGCCAUGUUGUCUCUUUUUUCUUUUGCAUGAUUUUCUUACCUUAACAGAAUCAUAGACUUGUUUAGUCUCUAAAUGGGAUUAAUUUCAUCCAGCUUUAAGCUACUAUAUUAUAUCUAGGUGGAGGACUUUUAAGAGUGCAACCGACAUAGAGCACAUGGAAGUGGGUAUAUGGGACAUGAAAUUUCUUCUUAUAAAGAUUGCAUGAUUUUUAUAUUAGAGUUGUUGAGGCGCUAUGUAUUUAGCUUGUUUUGCAGUUAAAUUAAUUGGAUAAGUAGACAUUGGCGUUUCUAAAUCUACUGUGAAGUGCUUCAUGUACGUGUGAAGUAUUAGAAAUUUCUUUCUUGGCAACUUGUUUUUCUUUGCGGUCUACUGAUAGGUUUGACUAAAAUUAUAUUCCCUGUCAUGCUAAUUAAUUUUCACGUGCAUGCUCAAAAGAAAAGUAUGACCUUAGUGCACCAAAAUCACUUUGAUUAAUUUGUGAUAGGUUUUUGUGCAUCAUGACAUUAGCCUUAUUCAUUUAGAUAAUGUUUAGUUUUUAGAAAGUAUUAAGAAAAGGAAAAUAAAUAUUAAGAAAAAUAUUCUUAUAUUUGAUUGUAUUAUGAAAAAUAUCAUAAAAAAAUCAAAUAUAAUUUAAAUUAAUUAAUAAUUUAUACAUUUUCAAAUUAUUUAAUCUUUAUAUUGAAGAUAUAAUAUAAAUGAAAUGAGUUUUAAGUAUUAUAUAAAAGUGAUUUAUUGAUCUUACAUAUAUAUAUUUCUUUUUUUUUUCCUUCUAUUUUUUCUCUUUAUUUUAUUUUCCUUAUGUUUUCCUCAACAUUUUCCGGAACCAAACAUAGCCUUAGGAAAUCCACAAUUACCUUCAACUGAGUAGAUUCUGUUGUUUUAGCAAUGUUAGGCUGCUAACUUGUGUUGGUACGAACCUAUUAAGCCUAAAGAUGUAAUUAGUUAGGAUAUUCUUUUCCCUCUAGUCUUGUAGCUCCACGUGUACAGUUGGUUAGGACCUCAUUGUAUAUAAUGCUUGCCCUGUUAUUGUAGAAGACAACAAAGAUAAAUAAUAUUAACAUUUUUCCUCUCAUCUCUCUCUGUUUCCCUCUGUUUUCAUCUCCUCUCUCAUCUUGGUAUCAGAGCCUCCAUGGCUUCUUUCAAAGAAACCUCCGAAUCACCUUCUGCUAGCAUUGUUAAUGUGCAAAACCCAUUAUCUCAAUCAAACAACCUUCCUUCACCAGUAGCCACACCCUCUUUUUCUUUCUCGUCUAUGAAUCAACCUCUCACAGUGAAGCUGGAUAAUGGGAACUACCUCAUAUGGAAGAAUUAGCUUCUAAAUGUCAUCAUUGCUAACGGACUCGAUGAUUUCAUUGACGGAUCUCGACCCUGCCCUCCUCGAUUUCUCGAUCUGCAACAACAAACCCUCAAUCCAGAGUACUCAGCUUGGCAGAGAUACAAUCGACUUCUGAUGAGUUGGCUGUACGCAUCCUUGUCCAAAGAUAUAAUGGCUCAGAUUGUUGGGUAUUCAACAGCUAUGGAGAUUUGGAAUGCCCUUAAUCAGAUUUACUCUGCCUCUUCUAUGGCGCGGUUUACUGAGCUUCGCACCAAGCUUCAAACGCUCAAGAAAGAUGGACUCUCAGUUGGUGAAUAUAUUCAAAGGCUCAAAUCCAUUUGCAAUAGUCUUGCAGCAAUAGGAGAACCAGUUUCUGAGAAAGACCAUCUUAUCUAUUUGUUCAAUGGAUUAGAUUGUGAGUAUUAUUCUUUUGUUACCUCCAUUCAAAAUCGAUCUGACCAACCAACUAUUGACAAAAUCCAUAGCCUAUUGCUUAGCUAUGACUUCCGGCUUGAACAACAAAACUCUGUUUCUCUCCAUUCUGCCCAAGUCCAUAUGGCUCAUCUGAACAAGAAACCUUAUAAAUCAACUCCUCAACCUACAUUCAAUCAUAUUCACAUUCAACCUAGAUACUCUUCUCCACCUUUUAAGCCAACCACUAGUCAAUAUCAACCCAACAUUUUGGGCAAACCACAACCACAACCAUGACAGCCUCAACCUCAAUGGAAACCACAUUUUUCAAUCUAAAAUCAAAAGCCUCAGCGCCAAAUUUGUGGUAAAUUUGGACACACUGCUCUUAUUUGCUUCCAUCACACAAAUUUGAACUAUUCACCCCAACCUUCUCCUAAAUCUUUCAAUACUGUUCUCACCACAAAUUCCCAGCUCCCUAAUCCUCCAAAAUUUUCUUACCCUACAAUGGCUCAUCCUGCUGCUACGCAUAACACGGUUCCCGAUACAAAUUGGUACAUGGACUCAGGUGCUACACAUCACUUUACUCUGGACAUCAACGUGCUUGACACUGUGACACCAUUUAGUGGUUCAGAACAGGUGACAGUUGGGAAUGGUAAGCAACUCUGUAUCUCACAUCUUGGUACUGCAAAACUACCAUCUUCGUAUUCUCCUCCUGUUCUACAUCAGGUAUAUCACACUCCAAAAAUUUCAAAUAAUCUUAUUAGUGUUAAAAAAUUGUGUUCUGAUAAUAAAGUUUUUGUUGAAUUUUAUGCCACUCAUUUUCUUGUCAAGGAUCAGGUUUCGAAGAGAGUUCUCCUUUAGGGUCAACUUGAUAAUGGCUUAUACAAAGUUCAGUCGUCAUGCUCUCCUUCUGCUGUUUCCUUUCCUCCUCAAGUUUUCAUAGCCAACAUCAAGUAUCCAAAUCUGUGGCACAAGAGACUAGGCCACCCAGCUUUAUCUGUUGUUAAUCAAAUCUUGGAUUCUUGUAACAUUGCUCGAACACAGAAAAUUUGUUUUAAUUUUUUAAAUUCUUGUCAAUUAGCAAAGAGCCACAGGCUUCCUUUUUCUCUGUCUCCAUCCAUUGCAGAAAAACCUUUUGAGUUAAUUCAUACAGACCUAUGGGGUCUUUCGCUCGUUCGCUCUAUUUCUGGUGCUCUUUAUUUUUUACUUUUCAUUGAUGAUCAUACUCGUUUUACUUGGUUUUAUUUGCUCAAAACAAAAGAUGAAGCAUAUCCUACUUUUCUCAAGUUUCAAGCUCUCAUUGAAAAUCAAUUUAAUACCAAGAUUAAGGCUGUCCAAUCUGAUUGGGGAGGUGAGUUUCGAUCUCUCUCCAUACCGUUUUCAAAUAUGGGCAUUGUCUAUUGUUUAUCGUGUCCAUACACCUCACAACAGAAUGGGCGAGUUGAGCGAAAAAAUCGCCAUGCGAUUGUCCUUUCUUGCUUGCUCUAUGCCCUUAUCUUAUUGGCCUUAUGCCUUUCAAACUGCCACUUACCUUAUUAAUCGUCUCUCUACCCCUGUGCUGCAUCAUCAAUCCUCUUACUUCGCACUCUAUCACAAACUCCCAACUUAUACUCAUCUUAAGGUCUUUGGUUCCUCUUGUUUUCCGUAUUUGCACCCUUAUAAUACCCAUAAACUCCAAUACAGGUCACUAGAGUGUGCUUUUCUUGGUUACAGUUCACACCACAAAGGUUAUCUAUGUCUUGACAUUCAUUCUAGCAGGGUGUAUAUUUCUCGCCAUGUGAUUUUUAAUGAAGAUUCUUUUCCAUUCAAGAAUUUGAAAUCUUCUCUCUCUCAGUCUAUUUCUUCUUCCUCUUCUUUAUAAGUUCCUCUGUUCAUUCUCUUGCCUCCCCUUUCCCCAUCUCCUCUUAUUUCUUCAUCUAUACCUCAUUCUUUUCCCUCUUCUUCUUCUACCUCUAGUACUUGUUCCCCUCUCGUUGCUCCUACCUCUCUUCCUUCCUCUUCACACUCUGUGUCUCCAUCUAUUCCACCUCCUUCUCCACCUUCUCCGAGUGUGGACCUGCUUGCACCUUGUGUGAAUACAAAUUUACAUACUUCUUCUCGCACUCACAAUAUUCAUCCUAUGGUGACUAGAUCUAAGGUUUGUAUCUAUAAACCUAAGUUGUUGUUGAGUGUCUCCAUAGGUUCUCUCACUAAGCCUACUUCCUUUCUUCAAGCUAUUAAAGAUCCUUCAUGGAAGCAAUCCAUGGAAUUCGAGUUUGCUACCCUUCAACACAACAAGACCUGGCAUUUGGUUCCUUCACCUUCCUCAGGCGAAGUAAUCGGUUGUAAAUGGGUCUAUAAGCUAAAGCUUCAGCCUGAUGGCUAAAUUGAGAGAUACAGCCUGCUUAGUAGCUAAGGGUAUCAUCAAAUUGAAGUAUGGACUACUUCGAAACAUUCAGCCUGAUNNNNNNNNNNNNNNNNNNNNNNNNNNNNNNNNNNNNNNNNNNNNNNNNNNNNNNNNNNNNNNNNNNNNNNNNNNNNNNNNNNNNNNNNNNNNNNNNNNNNAGCUUCAGCCUGAUGGCUAAAUUGAGAGAUACAAGGCCUGCUUAGUAGCUAAGGGUUAUCAUCAAAUUGAAGGUAUUGACUACUUCGAAACAUUCAGCCUGAUUGUCAAGCUUUCUACUAUCUGUAUUGUGCUCAGUCUUACUUUUUCCCAGAAUUGGUGUAUUAGACAGCUGGAUGUUCAUAAUGCCUUCUUACAUGGUGACUUAGCUAAAGACGUUUUCAUGGAACAACUGCCUGGAUUUGUUGAUCCUCUCUAUCCUACUCAUGUCUGCAAGUUGGAUAAGUCUCUCUACUGUCUUAAAUAGUCACCUCGGGCUUGGUAUACUAAGCUGAGUACUUCUCGCUACACUUGGGAUUUGUUACUUCUAAGAAUGACUCUUCCUUAUUUAUUUGUCAUUCGUCUCAUGGGUUACUUCUUGUUCUUGUCUAUGUGGAUGAUAUAAUCGUCAUUGGGAGCCACUCUCCUCAGGUUACUCACCUUAUCCAACAGUUGCAUCAUUAGCUUUCUUUAAAGGAUCUUGGUCCUUUACAUUAUUUUCUGGGCUUGGAGGUUCAUCACACCCCUACUGGUAUUCACCUCAGCCAAGCAAAGUAUAUCACUGAUCUCCUUACCCGGGCGGCUAUGUUGGAUGCCAAGCCAUGUCCCACUCCUAUGUCCUCCAACACAUAUCUCUCUUUUCAUGAUGGAGUGGCUCUUGAAAAUGGUUCAGAUUAUCGAAGUUUUGUUGGUGCCCUUUAGUAUUGUACCAUGACACGCCCAGAUAUAGCUUUUGCAAUAAAUAAAGUGUGUCAAUUCAUGCACCAUCCCUCUAAUGUUCACUGGCAGGCUAUAAAACGUAUUCUCCGGUACUUAAAGGGCACAUCUCAUUUUGGUCUCUUCCUACAGCCUUCCUAUGACUUCAACAUCACUUGCUAUACAAAUGCCGACUGGGCUUCCUGUCCUGAUGACAAGUGUAGCACCAGUGGCUACUGCCUCUUUCUUGCCUCUAAUCUGGUUUCUUGGUCAUCUUCCAAACAAAAAGUGGUCUCCCGCUCCAGCGCCGAAUCAGAGUACCGAGGGGUAGCAAAUGGGGCUGCUGAAAUUGCUUGGACUGAAUCUCUUCUUUGUGAACUUUCCAUUACUCCCCCUCCCCUCAUUCUCUGUGACAAUAUCAGUGCCACGUACUUAGCUGCCAAUCCUAUUUUGCAUGCCCGCACCAAACAUGUGGAAAUCGACUAUCACUUUGUCACGGAACGUGUUCUUCAAUGCUCUCUUUUUGUCCAGUUUACACCUUCUGAUGAUCAACUUGCUGAUUGCAUGACCAAGCCUCUCUCCACCCAACGUUUCAUCACUCUACGCUCCAAGCUCACUGUUCUCACUAGACCAAUGAGCUUGAGGGGGGAUGUUAAGCCUAAAGAUGUAAUUAGUUAGGAUAUUCUUUUCCCUCUAGUCUUGUAGCUCCACGUGUACAGUUGGUUAGGACCUCAUUGUAUAUAAUGCCUGCCCUGUUAUUGUAGAAGACAACAGAGAUAAAUAAUAUUAACAUUUUUCCUCUCAUCUCUCUCUCUGUUUCCCUCUGUUUUCAUCUCCUCUCUCAUCUGAACCAAAUGAUCCAUGUUAACCUUGGCUUGGUUUGAUUUGGCUCUAUCUUAGAGAGCUCAAGGAUCACGUCAACUCUGGUUUCUACUAUUCAGGUCCAUUCCCAUAUGAACUGGUUCAAAUUUGAGAAAAUGGUAACAGACCUUUAGUGAUGUUGGUUUGGAGCCAGUUGCCAAACCCGCCCUGAGCUUUACCACUAAUGUCAAGGGAGAAAGCCAUUUGAACAAAAACAAUAGCUUCAAGGGACUGAAUCGUGGAUGAAAUCUGAUCCACAUUUCUUCUCAUUUUGGAAACAAAUGAGAACUUAACUAAGAAGAUUCUACGGCCUCAUAGUGCUUUUCCUGAUCUAAGGUUGGUUCGUUUCCCAAACUGUGAGAUGCACGUGCCAGACUUCAGAACUCUCACGCUCAGGAGUGUAUCCACGUGGUGGACAUAAGAUGGUGGCUUAAGAUCUGGUGUCGGUGGCUUUACUUUACUAGGAGAGUAGUGUGUCUUCAUCUCAUUCACUGCCGGAGGGUGGCGUAAGCAGUGACGCUAAGGUGGGGCACAGUCAAUAUCAUUUGCAUUUGACCAUUAUAGUUUUCUCCCGGCUUUAAAGUAACCUUAUCGUGAUAAAGGAUUACUAGCACUAGUUCAGAUGAUAGUCAUGUUAAAUUCGGACCAUGUUUGUGUCACAUUAUCAGCAACCAUGUGUUUAUGGUUCAUGCUUUCUGCAACUAAAAUUGAUAUAUAACCAGGUGAACUUCAAUCUAAAUUCUGAAAGUACUCAUGUGAUAGAUGGUGCCCGUCUGCAGAGUCCAUCAAUUGAAAAAUGGAGUGAGUGUAUCUAUAAGAGGGAAGGCUUGGAAAAUGUUCAGUUUUCUGGGAAUUCAACAAGGAUCUAAAAUAGAUUGUUUUCUUUGCUGAUUUCAAUGGUUGAAAUUUGAGAAGAUUGUGUCCACAUAACACAACUAUUACUGGUCCUUCUGUUGCAAUUUAUCCUCUAAAGCUCUAGCAUGUCUUCCAAUUCCCACUUCCCUGUUACUCCAGGAAAGCUAUUUCUGUCAUUGUGAAGAAGAAAAGAGAAUGUACAUAUCGAUGCUUUUAAGUGACUGGAGCAUUUAUAUCAGGUGGUCUGCAGCCAUAUAUGCCACUUUGUGAAGAUUGGAACAGUCAAUCACUAGGCUAUAUAUUAGUGUGGCCCAGCCACUUUAAUCAAGGACAAGUCUUCAUACUUAAAGUCAAAUUCUGCCUUUAGUCUCAUUAUAAAUUUCUGUUUAAAUAUUAAGCAAACAUUUGUUUAAUGCGAUUAAGACAGUACUAACUCAAUACCUGUUCUAUUUUUGGAUGCAAAUGCUUGAUGGUUUCAUCAUUGGAUGGGAUAAAGGUGCAUUCAUGAUUAGGAAUACUAGUAGUUAUAUUUUAAUUCUCUUUUUUCUCAAUGAGACUUGUUGGCACAAUUUUGCUGUUGAGAAACCUACCUCUCCAUGGAAAAUAAGUUGUGAUUGAUAGUACUGGAUAUAUUCAAGAAAUCUAAAUAUAGAUAGCACAAAAUAUUAUCGACAUAAAUAGCAUUAACAGCGUACGUAUGUCUCAGUGCUCAUCAGCUAUAAGCAUGGGGCAAACACUUACUAUGAGCAACUUACGUCAAAAUUCCAGAAUAGGACAUAGAAGUGACAGAUAUAGAACAUUGCAUAUGAGUCACAAGAAAGGAAAUUACGGGUGCAUAGCAGCUCUUAUUUUACAUACUACUACUCAUACUGAUCAAAGUCACUCAGUUGGGAUGGGUGGGAGUAGGAGGUUUGUGGGGUGGCUUGUGCGGAGGAGUUGGCAGCUUCUUUCCAGGACCUGGUUGCUUCUCUGCUGGAGUUGAAGGAGGCUUAAUCUUCCGAGGUGGCUUGUAUGAGUCUUCAGCAUUCUCAGCUGGAGGGUGACCAGGGUUGUGACCAUAAUGUGGUGGCUUCUCUCCCUUAGGUGGUUUGCCAACUGGGGUUGGUGGCUUGUAUGAGUCUUCAGCAUUCUCAGCAGGAGGGUGACCAGGGUUGUGACCAUAAUGUGGUGGCUUCUCUCCCUUAGGUGGUUUGCCAACUGGGGUUGGUGGCUUGUGUUCUGGGAGUGGCUUCUCCCCCUUGGGAGGUUUUUCCAAUGGGGUUGGUUUGUGUUCAGGAGGUGGCUUCUCCACUGGAGGCUUGUGUUCAGGAGGUGGCUUCUCCACCGGAGGCUUGUGUUCAGGUGGUGGCUUCUCCACCGGAGGCUUAUGCUCUGGUGGUGGCUUCUCGAAUGGGGGAUGCUUAGGAUAAUCAGCAAGUGAGGGGGCGGUGAGAACCACCAGGCCAAGCAACACCACUAGCAAAUAUGUAGGAGACAUCUUUGGGUUUGGGCUCAGAUGGUGCAAAACUAGGAGAAUUGGCUAGCCUUUUAUAGCGGAUCGUACCCAAUAAUGAAAUGACACGUGUCAUUAUGACCCAUGUGUAAUGGGGUCGAUUUGGGUCCUACAGUGUUGAAAACUUCGACAUCCACUUUUGGCCUUUUGCUUUCUCUACAGCCGCCUUGCUUUUUCCCUCUUUCCUUUUGUUUUCCUCCUGCCCCAUUCUAUCAACUAAACACAAUUAUGUAGUUGUUUAAUUCUUAAAUGAGAUAUUAUCCGUCAAUCGUAUUAUAUUUUAUCAAGAGAGAACGGAGUGCAAUGUGGCUGUAAUUUUAUCGUUUAGUUUUAUCUCUUGGACCACUGCAUUUUUGUUAAGAGGUGCAAUAAUACACGUCUUUAUCUGCCAUUCAAUAUUUACAGUAAAGAGAGGGCACAAAACUCUUCACUUCGCACCAUAAUUAUUUUGUUUUCUGGACACCCCGGGGCCCUUUGGUUGGUUUGGGGGUCAGAAAGUGAACAUCAUAGGGGGUUUUUCCCUUAUGUGCAUUUGUAUCUGAUGGCUUUAACUCGCCUUGUUACUACAAAGAAACUGUCACAGAUAGGAACUUAUUCCAGGCUGAGUAUCUCCUCAUAGACCCUAUAAAAGAAGACAAGUCAUAAUGAACAUCUAACCUUUGUUCAAUUUGAUUCAAUGCCCCCAUUGUGUCCAUCUCACAAAUCUGAAUUAUUAUAUCCAUUGAAUACAUAAAUUAAUGAAGAAAAUAUGAAACCCAAGAUACAUCUCUGCACAACCUCAACCCUGGUUGCUAUGUUUCCCUUCUAUUCACAUGAUUUGAUGCUAAUUGCCAAACUUGCAACAAGCCCUGAGUUUGACACCUAGUAUCGAUGGGCGAAUUUAAAGUCUCCUCCAAACAUAUAUUCCACAGCUUGAAGCUCACAGAAGAUGUUACAGGCAGGGAAAAACCUUCAGAGUUCGCUACCAAAGAUAAUUAUUAAGGAGAUAUCACAAAGAGAAUUCCAAGGGGUCUGAAUCAAAGACAAAUUGGUCGUUCGUGGGGGUUCUUACUUUCUUUUGGGUAUAACUCACUGAGGGCACUGUCUUUGUUAUUUGCAUUUCACAUUUAGAGUUCUGUUCUGGAAACAUAUAAAAGGAGCAUCAUUUUGUUCUUGGGUAACCCAUAGUCGUGAGUGGGUCCAUUUGCAUGCUACUUAGUUGAAAAGUUGGACCAUUUGCUCCGACGCCUACCUCCCGGAUUCCAUGCUCGGAUAAAACAAGAAUAAAAAAAAUAUUUAUAAUUUACAAAUGGGGGAAAGAAAAAAAUGUCAACAACAAACCAGGAAAAAAGAGUAGUAAAAUUCAUGUCACAUGCUAGUGAGAGAAGGGGUUGUUACACUCACUCGAAGUUCUUUCCAAAAUAUCGCAUGGUAUUUUAUUUUAUGUGUCAGCGCAGUUGUGAAUGGAACGUGCAAAAGUCCAAAUUGGCGUUUUUCCUUUUCCCGUGUAGGAUGGCGACCUUUAAUAAAUAUUUAAAACAAAAAACGAAAAAAAGGAGGGAAAAGGGAUCAGAAAAGAUAAAACAAUGUGUACAAGAGCUCAAUUAGUUUGCAAAUUACUGUUUGGAUUUUGAUAGUAUUUUAUUUGUCCAUCUAUAUUUGAUGGAAAAGAGAAUUUAAGAUAUUUCUGAAACAAAAGCAUUAGUGUAAAACUAAAUUAAGGUAUAAUUAAGUUAGUUCAAUGCAUUAAUUUAAGAAACUUGAUCUAUCCAAAGUACAAAAUUAGAUGAAAUCCAUUUCAAUGGUUAAAAUGAUCAAAAUCAAACUUUUUCUAAGUAUUUUUUAAAAGCAUCAAUAUUAAAAGACAAUUUUAUAUUUAGUCGGAGUUUGGACAAAACCAAAAAGCACACAAAAUCCAAGCGACCAUCUCUAGCUUGGAUAGUCACUUGAUCCCACCUAGAGAUGUGCAUGAGUAAAAGGAUUUGAAAAUGGAAAUUGACUAAAUAUUUAGUUGAUCAAUUAAAUUUGCAAUGUCAUAUGCAAUCCUAAUAGCUAGUCAUCUAAUCAAUUAGGUAGUCAAUCAAGUGUUUGUAAUGACUAUUUUGUACAAAAAACCACAUGUAUAGUUAAAUAUAAUGCAUUUCAUUUAUAAAUCUUCUAAUUCUUGAAUAACGAUCCUAUCAUCCUUUGAAAAUUUUUAUUACACCUUUUUUACUUUUGUUCUAAAACUUACAUAUCACCCUUAAUUGUACCAUGAGAACCUAGCUAUUUUUUUUUUUUUUGUAAUUCAUCAAAGUUAGCUUUUGUAUUCAUUGUUGUAUUAUUUUUAGUAUAACUUAGAAAGCUAGUGUUUUCAAGUGAGUAAAAUUAACUUGUAAAUAUUGUAAAGAUUCAUUGAUAUGUAUCUUAAACUAAGUGUACAAAUUAAAACAUUUGCUAGUAGAUUUUCUCAAAAUUUAGAAUAGAGCUUGAGGCUAUUGAAAUAGGUGGGGUUACACCAAACCACAUCACAUCGUUGUUUGCACCUUUUUUCACUCUCUUUUACUUAGUUUCUCUAUAUUUGUUGUCUAGUAAUAUCCUAUAGGCUUGAUGGGUUAGGGAGCAUCCCUUUGUGAAAAAAUUUCAUUCAAUUCUUAGUUGUAUUACGCAUAUAUAAAAUGCCUCAUUGUUUUAAUGGUAUUCAGUCGUGGCAUCACAGAUAUGGGCAUCUAAAUUUUAAAAGUUUGAAACUUUUGUAAAGCAUGUUGAUAAAAUCCAUGAGAGUUGUGUACUUGGGAAGCAACAUCGAGGUGACUUUAUUUUUUUUUCCUUUUAUAAUGCCACACCUAAGUCCGGUUUCUAAAUGCUAAAGUGAAAGGGUAGGUAUGGACCAUUGAAAUGUGAUCACAACUUUUGGCCUUUUCCUUUCUCUGCAGCCAUGUUGUCUCUUUUUUCUUUUGCAUGAUUUUCUUACCAAAACAGAAUCAUAGACUUGUUUAGUCUCUAAGCUACUAUAUUAUAUCUCGGUGGACUUUUAAGAGUGCAACCGACAUAGAGCACAUGCAAGUGGGCAUAUGGGACAUGAAAUUUCUUCUUACAAAGAUUGCAUGAUUUUUAUAUUAGAGUUGUUCACGUGCAAUGUAUUUAGCUUGUUUUGCAGUUAAAUUAAUUGGAUAAGUAAACAUUGGCAUUUCUAAAUCGACUGUGAAGUGCUUCAUGUACGUGUAAAGUAUUAGAAAUUUCUUUCUUGGCAACUUGUUUUUUCCUUGCCAUCUACUGGUAGGUUUGACUAAAAUUAUAUUCCCUGUCAUGCUAAUUAAUUUUCAUGUGCAUGCUCAAAAGAAGAGUAUGACCUUAGUGCACCAAAAUCACUUUGAUUAAUUUGUGAUAGGUUUUUUUGCAUCAUUUAGAUAAUGUUUAGUUCUAAGAAAAAUUUAUAUAAAAAUGGUUUAUUUAUCUUACAUAUAUAUAUAUAUAUAUAUAUUUUUUUUUUUUUCAUUUUUUUUUCUUCUAUUUUAUUUAUUUAUUUUAUUUUCCUUAUGUUUUCCUCACAUUUUCCGGAACUAAACAUAGUCUUACGAAAUCAACAAUUGCCUUCAACUGAGUAGAUUCUGUUGUUUUAGCAAUGUUAGGCUGCUAACUUGUGGUGGUACGAACCAAAUGACCCAUGUUAAUCUUGGCUUGGUUUGAUUUGGCUCUAUCUCAGAGAGCUAAAGGAUCACGUCAACUCUGGUUUCUACUAUUCAGGUCCAUUCCCAGAUGAACUGGUUCAAAUUUGAGAAAAUGGUAACAGACCUUUAGUGAUGUUGGUUUGGAGCCAGUUGCCAAACCCGCCCUGAGCUUUACCACUAAUGUCAAGGGAGAAAGCCAUUUGAACAAAAACAAUAGCUUCAAGAGACUGAAUCGUGGAUGAAAUCUGAUCCACAUUUCUUCUCAUUUUGGGAAAAAAUGAGAACUUAACUACAAAGAUUCUACUGCCUCAUUCAUAGUGCUUUUCCUGAUCCAAGGUUGGUUCGUUUCCCAAAUUGUGAGGUGCACGUGCCACUCUCACGCUCAGGAGUGUAUCCACGUGGUGGACAUCAGAUGGUGGCUUAAUAUCUGGUGUCGGUGGCUUUACUUUACUAGGAGAGUAGUGUGUCUUCAUCUCAUUCACUGCCGGAGGGUGGCGUAAGCAGUGACGCUAAGGUGGGGCACAGUCAAUAUCAUUUGCAUUUGACCAUUAUAGUUUUCUCCCGGCUUGAAAGUAACCUUAUCGUGAUAAAGGAUUACUAGCACUAGUUCAGAUGACCGUCAUGUUAAUUCGGACCAUGUUUGUGUCACAUUAUCAGCAACCAUGUGUUUAUGGUUCAUGCUAUCUGCAACUAAACUUGAUAUAUAACCAGGUGAACUUCAAUCAAAAUUCUGGAAGUACUCUUGUGAUAGAUGGUGCCUGUCUGCAGAGUCCAUCAAUUGAAAAAUGGAGUGAGUGUAUCUAUAAGAGGGAAGGCUUGGCAAAUGUUCAGUUUUCUGGGAAUUCAACAAGGAUCUAAAAUAGAUUGUUUUCUUUGCCGACUUCAAUGGUUGAAAUUUGAGAAGAUUGUGUCCACAUAUCACAACUAUUACUGGUCCUUCUGUUGCAAUUUAUCCUGUAAGGCUCUAACAUGUCUUCCAAUUCCCACUUCCCUGUUACUCCAGGAAAGCUAUUUCUGUCAUUGUGAAGAAGAAAAGAGAAUGUACAUAUCGAUGCUUUUAAGUGACUGGAGCAUUCAUAUCAGGUGGUCUGCAGCCAUAUAUGCCACUUUGUGAAGGUUGGAACAGUCAAUCACUAGGCUAUAUAUUGGUGUGGCCCAGCCACUUCAAUCAAGGACAAGUCUUCAUACUUAAAGUCAAAUUCUGCCUUUAGUCUCAUUAUAAAUUGCUGUUUAAAUAUUAAGCAAACUUUUGUUUAAUGCGAUUAAGACAGUACUAACUCAAUACUUGUUCUAUUUUUGGAUGCAAAUGCUUGAUGGUUUCAUCAUUGGAUGGGAUAAAGGUGCAUUCAUGAUUAUGAAUACUUGUAGUUAUAUUUUCAUUCUCUUUUUUCUCAAUGAGACUUGUUGGCACAAUGUUGCUGUUCAGAAACCUACCUCUCCAUGGAAAAUAAGUUGCGAUUGAUAGUACUGGAUAUGUUCAAGAAAGCUAAAUAUAGAUAGCACAAAAUAUUAUCGAUAUAAAUAGCAUUAACAGCGUACGUAUGUCUCAAUGCUCAUCAGCUAUAAGCAUGGGACAAACACUUACUAUGAGCAACUUACGUCAAAAUUCCAGAAUAGGACAUAGAAGUGACAGAUCUAUAUAUAUAGAACACUGCAUAUGAGUCACAAGAAAGGAAAUUACGGGUGCAUAGCAGCUCUUAUUUUACAUACUACUACUCAUACUGAUCAAAGUCACUCAGUUGGGAUGGGUGGGAGUAGGAGGUUUGUGGGGUGGCUUGUGCGGAGGAGUUGGCAGCUUCUUUCCAGGACCUGGUUGCUUCUCUGCUGGAGUUGAAGGAGGCUUAAUCUUCCGAGGUGGCUUGUAUGAGUCUUCAGCAUUCUCAGCUGGAGGGUGACCAGGGUUGUGACCAUAAUGUGGUGGCUUCUCUCCCUUAGGUGGUUUGCCAACUGGGGUUGGUGGCUUGUAUGAGUCUUCAGCAUUCUCAGCAGGAGGGUGACCAGGGUUGUGACCAUAAUGUGGUGGCUUCUCUCCCUUAGGUGGUUUGCCAACUGGGGUUGGUGGCUUGUGUUCUGGGAGUGGCUUCUCCCCCUUGGGAGGUUUUUCCAAUGGGGUUGGUUUGUGUUCAGGAGGUGGCUUCUCCACUGGAGGCUUGUGUUCAGGAGGUGGCUUCUCCACCGGUGGCUUGUGUUCAGGAGGUGGCUUCUCCACCGGAGGCUUAUGCUCUGGUGGUGGCUUCUCCACCGGAGGCUUAUGCUCUGGUGGUGGCUUCUUGAAUGGGGGAUGCUGAGGGUAAUCAGCAAGUGAGGGGGCGGUGAGAACCACCAGGCCAAGCAACACCACUAGCAAAUAUGUAGGAGACAUCUUUGGGUUUGGGCUCAGAUGGUGCAAAACUAGGAGAAUUGGCUAGCCUUUUAUAGCGGAUCGUACUCAAUAAUGAAAUGACACGUGUCAUUAUGACCCAUGUGUAAUGGGGUCGAUUUGGGUCCUACAGUGUUGAAAACUUCGACAUCCAGUUUUGGCCUUUUGCUUUCUCUACAGCCGCCUUGCUUUUUCCCUCUUUCCUUUUGUUUUCCUCCUGCCCCAUUCUAUCAACUAAACACAAUUAUGUAGUUGUUUAAUUCUUAAAUGAGAUAUUAUCGGUCAAUCGUAUUAUAUUUUAUCAAGAGAGAACGGAGUGCAAUGCAGCUGUAAUUUUAUCGUUUACUUUUAUCUCUUGGACCACUGCAUUUUUGUUAAGAGGUGCAAUAAUACACGUCUUUAUCUGCCAUUCAAUGUUUACAGUAAAGAGAGGGCACAAAACUCUUCACUGCUCUGCAUGUGUCCCAAAAAUGCGAUUGGACAAAUUAUGAUUUGCAUGCUAAAAAGAGGCAAAUGAGGUUAAUUCGCACCAUAAUUAUUUGGUUUUCUGGACACCAUAAAAAGAUGUUAUACAGGCAGGGAAAAACCUUCAGAGUUAGCUACCAAAGAUAAUUAUCAAGCAGAUAUCACCAAGAGAAUUCCAUAGAGUCUGAAUCAAAGACAGAUUGCUCGCUCGUGGGGGUUCUUACUUUCUUUUGGGUAUAACUCACUGAGGUCACUGUCUUUUUUAUUUGCAUUUCACAGUUAGAGUUCUGCUCUGGAAGGUUUGUUCUGGAAACAUAUAAAAGGAGCAUCAUUUUGUUCUUGGGUAACCCAUAGUCGUGAGUGGGUCCAUUUGCAUGCUACUUAGUUGAAAAGUUGGACAAUUUGCUCCGACGCCUACCUCCUGGAUUCCAUGCUCGGUAAAACAAGAAUAAAAAAAAAUAUAUAAUUUACAAAUGGGGGAAAGAAAAAAUGUCGGAAAAAAUAGUAAAAUUCAUGUCACAUGCUAGUGAGAGAAGGGGUUGUUACACUCACUCGAAGUUCUUUUCAAAAUAUCGAAUGGUAUUUUACUUUAUGUGUCAGCGCAGUUGUGAAUGGAACGUGCAAAAGUCCAAAUUGGCGUUUUUAUUUUUCCCAUGUAGGAUGGUGACCUUUAAUAAAUAUUUAAAACAAAAGACGAAAAAAAAAAGGAGGGAAAAGGGAUCACAAAAGAUAAAAUAAUGUUUACAAAAGCUCAAUUAGUUUGCAAAUUACUGUUUGGAUUUUGAUAGUAUUUUAUUUGUCGUUCUAUAUUUGAUGUAAAAGAGAAUUUAAGAUAUUUCCGAAGCAAAAGCAUUAGUUUGCUCUGUGAUGUCCCACAUCGAAUAGGGGAGAAAGUUUCUGGCGCUAUAUAUGUAGAGGCUCCUCUUAACCAAGUAGAUGCGUUUUAAAACCAUGAGGGCCCCCUUAGGUCCAAAGCGGACAAUAUCUACAUGAUUGGGUGUAAGUCAUUACAAAUGGUAUCAGAGCCGAUCCCCGACCCCGGUGUGGGGGUUUGUUUGGCCCUGUAAGGGGUGUUUGUCUGUUUGACCCCACAAUCCCAUGGGACACAACGAGGACGUUGUGUCUGCAUGGGGGGGCGUUUGUGAUGUCCCACAUCGGAUAGGGGAGAAAGUUCCUAGUGCUAUAUAUGUAGAUGUUUCUCUUAACCAAGUAGAUGCAUUUUAAAAUUGUGAGGGCCUCUUUGGGCCCAAAGCGGACAAUAUCUACAUGGUUGAGUGUAAGUCAUUACAUGCUCCAUGUCAAUUUCAGCAUUUCUCAUAUGUUUCACACAUACACAGAAGAGCAUCGUUUUUUAAAGCAUGCAUUUAUGUUGGAUUAAUUUGGAUUUUGUGGGAACUGGGGCAAGGAUCACAUGGAAGAGAGGUUGACUUUUUUCAGUACUUCAAUGGUUGAAAUAUGUGAAGGCUUGAUUGAUACUAAAGCUUGAAAUUGCGACUCUGUCAUUUGUAAAAAAAUAUGACAGCUUCCAUGCUCUCGUUUGGUUGCAUUGUCCGGUCGAGAGGUGCAAAAAGCAUUCUCUCUCUUCUAAUAGUCUUUUCGUUUAAAUCAAGGGAUUUGCCUUCCCGGUCGAGGUCCAAUAGAGGGUAACGGUCACCUACUAAACAUUAAAUGCUCCAACAACUAGUGAACUGAUCGACCCCAGCUCGACUAGUUGAGGUUACUUUUUGGUUUUCUUGUCUCCCGAGGUUAGAAACCUAUAAAUAGAGAGCUUCACUUCAUUUAUGAGUAAGAGAACACCUAAAUUUAUUUGUUUACCUACUUGUUUUUGCCAUAAAAGCUCUCAUUUCUUUUCUUGGUGUAUUAAAUCUCCAUUUGCAUAUCCUUUAGUGCACCUUUGUGAUUCAUUCUAGCCUUGAGUUGUAUUUAAGCCUUUGUUGAGCUAGGUUGAGAGUUUCAUACUUGUUUAUUGAGUGUUAAAGCCUUCAAGUGAGUUAAAACUUGAAGAGAUUGUGUAAGAGCCCAUUGGAGUCGGAAUCCAAGUGUAAAGGUGAUUAAAAGCUUGGUUGAAGCUUCAAGUUAGUGGAACUCUCACUCGGUUAUGAGCUUGAGAAGAGUGGACAUAGACAAGGCAGUGUCGAACCACUAUAAAAUCUGAGUUUGAUUUCUCUAACCUUAUCUCUUUAUAUUUGCUUCUCUUGUGCUUAAAUUUUUUGUGUUUAAAAAGAAUUUUUAAAAACUCAAUUCACCCCCUUCUUGGGAGUUUUUCUCUUUUAAGAUCAGCUUUUAUUUUCUCAAUUGGUAUCAGAACUAUGCCUCUUGUUUAAGACUUAAUCGUCUAAGAGGAAAUGGCUAAUCCAUCAAGUUCAUCUCACAUUGAAAGUUUUGCAACCAAUAGACUUCUUUUUUUUUUUUUGCGGGAACUGAUUAUCCCUAUUGGAAAACUAAAAUGACUUGGUUUUUACAAUCAAUUGAUUUAGAUGUAUGAGAUGCCAUUGAAGAUGACCUAACUUUUCCUUCAAAACUAGUUGAUGGAGUCAUGGUUCCAAAACCUAAGCAAGAAUGGGAUGAGCGUGAUUGAAGAAAUUUUCAAUUAAAUGCUAAAGUCGUUUAUACUUUGCAAUGCUCUAUGGACAGAAAUGAAUAUAAUAGAAUAUGUCAAUGCAAAUCGGUUAAAGAAAUUUGGAGAUUGCUUGAAAUAACUCAUAAAGGAACAAAUCAAGUUAAAGAGUCAAAAAUCAAUUUACUUGUUCAUAGAUAUGAAUUGUUUUUUAUGAAAGAUAAUGAAACUAUUGUUAAGAUGAUCACUAGGUUCACCAACAUUGUUAAUGGUCUUAAAGCCUUGGGAAAGACCUACAAGGAAUCCGAAAACGUGAUGAAGAUCUUGAGGUCACUUCCAUCAAAGUGGCAUACCAAGGUCACCGCAAUUUAAGAAGCAAAAGACUUGAUCAAGCUACCUUUGGAGGAGUUCAUAGGGUCAUUGAUGACAUAUGAAAUCAAUUUGGCAAAGAAGUAACAAAAAGGUGAAGACAAAAAGAAGAAGAACAUAACUCUCAAAGCUACAACUAAGGAAGAAGAAGUUGAAGAAGAAAAACAAAUUGAAGAAGAUGAAGAUUUAGCCCUCAUCACAAGAAAGUUCAACAAAUUCAUGAGGGGUGAAAGGUUUAGAAGAAGAAGGUUCACUUCUAGAAGAGACUUUUCUAAAAAGGAAUCUUCAUCUAAUGGUGACAAAAAGAGAUGGGAAGAGAAAAGAGACUUGGUGUGUUUCAAGUGCAAGAAACCGGGACACAUUAAAUAUGAUUGUCCUCUCUACAAAAGUGAAGUCAAGAGGAAAAAGAAUAAGGCAAUGAUGGCCACUUAGAGUGAAAGUGAAGAUGAAUCAUCCGAAGAAGAAAAUGAGAAAGAAGUGGCAAACAUGUGUUUCAUGGCAAUAGAUGAACUUGAUGAGGUAAAAUCUAACCUUAGUGAUUAAGAUAUACAUGAUGCAUUUGAAGAAUUGUAUGAGGAUUUUUAAAAACUUAGUUUGAAAAAUAUUUCUCUUAAAAAGAAAGUUCAACAACUUGACAAAGAACUUAGAGAAGUAAAAGAAAAAUUUUCAAAUGUUAAAGUUUCUAAAACUCAUCUUGAAAAAGAAAAUGAGAUUCUAAGAAAGAAAAAUGAAUAGUUGAACUCCUCUCUUUCAAUCUUUUCUUCUAGACAAAAAUCUUUUGAAAUGAUUCUAACUAGCUAAAAAUGUGUUUUUGACAAACAAGGGUUAAGAUUUAAAUCUUCAAAAAAUCAAAAGUAUUUUAAAAACUAUUUUGUAAAGGAAUCCACAAGUGCAAGUCCUUCCACUACUUGCAACUUUUGUGGAAGAGAAUGGCACAUUAGUAGUACGCCCUUUAAGAAAUGGUUCUCAAAAGAAUUUAAAUGCAAAAACUAAAAAAGAUUUGGAUUGAGAAAUCCAAGGUCACUAACCCUCAAGGACCCAAAAAGAUAUAGGUACCUAAAUCAACUUGAGUUUUAUGUUGUAAGGUUCAAAGAAUGAUAAGUGGUUCUUAGAUAAUGGUUGCUCAAGACACAUGACCGGAGAUGAAUCCAAGUUUGCUUUUCUUAAAAAGAAAAAUGGAGGAUAUGUUACCUUUGGAGACAAUGCAAAAGAAAGGAUGAUUGGUCAAGGCAACAUUGGUAAUGGCACAUCCUCUCUCAUUGAAAGUGUUUUAUUAGUAGAUGGUUUCAAACAUAACCUUUUAAGCAUUAGUCAAUUUUGCGACAAAGGUUUUUAAGUGAUUUUUUAAGCAUCUCAUUGCAUCAUCAAGGAUAUUCAAAAUGAUAAAACCAUUUUCAUGGGCCAUAGAUGUGAUAAUGUUUAUGCUAUAAAUAUUUCAAAAUAUGAUGGCCAUGAUAGAUGUUUUUCAAGCAUGCAUGAUCAAAGUUGGUUGUGCCAUAGGAGAUUGAGACAUGCUAACAUAGACCUCAUUUCCCAACUCAACAAAGAUGAACUUGUUAGAGGCCUUCCCAAAAUAAUUUUUUAAAAAGAUAAAGUUUGUGAAGCUUGUCAAGUGGGAAAGUAAAUCAAAAACUCUUUUAAAAACAAAAACUUCAUUUCCACAUCUAGGCCACUUGAGUUGUUGCAUAUGGAUUUAUUUGGUCCCUCUAGGACACCAAGUCUUAGAGGAAAUUCUUAUGCAUAUGCUAUUGUGGACGACUUCUCUAGAUACACAUGAGUCUUGUUUUUUAGUCAAAAGAAUAAAGUUUUUUAUGAGUUUUCAAAGUUUUGCAAUAAGAUUCAAAAUGAAAAAGGUUUUUCAAUUACUUAUAUAAGAAGUGAUCAUGGGAGAGAAUUCGAAAAUAUUGAUUUUGAAGAGUAUUGCAAUGAGCAUGGAAUUGACCACAAUUUUUUGGCUCUUAGAACUCCUCAACAAAAUGGGGUAGUUGAAAGGAAAAAUAGAACUCUUCAAAAAAUGACAAGAACCAUACUAAAUGAAAACAACUUACCAAAAUAUUUUUAGGCCAAAACGGUUAACACUUCUUGUUAUGUUUUAAAUAGAGUAUUAUUGAGGCUCAUACUUAAGAAAACUCCCUAUGAGCUUUGGAAAAACAAAAAACCCAACAUUAGUUAUUCCAAAGUCUUUGGAUGCAAUAUUUUAUAAUAAACACCAAAGACAAUCUUGGAAAAUUUGAUGCAAAAUUGGAUGUUGGAAUUUUCCUUGGUUACUCAACUUCAAGUAAAGCUUUUCGAGUUUUAACAAAAGAACCAUGGUUGUAGAGGAGUCCAUCCAUGUUAUUUUUUAUGAAUCUCCAAGAAAGAGAGAGGAUUGAUGAUGAUUUAGGUUUGAAGACCUCUAUAGGAAGAUUGCAAAUCGAAGAUAGAAGACAACAAGAAGAAAAUGGAGAGAAUCCAAAGAAAGAAGGAUCACCAUUGGCACUACCCCCUCAUCAACAAGCGCAAGGUGAAUCAAGUCAAGAGCUUCCUAAAGAAUGGAAGUUUGUCAUCAAUCACCCACAAGAUCAAAUUAUAGGCAAUCCAUCUAGUGGGGUAAGAACUAGAUCCUCUCUUAGAAAUAUUUGCAAUAAUCUAGCUUUUAUCUCUCAAAUUGAGCCUAAAAAUAUAAAUGAUGUUUUAGAUGAUGAAAAUUGGAUAAUUGCAAUGCAAGAAGAGUUAAAUCCAUUUGAAAGAAGUGGAGUAUGGGAAUUAGUACCAAGACCUUCAAAUCAAAGUGUUAUUGGAACUAGAUGGAUCUUUAGAAAUAAAAUGGAUGAAAAUAGCAUAAUUGUUAGAAAUAAAGCAAGAUUGGUAGCCCAAGGUUUUAAUCAAGAAGAAAUGAUAGAUUAUGAAGAAACCUUUGCCCCCGUAGCUAGGUUGGAAGCCAUUAGGAUGCUACUUGCCUUUGCAUGUUUUAAAGACUUUGUUUUAUAUCAAAUGGAUGUGAAAAGUGCUUUUUUAAAUGGUUUUAUAAAUGAAGAAGUAUAUGUUGAACAACCACCCGGUUUUCAAAGUUUCAACUUUCCUAACCAUGUUUUUAAACUUAAAAAGACACUUUAUGGUUUGAAACAAGCACCUAGAUCAUGGUAUGAAAAAUUGAGUAAAUUUCUUUUGAAAAAAAUGUUUUAAAAUGGGAAAAAUUGACACAACUCUUUUUAUAAAAACCAAAGAAAAUGAUAUGCUCUUAGUUCAAAUAUAUAUUGAUGAUAUCAUUUUUGGUGCUACUAAUGUCUCUCUUUAUGAAGAAUUUUCUAAGUGCAUGCAUAGUGAGUUUGAAAUGAGCAUGAUAGGAGAACUCAACUUCUUCCUUGGACUUCAAAUCAAGCAACUAAAGGAAUGAACCUUCAUCAAUCAAGCAAAGUAUAUAAGAGAUCUUCUCAAAAGGUUCAACAUGGAAGAAGCCAAAACAAUGAAGACUCUAAUGAGCUCAUCCAUUAAGCUUGAUAAGGAUGAGAAAGGUAAAUCCAUUGACUCUAUUAUGUAUAGAGGCAUGAUAGGUUCUUUGCUCUAUUUGACCACUAGUAGACCUUACAUUAUGUAUAGUGUGUGUUUGUGUACUAGAUUUCAAUCUUGUCUUAAAAAAUCUCACUUAAGUGUCGUGAAAAGAAUCCUCAAAUAUUUGAAAGGGACAAUGGACAUAGGCUUAUGGUAUCCUAAGAGUGAUAACUUUGAAUUAAUUGGUUUUUUGGAUGCUGAUUUUGUCAGUUGUAGGGUUGAAAAAUAAAACACUAGUGGCACUUUUCAUUUCUUAAGACACUUACUUGUCUCAUGGCAUAAUAAGAAGCAAAAUUUGGUAGCUUUGUCAACAGCAGAAGCUAAAUACAUAGCAACUGGUUUAUGUUGUGCACAAAUCCUUUGGAUGAAAUAAACACUUAGUGAUUUUGAUUUAUCUUUUGAGCAUAUUCCUAUUAAAUGUGAUAAUAGUAGUGCCAUAAGUAUAUCAAAAAAUCUCGUGCAACACUCUAGGACUAAGCAUAUAGAGAUUAGACAUAAUUUUCUUAGAUAUCAUACACAAAAGGAUGAUAUAACACUUGAAUUUGUAAGCAUAAAAGACCAACUUGCCGAUAUCUUUACAAAACCUCUAAGAACAUUUUGUUGAUAUUAGAGGACAAUUAGGAGUGAUUUCUUUAUGAUCUAAUGUGAUGAAUUCUUGAUGAAUAUACUUUUUGAUUGCAUGAAUUUCAUGUCAUAUAUGCAUCAUAUAGAAAUAUACUUAGAUAAUGGUCAAAUUUCGACCAAAAAUCAAAAUUCCCAUGGCAUUAGGCAUAAAAAUUUUGGAAUUUCAACUGAAAAUGGUAGGAGGAGGAUCACAAAAUGAGAAAGUAUGCAAAAAUUGAAAAAUCAAAACGUUGACCAAGCGGUCAAUCGGACUAGACCGAUCGACUAGUUUGUCGAGAUUUAGGAUUUUUAAGAGACUCCAACGCUUCAAUUUUUGCACCGUUCUCCUCUAUUUCUUCACGGUUUCUCUGAUUUUGUCUUUUAGAGACUAAUUUGAGUGCGUUUUGGAUCAAUUGAAGCAUUUUGGAUUGGAUUUUAGGAAGAUUGAAAGUUAAGGUUUCGGAUUUGGGUCGCCUUCUCUUCCUCUCGCGUGUCACAAUCAGCUUUAGCAUUGUUCUCUUUCCAUUUUCACACACCUAGGGUUUCAGUUGUGAGCAUCUCUCUCUCUUUACCAACCACUACUCCCUUGCUUCUUCCAUAUGGCUCCUAGGCGAGAGUCCGCUACUUCUAGGGCACAAGGCAAGCACCCAACUGAGUCGUCUCAGUCAAAGGCACGUCGAAAAGUGAGAUUUGACAUUGCCUUGUUCAGUUCCAUGGAGGACUACCAACUAUACAAGCAACACUUUGCUUAGAGACGAGUAGUUCCCAAGAGAAAUAUUAAUUUUCCUCAACUUCAGCAUUUCGAAUUUAAGGGUCUAUUUACUAGGAUGGUUGGUUGUCUAUUGUCACAAUUUCGGAGCCGGUUUUCCUGACCUUAGUGCGAGUUUUUUACUCGAGGGCGACUUAUGGCAUGGGUGGCAUGAUCAUUUCUACUGUUGGAGGAGUUGAGAUCUGUCUGGACCCAGAGAGCAUCUGCCAUAUUUUCGAUAUUGCUCUGGUUGGACUCAAAGUAUACAAGUCCAAAAUGUGGCCCAUUGUGCCAGGAUUUGAGCUUAGAGAGGUCAUUCAGAGGAUUUGUGAACUUCCAGACGCCCAGGAGAUGGGCAAACCAUUGCCACACAGUUUGACGGUCAUCAACAGGGUGCUACACCAUAUAUUGUGCUCUAUCUUUCUACCACGAAGUGGACAUUGAGAUGAGGUCUCUUAUUAUGAGGCAUUCCUUAUUGACUCCAUUCUAACGGAGAGACGAAUUCAUCUACUAUGUCAUCAUUCACUAAGCCUCCUCACAGUGACAUACCACCUCAUCAGGCACCUCUUGCUCCUGACCAUGCUCCAUUGAUGGAUUUAUUUACUCAUAUUAGCUCUCUAGGCACUCGCAUGAAGGAGUUUGUUGUAGUUAGUGAUACAUGGUUCUACUCCAUAGAGGAUCGCAUGGAUCAGUAUCAGACUGGCUUCACGUCACAGUUUGAGUAUCUCCAAUAGAGGAUUGAGCAUAUUGAGGAUCACUUGAGCAUGAGAAGAUGAUGGCUUUUCUAUGCUCUGUGUUUCCACCUCCACCUCGUCAACCUUGAUUUCUUAGAGACCCAUUGUUUUCAUUUUGUAAUGUUGCCAAAAGGGGGAGAUAUUUAGGAUCUAGGACUCUAUAGGAGACUUACAUGCAUAUCAUUUUCAUAUCAUUGUUUGGAUCGUACAUAUUGGAUAGUGAUACUUUUUACUUAUAUAUGAUAUGCCUAUAUGUUUCAUGUCUUACAUUGUUUCUUAUUGCAAAUUAUCUCUAACAUGUCUUGAUUAUCUUUUUUUUAACUUCAUAAAUUUUGAUUGUUAACCCAUGAUUGGUUUGAGGGGAAGAUUCUUCUUCUCCUAGAUAACCAAGGUUUGUCAUCAUAAAAAAAUUGGAGAUUGUUAGCCCAAGGGUUCUCCUAAUCAUGUUUUGAUGAUAACAAACCAUGCUUAAGUUACUAAUUGGUUUGAAUUAUAAAGAAUUUCAAGUGUUAAUUUGAAAAUUCAUCAAAGAACCUAAUGGAUGCAAGAUCAAGAUUUUUGGAAGACCUUUAAUCAUAAGAAACAUAUGUAAGAUGAAUGCAUGGGUGCACUUAAGAUUUGCAUAUCAUUUCAUGCAUAUUUGGAAAACACGGUUUAUGCUUUAAAGUUACAUUUCCAUCAAAAUUUGAGAUCCAUCAAAUGAACCUUAGGAAAAAUGUUUUAAAAUUGGCAUAUAAUUUUACCUAAAGACCUUGCCUAAGUGUUAGAAGCAAAAGGACAAAAAAAAUAUAGGUUUUCUGGUCAAAAAUGGUGAACCAGUCAAGGCAUUGUCUAAAUCAGCUCAAUCGGCCAAGGUACCGGUCGAUCGGUUUCCCUUUCCCUGUCGAGAUCUAGUCAAGAGGUACAAAAAUCACAAUCUCUGUCUCUUUCUCUCUUUGUCUAUCUUCCAGUAGUCUUUCCUUCCCGGUCGAGGGAUUUGCCUUCCCGAUUGAGGUCCGAUUGAGAGUAAUAGUCACUUGCCAAAUAUUAAAUGCUCCAACAGUUAGUGAACUGGUCGACCCCCACCUUGCCCAGUUGAGGUUACUUUUUGGUUUUCUUGGCUCCCGAUGUUAGAAACCUAUAAAUAGAGAGUUCCACUUCAUUUAUGAGCAAGAGAACACUUGCAUUUAUUUGUUUACCUACUUGUUCUUGCCUUAAAAGCUCUCAUUUCUUUUCUUGGUGCAUUAAAUCUCCAUUUUGAUAUCCUUUAGUGCACCUUUGUGAUUCAUCUUAGCCUUGAGUUGUAUUUGAGCCCUUUUUUUAGCUAGGUUGAGAGUUUCAUACUUGUUAAUUGAGUGUUAAAGCCUUCAAGUGAGUUGAAACUUGUAGAGAUUAUGUGAGAGUCGAUUGGAGCCGAAAUCCAAGUGUAAAGGUGAUUAGAAGCUUGGUUGAAGCUUCAAGUUAGUGGAAUCCUCACUCAAUUAGGAGCUUGAGGAGAGUGGACGUAGCCAAGGAAGUGUCGAACCACUAUAAAAUUUGAGUUUGAUUUCUCUAACAUUGUCUCUUUAUAUUUGUUUAUCUUGUGCUUAAAUUUAUUGUGUUUAAAAAGAAUUUUUAAAUACCCAAUUCACCCCCCUCUUGGGUGUUUUUCUCUUUUAAAAUUAGCCUUUAUUUUCUCACAAACUAUUGUAGUAUAGUGGUUUUUAGGUGUCAUCCAUUAGGAUGAAUUGUUCUCGGUAAUUAAGGCGUGAAUGAGAGGAGAAUUAAUGAUUGUGAUUAAGUAAAAUUGAUUUGAAAAUUCAUGGUGAAAAAUCAAUUUAACAAUGGUUUCUAAUUGAGAAAAACAAUGAAAUGUGAAAUAAAAUAAAAUUAAUAGGAAAUGAAAUUCUCGAAGUUAGAAUUUUCUAAAAAACAAAUUCCAUGGUGAAUGGAUGUUGAGAUCUAAUUUUCAUCAAGUUAGAUUGAAAACCGAAAUUUUCAUAUAAACUGAUUUUUUAUUUAGUUUUAGGUCUAGAUUUAAUUUCCCUUAAAAUUAGGUUAUUUAAUCCAAGAAAUCAAUUCAAAUCAUAUAUUCAAUUCAUCUUAAAUUAUCUUCCAAUUAUUCACACAAUGCAACUAUUCAAUCUCAUCAAAUCUAGCUUUUAAGAAUUUAAUGAAUCUACCUAGUUUGCAUUGUAAUAGUCAUCCAUGACAAUUUGAAGAGAAAAAUAAUUCAAUUAAUCAAUCACUUGGAUCAAAUUACCUUUGCAAUUAAAGUUCAUUUCUCUAAUUCACCACAGAUUUUGUCUCUAGAUCCUCCUUUCUCAAAGAAAAAUGAGAUUUAGCCACACAUGAUUGGAGAUUUGGUCUCAUAAGGCAUGUUUAGCUAGUGAUAAAAUGAGAGAAAAUAAAGAAAAAUAGAGAAUUCGAUUAAGAAAGAAAAUCUAAAAAAUUCUACAAUUAGAAAUGUCCAAAAAGCUUUUUCAUGAGAAAAUCAAGUUUCUAUUUAUAGGCCAAGGUCAAGUGGACACUUGACAUCAUCUAAGAGGUCUUCCGGAAGCUUCUUCAUCAAGAAAUCUGGAGUUUAAUAAUAAAAUGGUCAUUUCACAAGAGCUCAAACAAUUUCGCAUGAUUAUGUGAAAUAAAAAAUGCAACAACAGCAAUUUACAUCUUCUUGGAGCAUUUCGCAUGACUGUGUGAAAUUUUCACAUGAUCAUGUGGAAUCGACUUGACAACUCUCAUUUAGCCUACAACAUAAUUCCACCUUUUGGUCCAUUUUUCAUAGUCAUGCGAAAUGGAAAUAUUUGAUUUUUAAGUUUUCUUUUGUCAUUUCUUUCAUUUCCUUCUCUUGAUUCCACUUCAACUACCUCCGAAUCCUGGUCCAAACCAAUUGCAUUACUUCUUUCAUUAUGCAUUUGGAUCAUCAUCAACAUUAUUUGUUCUCUUCAAUUUGAUUCAUCUCUUUUGUCACCAAUUUAUCAAAAUCAUACCUUGAAAUGACUCCAAAACUUCAUAAAACUUGUUAGUAACUCUUGCAAGGGCAACAACAUAUUAAUUAAGUGUUUUAGGCAUAGUUACUACUCAAAAGAUGCGAAACUCAUGAUAAUUAUUAUAUAAAAUAUGCUCUUUUUGAGUAGUAAUCAACUUUCUUGCAUAAGCAGACCUUUUAGGGUGGAGUACUAAAGACCAAUAUGCUUGUCCUUGUUGUAAUAAAGAAACUUGCUCUUAUUGAUUGCACCAUGGGAGAAAAUUUUGCUACAUGAGUUAUCAUCAAUUUCUUCCCACCAAUCAUAGAUUUAGACGUGACAAGAGGCCUCUUAAUGGCAAGGAGGAACUGACACUCACACUUAUACAAUUAUCGGGCAUUGAUGUGUUGCAACAAUUAGAAUAACUUACACCAAUUAUGUUGGGGAAGUCACAAAAGGCAAACAUGAAAACUAAAAGGAAAAAAGAAAAAUGUUACAUAUCACCACAACUGGAAAGAAAAAAGUAUUUACUUUCAUUUGCCAUAUUGGAAAGCACUUAUUUUACAUCAUAAUAAUUUAGACAUAAUGCAUAUUGAGAAAAAUGUGUGACAAUAUAAUUGAGACAUUGUUCAGUAUUGACGAAGAAACAAGGACAACCUAAAUAGUCAUCUCGAUUUACAAGCUCUAACUAUUAGAAAUGAGAUUCACCCAAUAGAAAGCAGGACCAAAUUUAUUUUGCUUGCAACAUGCUACUCACUCACCCCAAAUGAGAUUAAGGAAUUUUGCAAGUUUUUGAAAUCAAUAAAGGUCCCCAAUGGCUAUUCUUUCAAUAUCUCUCGUUAUGUGCAACUCAAUGAAAGGAAGAUAUAUGAGCUCAAAUUGUAUGAUUGUCAUGUCCUAAUGCAACAACUUCUCUCACUUGUAGUUCGUGGAGUUCUACAUAAGAAUGUUUGUGGAGUUAUCAUAGAAUUGCGUAAUUUUUUCAAGCAAUUGUGCUCAAAGGUGUUAGAAACAAAUCACUUACACCAACUUGAGAACAAUAUUAUUGUCAUACUAUGUAAAAUGGAGCAAAUAUUUCUUCCAUCAUUCUUUGAUAUUAUGGUGCAUUUACUUGUGCAUCUAGUAAGGCAAAGGUUGCAAGACUUGUGCAAUAUUGUUGGAUGUACCUAAUUGAACGAUAUUGUUAUAAUUUCAUAUGAAUCAUUUAAUUUUAUUUUAUAUUAUGUUCAGUUCAUUAACAUGUACAUUGGUCUACAUAUGGAUGAUGAUAGGUACCUAAGCACUUUAAAGUCAUAUGUGCGUAAUAGAACUUUUCUAGAAGGUUCUAUUGUAGAAAGGUACCUUGCAAAAGAAUGUACAACAUUUUAUUCUAGGUACUUGAAUGAUGUGGAAAUAAAGUAUAAUCACAAUGAUAGAAACUUUGUUGGUUUCAACACUAGAGGAGAUGAAAGGGGUUAUCUUUAAACAUAUUGGACAUGCAUUGGGAAAGCCCAUAUUUCAUUAACUUAGUUCAAAAGAGUGGUCACAAGCACAUUUAUAUGUGUUGACAAAUUGCGAAGAUGUCAUACCAUUCAUUGAGUAAAAAAUUUAUUUGAAUUUUAAUUAAAGCUCUAGUUUAUAUCCUUAAUCAAUGUUUUUUAAAUUCACAAGGAGCACAAGCAAACCAUCAAGGCUAGACCACAUAUACGUGUUUGAGACGUAGAUUUAAUUCAUAACAAGGAAUUUAUCAAGUGGUUUGAAAGACAUGUAAGUAUAUUCCUUAUUAUAAGGGAUUUAUUUCACAUUAUGUUUAUAUUGAAUCCAAACCUAUUAUUGAAUUGUAGGUUGAACAAUUACAUAAUGAAGGUCAUAUAUCUGAACACCUUCUCACAUUAUCAUGUGUUCCAAAUUCAUUAGUUACAUGCUUCAAAUGAUAUAUUGUCAAUGGAUUUAGAUCCCACAUUAAAGAACGUGAUAAAAAAGUUUUUAAAAAAAGACUCAGAAUAAUGGAAUUGUUGUAGUUGCAAAAACGUCAAGCUUUACAAGUGCAUGUGAUAUGAGUCCAAUUAUUAGUGAUGCUCUCUACUAUGGUGUUCUAACUAAAGUUGUUGAGUUACAUUAUCUUGGUGAAAAUAAGGUUGUUUUAUUCGAGUUUGAUUGGUGGGAUGUUACAAAUAUUGGAAAAUUGAUAAAAGAUGAUGAGUACAAUUACACAUUUGUUAACUUUGCAUGAAUUCUAACCACGAACGAACGAUUUGUACUUGCAUCUCCAGCAAAGUAAGUGUUCUAUGUGAAGAAUGCGAAUGAAUCAGAUUGGCAUACUAUCAUGGAGAUGCAACCUCAAGACCUCUAUAAGAUGAACGGGAUAGGAUCCAAUGGUGAUUUUGAACCAUUUCAACAAAGUGAACUACAUGAUCACUAAUAUAUCUCAGAUUUAGUUGAUGAAGAUAUAAUCAAGUGGAACAAAAGUGAUGUUUUAGGACUAAUCAUCCUAAAAAAUAUUGUAGUUUCUUAAAAAAAAAAUGAAAAUGAAGAAGAUAAUUGAACCUUUGUCAUACUUUAAAAAGCAACUAUGCAUUGUUCAUUUUGUAUGUUUUGGUUUUCUUCAUUUAAUUUCCUGAUUUUUGUGAUUCAAUGUCAUAUUAUUGAUCUUGAAAUAUUUUUCUAAUUUUUCAUUCUACGAUGGUUUCAACAAGGAUGACAUCAAGUCAAAAAAGGAAAUGUGGUCCCACACACAAUAUUGCAUUACAGGGAUUAAGGUCAGGGAAGAAGGUAAAAGUUGCAUUUAAUGAGUACAAUCAAUUGGUUAAACAGAAAAAUGGAAAACACUUAUCGAGCUACAUAGGGACACUUGUAUCUAACCAACACAAUGUACCUCUCCAAGCUAGUGAUUGGAAAAAUGUUCCAAAUGAUGCAAAAGAGAAAGUAUGGCCUUUGUUUUGGUAUGUUGUAUUUCUCACUAUAUGAUGUCAUUUCACUGUUAUUCUAUUUUGUGACUAACGUUUGAAUCAUAUGUAAGAAAAAUUUGAAGUAGAUAAAGACUGAAAAGAUUACAUGUUGGGUAUAGCCUCAAAUAAAUAUAGAAGCUAUAAAAAUAUGAUGAAUGCAAAAUACUAUGACCCUUGGCAUAAGGAUGCAUGAGGAGAGGUUAAUACAUAAAUCACCAUUUGUCUCUGAUGUUGAUUGGAAGUGGCUUGUCUCUGAUGCAUAAACCAAAUCCCCCACUGAAUGUUUGAUAUUUGAUAGCAGGAAAAACACACCCGCAGCUAUACACCUCCAUCAUUCAGAUAAUUAUAGUGGGGGAGAUGAUUCAUGGUUGCCCUUAUACCCUUUAUUUGCACCAUCUAUUGAGAUUCUUUAUCAUGGCCAGGUUUUACUGCAGCAAUAAGAUAUGGUGGCAACAAUUUUAUCUAUAGGUGCGGUUCCAGACCGCCUCCAUAGGUGCGGUUCCUGACUGCCUCCAUAGGUGCCUCUUCUUGUAAUGUUUGUUCUGGGAAUUACACUUGAAAGCCUUAUCGUGAUAAGGGAUUACAAACACUAGUUCAGAGGACAGCCAUGUUAAACUUCCACUAUGUUUGUGUCACAUUAUCAGCAGCCUAGUGUUUAUUGGUCAUGCUAUCUGCAACUAAUAUAACCCGGUGAACUUCAAUCUAAAUUCUGAAAGUACUCAUGUGACAGAUGGUGCCUUUCAGCAGAUAUCAUCAAUUUAAAAGUAGUGUGUGUGCCUAUAGGUGGGAAGGCCUUGGCAAAUGUUCAGUAUUCCGGUAAUUCAAGAAGGAUAUAUCUAAAAUAGAUUUUCUUCUUGCCCAUUUCAAUAGUUAAAAUUUGAGAAGAUUGUGUCCACAUCACACAAAUAUUAUUGGUCCUUCUGUUGCAAUUUACCUCUGAACAUGUCUUCCAAUUCCCACGGUCCUGUUACUCCAGGAAAACUAUUUCGGUCAUAUUGAAAAAAAAAAUAUUAAAGAAGGUACACAUGCUUUUAAGUGGACUGGGGCAUUCAUAUCAGGUGGUCUGUAUCCACAUAUGCCACUUCGUGAAAGGUGGAACAGCCUAAUCACUAGGCUAUUUAGUGUGGCCCAGCCACGUUAAUCAAGCACAAGUCUUCAUACUUAAAGUCAAAUGGUGUCUUUAGUCUCAUUACACAUCGCUAUUUGAAGAUUAACUCAUCACUAGUGUAAUGCGAUUAAGACAGUCCUAACUCAAUAUUUGUUCUAGUUUUGGAUGCAAAUGCUUGCUGGUUUCAUCAUUGGAUGGGAUAAAGGUGCAAUCAGGACUAUGAAUACGUGCAGUAAUACUUCAUUCUCUUUUUUCUCAAUGAGACUUCUUGGCACAAUUUUGCUGCUCAGCAACCUACCUUUCCAUGGAAAAUCAGUUGUGACUGAUAGUAAUGGAUAUAUUCUAGAAAGCUAAACAUAGAUAGCAUUCAAUAUUAUCGAUAUAACAUUAACAGCGUAUGUCUCAAUGCUCAUCAGCUACAAGCAAUGGACAAACACUUUGAGUAACUCACAGCAGUCAAAAUUCCUAAACAGGACAGACGUGACAGAUCUAUAUAUAGAACACUGCAUAUGAGUCACAGGAAAAGAUAAUACGGGUACAUAGAAGCUCUUAUUUUACAUAUUACUCAUACUGAUCAAAGUCGCUCAGUUGGGAUGGAUGGGAGAAGGAGGUUUGAGGGGUGGCUUGUGCGGGGAAGUUGGCAGCUUCUUUCCGGGAGCUGGUUGCUUCUUUGCUGGAGUUGAAGGAGGCUUAAUCUUCCGAGGUGGCUUGUAUGAGUCUUCAGCAUUCUCAGCAGGAGGGUGACCAGGGUUGUGACCAUAAUGUGGUGGCUUCUCUCCCUUAGGUGGUUUGCCAACUGGGGUUGGUGGCUUGUUUUCUGGGAGUGGCUUCUCUCCCUUGGGUGGUUUGCCAACUGGGGUUGGUGGCUUGUGUUCUGGGAGUGGCUUCUCCCCCUUGGGAGGUUUUUCGAAUGGGGUGGGUUUGUGUCCUGGUGGUGGCUUCUCUCCCUUGGGAGGUUUACCAAUUGGGGUCGGUGGCUUGUGUUCUGGGAGGGGCUUCUCUCCCUGGGGAGGUUUAGUGGGUGGCUUGUGUUCUGGAGGUGGCUUCUCCACCGGAGGCUUAUGCUCUGGUGGUGGCUUCUCGAAGGGGGGAUGCUCAGGGUAAUCACCAAGUGAGGGGGUGGUGAGAACCACCAUGCCAAGCAACAACACUAGCAAGUAUGUAGUAGACAUCUUUGGGUUUGGACUCAGACAGUGCAAAACUACGAGAAAUCGCUAGCCCUUUAUAGCGGCUCGGACCUAAUACUGACAUAAUAUAAAAUAAAUAUUAUAUUUUAUCAAGAGAGAACAGAGUGUAAUUUUAUCAUUAAUACCGAUCGAGGCCAAAGAAAGAAGACCCAUAAUCCAUUUCCCACAAGCAUACACAAUGCAGCUGUAAUUUUAUCAUUUACUUUUAUCCCUUGGACCACUGCAUUUUUGUUGAGAGACACAAUAACACAUUUUUAUCUGUCAUUCAACAUUUACAGUAAAGAGAGGGCACAAAACGCAAUUAGAUAAAUUAUGUUUUGCCUGCUAAAAAGAGGCAAAUAACUUUAUUUGCAACAUAAUUAUUUUGGUUUCUAGUGACCCCGGGGCCUUUCGGUUGGUUUGGGAUCGGAAAAUGAACAUCAUAGGGGGGGUUGUGCCCUUAUGGGCAUAUAUAUCUGAUAGCUUCAACUGGCCUUGUUCCUAGAAAGAAAUUGCCAAAGAUAUAAACUUAUUCCAGGCUGAAAGUAGAUGAGAGUCAUAAUGAACAUCAACCUUUGUUCAGUUUGAUUCAAUGCCCCCAUAGUGUUCAUUUCACAGAUCUGAAUGAUUAUAUCCGUUGAAUACAUAAAUUAAUGAAGACAAAUAUGAAACCCAAGAUACAUCUCUGCAUAACAACCCCAACCCUGGUUGCUAUGUUUCCCUUCUUCUAUUCACAUGAGGAUACUGGUUAUAAUUGUCAAACUUGCAACAAGCCCUUUGACACCUAACGUCAAUGGACGAAUUAAAAGUCUCCUUCAAACGUCUAUUUCACAGCAUGAAGCUUAUAAAGGAUGCUGACAACCUUCAGAGUUAGCGACAAAAGAUAAUUAUCAAGGAGAGAUAGUUCCAUGAGAAUUCCAAGGAGUCUGAAUCAAAGACAAAUUGCUCACUCAAGGGUUCUUAUUUUCUUUUAGGUACAAAUCUCUUGAGUGUUGUUAAAGAAACACGUCACUGUCAUUUUGAUUUGCAUUUAACAUUUCACUUUUGUUCUGGAAGGUUUGUUCCGGAAACAUAUCAAAUGAGCAUCAUUUUCUUCUUCGGUGACACAUGGUCGCGAGUACGUGGGUCCAUUUUCAUGCCACUUAGUUGAAAAGUUGGAAAGAAAAAACAUGCCAACAAGAAGAUAGUGAGAGAAGGGGCACUUCAAGCCUUUAACAUGAACAAACAGUAAAUAAAAGAUGUUUCUCCACUCAUAAAAGUGUGUUAGAUAGCAAUAUAACGAAUCACAUCCAAAAUCUUUACUAGGCUCAAACAUAAAGAAGACUCAUUUUUAAGAAAAGAUAAAAAUGGCAUUGUCUGAUAGUAUCCAAUACACGAGAUGGCACUUAAUUUGUACAAGAUCUGUCAAUGCUGACGCACAUUUUCUGAUUAAAAAAAAACUGAUCAGUCAAAAGCAAUGAAGAGAAGUGAUGACAAUGAAUGAUGCUUCCAAUAUUUUCACCCCUUAUAGUGUUCUUCAUGAUUCAGAUAUAUAAUUGGAAAUAGAACAACCCUAUGCCAUACAUUCGUCUAAGUAUGGUGUCUAAUUUUUUGUGUCAGCGGUUGCGAAUGGAGCGUGCAAAAGUCCAAAUUGGCGUCUCUCCAUUUCCACAUAGGAAGGUGACCUUUAUUGACAAAUACCCAAUAUUUGUAGACAUUCCUUAAAUAUCAUAACUUCUUGUUGAUUUGAAAAUCAUUUUUCAACUACCAUGUUUUAAUAAAUAUUUUUUAAAAUGUAUUUUUAUCAAAGUCCACCAUGAUGGAUAAUAUUCACCAUGCAAUAAUUAAUAAAGUACAAACUAAGCGAAAUGAAAAGCAUUUUCUUUGCUUUGAGUUGAUUUUGGUUGCAUUGAGUUGAUUUUGGUUUCAUGGUUUUUUCAACUCUUAUUUUGAUUGGAAGAUGUCAAGAAAAGAAAACAUAAAGAAAAAUUAAAAGGGAAAAAAGAAGAAAAAUAAAAAAAAAUAGAUUUAAAAGUUAAUAAAUUAUUUUUUAUAUUUAUUUUAAUUCAUUUCACUUAUUUUUCUUUUACUAUAUAAAAUUUAAAUAAUUUAAAUUUUAUAAUUAAUUUAAUUACAUUUCAUUUUCUUCUAUAUUUAAAUAUUGGAAAAAUAUUUUACUUAAUAUUUUUUUCUUUAAUUUCUUUGGCAUUUUGGGAACCAAACUUAGCCUUUAAAAUAAAAAACAAAAAAAAAAUGAAAAUAAGGAGGGAAAAGUGAGAAAAGAUAAAAACAAUAUGUAAAGGAUUUGAAAAGUAUUAGUUUGUAAUUACUAUUUGGAUUUCAAUAGUAUUUUAUUUGUCUUUCUAUAUUUCAUGUAAGAGAGAAUUUAAGAUAUUCCCCAAGGCAAAGCAUUAGUUACCUGCAAUCAGUGGUGAUAAGGCUCCAAGCCAAUUUUGGGCCCCAUAUCUUAAGACAGUACAAUUUCCAUUUCAACAUUUCUGAUUUCUCAGAUGUUUCACAUACCACAGAAGAACAUUGUUUGUGAAAAUAUGCAUUUAUGUUGGAUUUUGUAUGCUGUGGGGACUGGGGCAAGGAUCAUAUGGAAGAGUGGUUGACUUUUUCUGUACUUUAACGGUUGAAAUAGGAUAAGCACGGGCAUUUGUGAGGCUUAAUUGAUUUUGAAGCCUGAAAUUGCGUUUCUGUCAUUUUGUCAAAAAAAUGGCAGAUUCCAUACUCAUAUGUUUGGCCUGUGGCCAUGUACAGAUGCCAUUUAGUGACCAGUUUGUAACUGUCAAUCGUUGCGUUUUGACUCUGCCUCAACAACAUCUGCCAUUGACGGGUUUUCAUACUUGCAAAUCAAAUAGUCUUUCGUCCCAUCAGGAAUUUCGGUUUAAAUAUUAUUAAGCAUACGUUUGGCUGACAAUCAUUAUCCAGUUCAUGAUUUGGUUUCUUACCCUUAAUCAAUGGUUUCUAAGUGAAUAUAUGUAGAAGGAAAUCCGAAGUGUAGACAGUAGUAUCGAUAACUCUCAAUAUUCUCUAUAUAAUAGAAUAAACAGCGUCAUAGUGAUCGUCGCCUACAAGCAAGGUACAAAUACCAAAACGAGUGACUCACAUAGACAUCUCCCAACAAGAUGUAGUAGUGACUGACACAUGGACACAAUUAACUCGUAGAAAAGGAUAAGACCAUUGCACAGCAGCUCUUAUUUUACAUACUACUUAUGCUAACCAAAGUCAAUUAGUUGGGAUGGGUGGGAGAUGGAGGUUUGUGCGGUGGCUUGUGGGGCGGAGUUGAUGGCUUCUUUCCAGGAGCUUCUGGCUUUUUCAUCGGAGCUGAAGGAGGCUCAAUCUUAUGAGGCGGCUUGUAUGAGUCUUCUUUACUCUCGACAGGAGGGUGGCCAGGGUUGUGAUCAUAAUGUGGUGGCUUCUCUCCCUUAGGUGGCUUGCCAACUGGGGUUGGUGGCUUGUGUUCAGGAAGUGGUUUCUCUCCCAUGGGAGGUUUAGCAAUUGGGGUUGGUGGCUUGUGUUCUGGGAGUGGCUUCUCUCCCUUGGGAGGUUUAGUAGGUGACUUGUGUUCUGGAGGUGGCUUCUCCACCGGAGGCUUGUGCUCCGGUGGUGGCUUCUUGGUUGGAGGGGGCUUGGGGUAAUCAGCAAGAGAUGGGGUGGUGAGAACCACCAGUCCAAGGAACAACACUAGCAAGUAUGUGGGAGACAUUUUUGAGUUUGGGCUGAUCAGAUGAUGCAAAACUAAAGCAUUACGUGACCUUUUAUAGCAUGUAGCUCCCAAUACCCACUAAGUAUUGUGGGGUCCAUUUGUGCCCUACGGGGUUGAAAACUUAGACAAUUGGGCAAGGACCCACCUGACUAUGGAGGACUAGUGAGGUGUGAUCAUAGCUUUAGGAUUUUUCUUCCUCUGCAGCCGUCGUGCCGUUGGCAUGAUUUUCUUAAUCUUAAAUAAAGGCAUAGUUAUAGAGUUGUUUAAUCUCUAAAUGGGAUUUUAUAUAUAUCUUCAGAUAGCCAUUAAUAUAUUUGAUGAAGAAAGAAAGACAAGUGCAUACAACAUGUAUACGACUAGCUUUCAUGGAGUUCAUUUAUGAUCAGUUUUCCUGUACAUGUAAACCAGGAUCAUAUAUAUGUUUCUGUUCCACAACUAUUUUGGAAUCUUGUUUAUCAGUUUUUAUCAUUAUAAUGUCACAUAGGCUGCCAACUUGGGCGCUAAAAGAACCAGUUGGGCUAGUUCGUUUCAGAAUUUCAAUGUGGAUUCAGGAAUUGUUUUGUAAGAUAUGCGAAAUAGUAGAGGGAUGAAUAGUGUUUCAUUAAUAAAAGUGUCCUGUAAAUUAGAAGGUGUCAUAGAAACUAUAAUCAAUAAAUAACUUUUUUUCCCCACGGGUGGUGUUUCUUGUGGGGAUCAGUGACUGGUUUAGGUUCACCCAAAAUGAGUUCAGACUAAAAUUGGUUUGAGUCAAUGCCGUGUCUCUUUUUUCCAGAAAUCAACUAUUUUAUGCAUUGAAUAAAUCAUACAAAGAAAAUAUGAACGCCCGCAAAACCUAAACCCUGGUUGCUAACUUUCUAUGUUUCAGUUCUAUUCACGCAAGAAUAUUAGUUUAAGUUUGGGAAAAAUGGCAACUUACCUAGUGAUUACUUGGUUUUGGUUUGCGACUAUUUACGCAACCAACCAUGAGUUUGACUUUAACGUCAUGGGUUGAAGCCUCCUACAGGAAGGGAGAAAGCUCCACAGCUAGCUCCAAAAGAGAAUUAUCACAUUGAUAGCUCCAGAGAUUCCCAAGGGGACUGAAUCAAAGACAAGUUCCUCACUUUUUCUUCUUUUGAGGCCAAAUAUGAACCAAGGAUCACACAACCUCAUUCAACUUCAUAAGUUUGAUUUCAUGCAGUUGAACACUGGGUGAAGGCCAUGACAAGAAUUGAUUCAAAAAUUCUAUCACUCUUUUAAGUAAUGGAAGAUUAUUAUCUCUGAUUGGCAUCACAACAGCACAUGCUCCUAGAUCUUUCUAGACACUCCAUGCAAUGAAAGCACAAUGGAUCUUGUAACGAUAGAAACUAAGCCAUGCUACAGUACUAGAUGAUGAGGUAAAACUAGUAGACACGGGUGGCAGCCUAUAUGGGAGGGACACAAGUCUAAUUGAUUUGCAUUUCAGCAUUAUAGAUAGGUAUGUUUUGGAAGAUUUGUUCUGGAAAUACCGCACCAAGUAGGAUUCUUUUUCUCUUUAGUGGGUCCACUUGCAUGCCAAUUAACGAGUUGAAAAGUAUGAGCACCUACCUCGUGCUCGUGGAACCGAAGGUCAGUGAAGUGGGGCUCCUUUUGGCCUCGUGUAAACUUGAUUCAGAAGUGAAGUUAAUAGUCUUCCAUUCAGAUGGAUACAUGGGAAUUUUUCUCUUUUAUUUAUUUAUUUAUUUUUUUUUUGUGUGUGUAUGUCAAAGGAUAAUGAAUGAAGCGCGUUAGCUUGUUUUCUGACUGGAACCGCAGAUGUCCAAAUUGGAGUUCCUUCAUUUCUUACUUAGGAUUGUUACAUGUAUAAACAAGGUAUAAGAAAUAUGCCAACGUGUCUUGAGGAGUUAUUGAUUAGAAAUAACAAGUCACCCGACUGUAGAGUUCCAAGAUUUGAAUCUUCAGACCCUAUAGCAGCCUCUGGGGUACGUGGCAUCCUAUAGCAUAUUAAUGAAGGCUUUUUCGAUUUAGACUUCACAAUACCAAUUAAUAUGUAUGCACAAAAUGGAGAUGACCCCAAAAAAAACAGAAUCGCCAUAGUUUAUGAGGUUAAGGUGAUUCUCCACUUAAUAUCUACAUUAGCUAAUUAUGUAAAUCAAAUGAACUUCUAUUUUUCCUUUUUUUUUUUGGUUUAUGUCAAAUAGUAGCCCAUAAUUAACCCAACCAUUAGCCUGUUUGAAUUGAUUUCACAUGCACAAUGUUGUAGUAGUUCAUAUUUUGAAUUUUAUUUUUACAAAGGUAGUUAAGGAAAAUGAAGUAUAAUAAUUAUAAAAGCAGACUAUAUACACUACAAUAAUUGUUAGAAUGGUAUCUCAAAUUCUAAUUUAAAAUAUUAUUUUUUGUAAAAGAAAUAUUAUAUAGAAUAUUUCCUAAUUUUAUAAAUGAUUAUAAUUAGAUCUUUAUAAAAUAAGGAAAGUUGGUAAGAAUAUCUUUAUAAAUAUUUUAGGUCAUGAGAGAAAGAAAUGGGAUAAAAAUGUGAUGAAGAGGUGAAAUAAGAGAGUUGAUUAGGAUAUAGAUGUGAAGAAGAAAGGGAUUCAAUAUAUAUAUAUCUUUCAAUUACCACAUUAAAACCCUGUGAACCUUUUAUAUGGUUUACUUUAUUUUUAUAUUCCUCCUUUAAUAUAUUUACAUUAAUGCUUCCAUUGGCACAACAAUAACGAAUUACAAAUACAAGCAACAAGUCCCAUGUUUUAUUACCAAAAGCAGGUAAAAUCCACCUAAUAUAUUACAAUAUAUUCAUCCAAUAUUUUAGACCAAUUCUUCACCAUAAAUAUCAUAAUGUGGCUUUUGUUCUUUCUUAAAUUUAAAUUGAAUUGUCUUAUAUCAAUUUGUUUGUGAUUUUUUCAUUAACUUCACUUUCAUUUGGUUAUCUUUGGUUUUUGAAAAGUAUUAAGGAAUUAAUUAACAAAAUAAUGUUAAGAAAAAUAAUUUUCUCUCUUUUGAUUUUGAUUUUGUAGUAGAAAAAUAUAAUUAAAAUUAUUUAAAAAGUAUGUAAUUUUAAAUUAUUUAAUAUUUAGAUAAAAAAAAUAAGUCUAAUGAGUUUAAAAUAACAUAUAAAAAUAAUUUAUUUAUUUUAAAUUUAUUUUUUAUUUUCCAUUAUGUUCUCUUUCUCUUUUACUUUUUCAUAUUUUUUCUUACGAAGAAUCAAACACAACCUCAUAUUAUAUGUCAAGUGUUUGUCUAUAUUUGAGCAAUGUUAGAUACGGCCAUGGAUUCAUCAAACUAAACUGAUUUUAAUAGAUACUUCACAAAUUGAUUUAUACACUAAAUCAUUGGAUAGCAAUGAUGCAUUGGAAUUAAACGUAGGAUGAAGCUCGAAGAACACUGUUUGUGUAACAACAUAUUUAUGAAAUUAUGCAAAGGAUGAGCUUCGGGGUAGUAGUACAAGGUCAUUAAUGGAGAGCCGUGUUAAACCUUGAUUGUGAUUGGAUUCCGUUAUCAGCAACAGCAACCUUGUUUGUAACCUUGAAAGUCAUUCUGUCCACAUCGAAACUCCAAUUUGACGUUUGUAAUUACCAUUCCUGGAGUGUUCCUUGAUUGAAAUUUAAAUAAUAAUUGCGGCCCACAAGGAAUAUUUUCGAUUCUGUGGGAAUUUGACAAGGUUUGUUAGAGAAGACUGGUGACAUGUUGACUUCAAUGGUUCAAAUAGGAGACGUAUGUGGAUUUGGGGGGUUUAAUUGAAACUGAGUCCCUAUGGCUUUUUAAUAUUUGCAUUGAGCAGUCUCCAUGUGACUUCCUAAUUCCCACCAACCCUCCUGUCCAUGCUGUGAAACUAAAUUGUAAUUUAUCAGCCUUUGUCAAUGGUUUCUAAAUUAAAGAUAUAGACCAUGCAUGUACUUUAAUAAAAGCAAAUCUAAAGUGUAGAUAGCAGCAAUGGUGACACCCAAUAUUCUCCAUAAAAUAGAAUUAGAAUAAGCAGUGUUACAUUGUUCAUGAUCACCUACAAGCAUACAAGAACUUCCAUGAAUAACUCAUAGCAAUUGCCAACAGGGCGUCGUAGAGACUCAUACAUAGAACACUAUCCACCCAGAGGAAAGGACAAGACCAGUGCGCUGCAGCUCUUAUUUUUCACAUGUAUACCACCACUCGUAAUAACCAAAUUCACUCAGUUGGGAUAGGUGGGAGAUGGUGGUUUGUGGGGUGGCUUGUGGGGAGGAGUUGGAGGAGGCUUUAUUUUCUGAGGCGGCUUGUAUGAGUGUGCAGGAGGAUGCCCGGGAGUGUGACCAUAAUGUGGUGGCUUCUCUCCCGUAGGUGGUUUGCCAAAUGGGCUUGGUGGCUUCUCUCCCUUAGGAGGUUUACCAAUUGGGGUUGGUGGCUUGUGUUCUGGGAGUGGUUUCUCUCCCUUGGUAGGUUUGCCAAUUGGGGUUGGCGGCUUAUGUUCUGGGAGUGGCUUCUCUCCCUUGGGAGGUUUGCUAAUUGGGGUUGGCGGCUUAUGUUCUGGGGGCGGCUUCUCUCCCUUGGGAGGUUUGCCAAUUGGAGUUGGCGGCUUAUGUUCUGGGAGUGGCUUUUCUCCCUUGGGAGGCUUGCCAAUUGGGGUUGGCGGCUUAUGUUCUGGGGGUGGCUUCUCUCCUUUAGGAGGUUUGCCAAUUGGAGUCGGCGGCUUAUGUUCUGGAAGUGGCUUUUUUCCCUUGGGAGGUUUGCCAAUUGGGGUUGGCGGCUUAUGUUCUGGGGGUGGCUUCUCUCCCUUGGGAGGUUUGCCAAUUGGAGUCGGCGGCUUAUGUUCUGGGAGUGGCUUCUCUCCCUUGGGAGGUUUUGUUGGUGGCUUGUGUUCUGGAGAUGGCUUCUCCCCUGGAGGCUUGUGCUCCGGAGGUGGCUUCUGAAAUGGCGGGGGCUUGGGGUAAUGAGCAAGAGAUGGAGUACUGGUGAGAACCACCAUUCCAAGCAACAAUACUAGCAAGCAUGUGGGAGACAUCUUUGAGUAGUUGUAGCUAAGAUGGCGCAACACUGUAGGCAUUGGGUGGCCUUUUAUAAAGGGCUGGACCCAACAGCCAUAUGACACGUGUCAUGAUGACAAAUGAAGUUGAGGGGAUCCAGAUGGGUCCUACUGAGUCGAAAACUUGCACUAAUUGAUCUGGUGAGAUGACUAUUUCUGUCCUUUUGCCCUUCUCGGCCACCCUGUGCUGUUUUCCUUUUGCACGAUUUUCGUUGCCAAACAAGCAAAUAAUAUUUCGCCAAGAAAGAGGAGAGUGAAUGUGGAAUGCAUCAAGUCCCAUCAAGGAUGGCAGAGAAGAAAUAGAAGAUUGCCCAACUGUGAUAAACAUAGCAUACACGUAGCACCAGGAACUUCAUUUACUUCCAUCUAAUGGAACAUAACAAUCUUCUAAAGUUUUUGCAUGAUUUUGUUAUAUGUCUCUUAGCCUAAAGUUGGAAAUGCGCAACAAAUUUUGUCACUUCUCUAUUUCCCACUGAUGAUGUUAAUUAGCCUUCAUAGAUAUCAUCCUUUCUACAAAGUGCUUCAUUUGUGUGUUAUUGUAAAGUGUAAGAAAAGUAAUUGAACAUGUUCUUUUUCCUUUCAUAGAUGACUUUUGAUGUGCAUUUUAAAAGCAGCGCUGUGAGUCGGUGACCUUGAUUCACACGGAAACUAAGGCUCCUAUAGGACCCACUUUUAGCUGGUUAGGGGUGAAGAAAAUAUCAACUUUUCAGAGUGAUUUAAGUCAAGGCCAAGCCUCACUGUGUCAUUACUCGUGUGAAUUUUAUAUGCACAUACAUACAUAAAUAAAGUAUGAGACCCAAAUAACACCUUCCCUUUACAAACUUAACCCCAGCCGCUCUCUUUCAAUUCUUUUCACACAAGGGUAUUGACUCUAUAAAGGUCAAGAAAAUCAUAAUUUCCUAGGGUUUACAAGGUAAUUGGCUUAAUGCUAAUGUGAAAACAUAAAAGAUAAUAGUAUAUUGUAAGCUAACGAAUAUUCUAUAGUUAUAAUUAUUUGUGAUGUGCAUAAAUAAAUCUUCAUAUAUAUAAUGGAACAAUGAAUAAAGAACCAAUGAAAAAAUACUAUAUAUCAUUGCUUGGCAUUUAAACCGUAUAUGCUGCUCUUUCUAGCUACUCCAUCCACUGAAAGACAACAAGGUAAUCCAUGUUAUAAUGAUAGAAGAUACUGUCUCUAGGCUUUUUGUGAUGAAAAAUAUAAGAUAUGGGUAGGGUUGACCCUUGUAUGUUUGUCCUAUAAACACUUCAAAGUAACAUAUUUUUCUUCUUUAGCAACUCAUAAUGAUGGGGUUCAUUUGCAUGUCACUGAGUUGAAAAGUUGGACAAUUGCCCAUGUCGCCUUCCUCCUAGAUUCCGUAGUUCACGGGAAGGUAACUCAAGUUUGACAUAUUUUGAAUUCUUUUCACUCGGACGUCUUCAUAACCUGACAAAACAAAAAUGAAAAACAGAGGAUUGGUAUAUUAUUCAUGGUAAGCCUCAAAUUAUAGUAGUAUGAGAAAGGAGAAAAAGAUUUUGGGAACUCCAAUCUGGAUAAUUCUCGUUUCUUCUCUUGAAUAAAAAUUUCACUUACCUAACUUCGUUUGGAGAAAUGGCAUAUUUUAAUUUUGUACGUCAUUGCUAAUAAAUGGAGCAAUUUAGCAUGUUUUGUGACUGAAACUGCAAAUGUCCAAUUGGCAUUUCUUCAUUUCCCACUUAGGAUCUGAUCUUGUAGACCAUAUAACGAUAUGUAUCUGUGCAAGCAUUGAAAACUAAUGUGAACUAUGAGGAGUUACAAGCCACUGGACUGUAGAGCGAGUGCCAAGAUUUAAAUCUUCAGGCUCUAUCUGGGUAAGGGGAGGAUAGCGACCUAACCUUUUACCAAAGGCUUAGAAUUUAGACUUUUGGAAAAAAAUUUCUCAUGUUUUGGCUGGAUUUCUUGUGCUUGGCGCAAAAAGGAGAUGGCCUCAAGAAAUAGCAGACUCACUUUUGUUUUCAGCCCUUAAUAAUUCUCCACUGCUUUCCAUAACUACAUGGGUUAUACAUGCAGUCUGCUGCAAUAUUCCAGUUAUAUUUAUUAUUUCAAAGAGGGUGAAUGACUUCACAUGCAAUAUGUUGCAGUAACAACCCAAAUUUUGGCACACCAUCUUAAGAAUAGAAAAGUAUAAUAAAAGAAAUCAAUCAGAGAAUCACUUUGCAUGCAGUUCAUAGAGUUCGCCCAAAAUGGAGCCACAUGUACGGACAACCCCACAAUAGACAAUCUUCUCUAUACAGUAAUAAAAUACAGAAAUGGUUAAUGAAGCUCUGUAUUUCCUUAUCAUAUAUGACCGGUUGAAAACUCAGCAAGUCUUCCUCAAUCACAGACAGUUGGAGUUGCUUCAUCAAAAUCAUGCCUUCAUUACUGGCUUCAUUUUGGUUUCAAUGUCUGUUCUACCCUUAAAUUGGGUCUCUGCUUACUACCGGGAUAUCCUUUAGCGUCCUGCAAUUCUACUAGAUUAAAGAGAAUGACUUAAUUCUGCAUUCUGCCGUCCCUAGUCCAAGUGGUACUAGAAUUGAUGUUUCCUUUAGUGUCCUUUCUUCAUACUUUCAGGUUCUUCCCUUGUUUCAAUAAUGCUGUUUUCCUUCAUGUUUAACCUCUGUUGAACCACUUAAAACAACACAAUUUGCACACCAAUGUUUCUUUACAGAAAAGACUGUUUGCAAAAAUGCACAUGUUAUAAGGUUAAUGGAAGAAUUAAUUUGGGGAUAAGGGACUAGGAUUGGGCCAAUGAAGUUUGGUGUUAAAUUUUGAUUAUGAUUGCUUUUCAUUAUCAGGUACCUUAUAUUUGCUGAUGCUAUCUGGAACUAAAUUCAAAUCAGACAUUAUCCGAUUACUAACAGGACAUAUCAUGUCCCUCUGCAGAGUUUCUAAACUAACAUGUAUCGAAAUGUGGCCCCAAAAGGAAGGCUAGGAAGAUGGAGGAUUUUGUAGGAAUCGACCAGAAUCAGAUGGAAGAGAGAUAGUCCUGUUGACUUUAAUGGUUGUGAUAGGAACAUGCAUCAUUAUAUGAGAAGUUGCAUGAAUUUAUGUAUCCUGUUAUCGUUCCUUGACGAUUUCCCAAUGCAAUUUCACUGUCCACAAGACUAACCUCUCCAUGCAGUCAAAUGAAUUGUAAUUUCUCUAUUGGUACCAGUAGUACAUUUCAUACCAAACAUAUAGUAAAUAUAAAAUAUAAAUAGAUCAAGGAAAUCUGAAUUGUAGAUAGCACUGCAAGUAACACUCAAUAUUCUCUAUAUAUAAUAAAAUAAACAGUGUCACAAUACUCAUCACCCAGUGGCAAGGGAGAAAAACCUACAAUGAGUACUCAAAUCACCAUUCUCAAACAGAAACAUAGCAGUGACUGAUACAUAGAACCUAUAUGCUCACAGGGAAAGAAUAAGAUGACCAGUGCACAGCGGGCAGCAGCUCUUAUUUUACGUACAACUCAAAUCCCAAACUAACCAAAGUCGCUCAGUUGGGAUGGGUGGGAGAUGGUGGUUUGUGGGAUGGCUUCUGGGUAGGAGCUGGUGGCUUCUGUCCCUUUGGUGGUUUGCCUAAUGAGCUUGGUGGCUUGUGCUCCGGGAGUUGUUUCUCUCCCUCGAGUAGGUUUCGAGUCUUGUCAGAUGGCUUGUGUUCUGGUGGUGGCUUCUCUCCCUGGGGUGGUUUGCCGAAUGGGCUUGGUGGCUUGUGUUCGGGGAGUGGCUUCUCUCCCUGGAGAAGGUUACGAGUUUUGUCAUAUGGCUUUUGUUCUGGUGGUGGCUUCUCUCCCUGGGGUGGUUUGCCGAAUGGGCUUGGUGGCUUGUGUUCGGGGAGUGGCUUCUCUCCCUGGAGAAGGUUACGAGUUUUGUCAGAUGGCUUGUGUUCUGGUGGUGGCUUCUCUCCCUGGGGUGGUUUGCCGAAUGGGCUUGGUGGCUUGUGUUCGGGGAGUGGCUUCUCUCCCUGGAGAAGGUUACGAGUUUUGUCAGAUGGCUUUUGUUCUGGUGGCGGCUUCUCUCCCUGGGGUGGUUUGCCAAAUGGGCUUGGUGGCUUGUGUUCGGGAACUGGCUUCUCUCCCUUGGGAGGUUCAGUUGGUGGCUGCUGUUCCGUAGGUGGUUUCUUCACCGGCGGCUUGUGCUCCGGAAGCGGCUUCUCUACCUGGAGAAGCUUACGAGUUUUGUCCGAUGGCUUGUGUUGUGGUGGUGGCUUCUCUCCCUGGGGUGGUUUGCCAAAUGGAGUUGGUGGCUUGUGUUCGGGGAGUGGCUUCUCUCCAUUGGGAGGUUUAGUUGGUGAUUGGUGUUCCGUAGGUGGUUUCUGAAGUGGGGGAUGCUUGGGGUAGUCAGCAAGAGACGAGGUAGUGAGAACCACCAGUCCCAGCAGCAACACUAGCAAGCAUGUGGAAGACAUCUUUGAGUUCAGGCUGAGAUCUGUGCAAGGAUAACAGAAUUAGGUGGCCUUUUAUAGAGGCCUGGACCCAACACCCAUAUGACACGUGUCAUGCACUCAUGGUGACACAUAAUUCUAUGGGACCAUUUGGGUCCUACAGAAGUUGCAAAGUUGGACUACUGAGGUGUGAUCACAACUUUUGUCCUUAUUGCUUUCUCUGCGGCCAUUGCACGAUUUCCUUUAGCAUCAUUUUCUUGGCUAAAUAAGCGUAUUAUAUUUGUGGCAGACCGUCCACGUGUCAUAAACAGAUAUAUUAUAAUAAUGUAGUAUGCUUUUCUCCAAUGGAACAUGACACUCUUCUAAGUCUUGUUUUAAAUAUUGUGCAGGAUUACUUUAUACGUUGCAGUUCCAAGUCAAAAUUGGUGGGCAAACGUUGGCCUUUUUUCAUUUCACCUAAGAUUAAUGCUCACCUGGGAUAGGCACUACAUGACUUAUCUGCUCUUUUACUGUAAAGUUGCUUUGUGUAUGAGAUACACCUCCCCUGCACACCCUCAACAUUCGUUGCUCUGUUUUCCUUGUGUCCAGACGAGGAUAUUAAUUGGAGGCUGACAAAACGACUGCUAGCCCAGGAUUUACAAGGUCCUGGUUUGAGGCUUCGGUGAAAGUAUUUUUGAAAAGACACACAUAGAGAUAGUGCGUUUGGUGCAAUGCAGCACUGUGAGCCAUUCUGACGCGUUCUUAAUUUCAAAACUAAUGAAUGCUUCAAAAUUUUAAGAAGUGACAUUUCCAAAUAUUUGAGUUCGUUUAAUUGAACAUUGGAUAACUAGUGAUCAUAGAUUAUUAUCUGUGCUUGGCACUAUAAGAGGGUAUAUGCUUCUUUUUCUGGCCCCUCCUUCAAGGGAGGAGGGACAAUGUGAUCUGUAACGUUAGAAGCUAUUCCAUGUCAUCUUUGGGCUCAGUUCAAAACUAAAAGAUAAUGGGGGGGGGGGGGGGGGGCAUAUCAUUUUAUAUUUCUUCUAGAAGGUUUGUUCUGGAAAUAUUUCACAGGAGCAUAUCUUUUUCUUCUAUUACGUCAUCCGCAGCCUCCAAUAGGUCGGUUAACAAGCCACCGAGUUGAAAAGUUGGAAAAAUGGGAACACAGCCCGCCUCUUGUAUUCAGUAGUUAAAUAAAAGGUCACUAGAAGUGAGAUCCCUUUUGGCGUCUUGAUUUUCAAUCCAGCACCUCUGUGACCUGACAAACCAAAAAAACUAAAAAAUAAAAAACAGUACGUGGGUUGGUGUUAAGCAUCAAGACAUGUUAAUGAAAGAAGGUAGAGAAUAGGAUAUUGAAAUCCCAAUCCUGAUAACAUGAUUUUCUUUGCUAACAACCAUAUUAUAUUUUAUCAAGAAAGAGUAAUGCAUGUGGCGUCCAUCAAGACCCAUUAGAGUUCCGCUAAAGCUAUAGUUCUGUCAACGUUAUCAUUUACGUUUCCUCUAGAUAAUGGCAUUUUCCUCUAAAGCUCUUGCACCAUUAGGCUUCAAGUCAAAAUUUCACAUGUGAACUUUGGAAAUUUUCUCCAUUUGCCCCUAAGGAUACAGUUAGAAUUGACUUAAAAUCCUGAUUGAUAUGUACUAUUAACCAAAGAAUAUUGUAUAUAAUAAUUGAAAUAUUGUUGAUUCAUCGUGGAAAUACAUUUUGUAAGGAAAGUUGUUGAGAAUUUAGUAUGCUAUAUGGAGAAAAAAGUCAUGACUUAAGGUUGUGUAUGUAUAUUCUAUAUCAAAUAUUAGGUAGGAAUGUGGGAAAGAGCAGAGUGUAAUGAUAAGAAACAAAGAAAUAUAAGAUAUUCUUGAAAGUGGAAAAUAUAAAAUGGCUAACGAGUCAAAUUUAUGAUGCGUAAGGGGGAUCAUGUCACAUAAGAAAACCAUGGCAUACUAAAGACGUACGUGUGGUAUGGAGUAAUAAUUUUGUUAAAAUAAGUUUCUUGUUGGAGUACAUUAGGUGACUAUUCAUAACGUAUCAAAUUAAAGAGUCAAGUGCAUCAAUGAAGGCAUAUGUAGAAAAUUUGUUUGUGACAUGUACCAUAAAGAUAAGAUUGACUUGAUAGAAUUUAGUCUAAGUAGGAGUUGUUAAAGGUGUCUUAAAUUUCUAAUUGAUGUAUAUUUUUUUCUAAAAAAAUAUUAUAUAGAUAUUUUAAUAAAUGAUUAAUUCUUUGUAAAAAUACUUACAUAAUAAAAAACAUCAUUAAAAAUAUCUUUAUAAAUAUUUUAAGUUACAAGAAGGAAAAAAACCACUGUGAGAUAAUGAUGAACAUGCAACACUGUACCAAGUAAAUAAAAAUGUGAUAAAAAAAAAAGAGAAACACUCGAUAAAGGAAGGCUCGUAUAUAAAGAGUAAUAUUUUUAAUCAUAUGAUAGAAUGAUUUUCUCUCAUUCAUGAAUAUAGGCAAGAUUGGGGAACCAUUAUAAAAUUUUGUACACCUCGUGUAAAUUGAUGUUUGUCUUCAUAUUUUACACCAACAAAUGACAUUGAAGUUGUCAUUGAUAAAAGGGAAAAGGCAUGCCUCCACACCAUGUGCUUGAUUCGAAUGGUUCAAGUUUGAAGAAUUUUCUCCGGAAGAUCUAAAACAUUUUCGCCUUUAAAUUUCAUUUGAUUAUUAAUAUCCGAAAAAAUAGUUAAAUACUCUUUCUAUUUUUGAGUUGUUGAAUUUUUUGAAAGUUUUUAUAUUUGUUAUCAAGAAUUUCUAUUUUAUUAAGGGUGAAUAUUUAUAAAUAAGAUAUUAUAUAAUAUUUGGAUAAGAGAGAAUGGUGGAAUAUAAUAAAGUUUUAAUCCUUCCCAAUUUUGAACCUUUUUUUUUUUUUUUGAUAUAAUCGCCUUUCUCUUGCAAUCCUAUUAUCAGGUACCUUAUAUUUGCUGAUGCUAUCUGGAACUAAAUUCCAAUCAGGCAUUGUCCAAUUACUAAUAGGACAGAUCAUAUCUCUCUGUUUCUAAACUAACAUGUAUCGUAAUGUGACCUCAUAAGGAAGGCUAGGAAGAUGGAGGAUUUUGUGGGAAGCGACCAGAAUCAGAUGGAAGAGAGAUAGCCCUGUUGACCUAAUGGCUGUAAUAGGAGAAGCGUGUGGUUUUAUGGGACUUAACUGAUACUAAACCUGUAUGAUGCUUGGAGUGGUGUUUCUUUCAUUUUGUUAAGAAAAUAUGGCAGCAUACAUGCUUUCAACUGAGUGCAUCAGAGCAUCCAUAACAGAUGGUCUGCAACCCUAGGUGCAUGCCACUUUCUGACUGAUAAUGAAAUUGUCAGGUACCUGGCCUUGACUAAGCUCAACAGCAUCACAUAAAGAGAAGCUUUCAUACUUAGAUUACUGUUUAAAGUUUUUGCUUAUUUGAUUUCUUAAUGCCAUUAUGACAUUAUUGAUUCAAUUCUGCUUCCGAUUUUCGAAGUUCUGGGCAUCUACUGAUUGCAUCAUUAUAUGAGAAGUUGCAUGAGUUUAUGUAUCCUGUUAUUGUUCCUUUGCGAUUUCACUGCUCACGGGACUAACCUCUCCAUUCAGUCGAAAUGAAUUGUAAUUUCUUUACUGGUAGCAGUAGUACUUUUCAUAGCAAAGAUAAUAGAAAAUAUGAAAUAUAAAUAGAAGGAAAUCUGGAUUGUAGAUAGCACCAUAAGUAACACUCAAUAUUCACUACAUAAUAAAUAGACAGUGUUACAUAGGUAGAGAAACCUACAAUGAGUACUCAUCACCAUUCUCAAACAGAAACAUAGCAGCGACUUAUACAUAGAACCUAUAGGCUCGCAGGGAAAGAGUAACAUGAUAAGUUCACAGCGGGUAGCAGCUCUUAUUUUACGUAUUACUCAAAAUCUCAAACUAACCAAAGUCACUCAGUUGGGAUGGGUAGGAGAUGGUGGUUUGUGGGGUGGCUUCUGGGUAGGAGCUGGUGGCUUCUUUGUUGGAGUUGAAGGAGGCAUAUUCUUCUGAGGUGGCUUGUAUGACUCUUCGGCACUCUCUGCAGGAGGGUGCCCAGGGUUGUGACCAGAAGGAGGUGGCUUCUGUCCCUUUGGUGGUUUGCCUAAUGGGCUUGGUGGCUUGUGCUCCGGGAGUUGUUUCUCUCCCUCGAGUAGGUUUCGAGUUUUGUCAGAUGGCUUGUGUUCUGGUGGUGGCUUCUCUCCCUGGGGUGGUUUGCCGAAUGGGCUUGGUGGCUUGUGUUCGGGGAGUGGCUUCUCUCCCUGGAGAAGGUUACGAGUUUUGUCAGAUGGCUUUUGUUCUGGUGGCGGCUUCUCUCCCUGGGGUGGUUUGCCAAAUGGGCUUGGUGGCUUGUGUUCGGGAACUGGCUUCUCUCCCUUGGGAGGUUCAUUUGGUGGCUGGUGUUCCGUAGGUGGUUCCUUCACCGGCGGCUUGUGCUCCGGAAGCGGCUUCUCUACCUGGAGAAGCUUACGAGUUUUGUCAGAUGGCUUGUGUUGUGGUGGUGGCUUCUCUCCCGGGGGUGGUUUGCCAAAUGGACUUGGUGGCUUGUGUUCGGGGAGUGGCUUCUCUCCAUGGGGAGGUUUAGUUGGUGGUUGGUGUUGCGUAGGUGGUUUCUGAAGUGGGGGAUGCUUGGGGUAGUCAGCAAUAGACGAGGUAGUGAGAACCACCAGUCCCAACAGCAACACUAGCAAGGAUGUUGAAGACAUCUUUGAGUUCAGGCUGAGAUCUGUGCAAGGAUAAAAGAUUUAGGUGGCCUUUUAUAGAGGGCUGGACCCAACACCCAUAUGACACGUGUCAUGCACUCAUGGUGACACAUAAUUCUAUGGGACCAUUUGGGUCCUACAGAAGUUGCAAAGUUGGACUAUUGAGGUGUGAUCACAACUUUUGUCCUACUUGCUUUCUCUGCGGCCAUUGCACGAUUUCCUUUAGCAUCAUUUUCUUGUCUAAAUAAGCGUAUUAUAUUUGUGGCAGACCGUCCACGUGUCAUAAACAGAUAUAUUAUAAUAAUGUAGUAUGCUUUUCUUCAACGGAACUUGACACUCUUCUAAGUCUUGUUUUAAAUACUGUGCAGGAUUACGUCAUAAGUUGCUUGUUCCAAGUCAAAAUUGGUGGGCAAACGUUGGCCUUUUUUCAUUUUCCCUAAUAUUAAUGCUCACCUGGGAUAGGCACUACAUGAUUUAUCUGCUCUUUUACUGUGAAGUUGCUUUGUGCAUGAGUUACACCUCCCCUGCACACCCUCAACAUUUGUUGCUCUGUUUUUCUUGUGUCCAGACGAGGAUAUUAAUUGGAGGCUGACAAAACGACUGCUAGCCAAGGAUUUACAAGGUCCUGGUUUGAGGCUUUCACGAAAGUAUUUUUGAAAAGAUACACAUAGAGAUUGCGCGUUCGGUGCAAUGCAACAAUGUGAGCCAUUCUGAAGUCUUAAAUUUCAGAUUAAUGAAUGCUACAAAAUUCUAAGAAGGGCCGUUUCCAAAUAUUUGAGUUCAUUCAUCCGAACAUCGGGUAUAUGCUUCUUUCUCUAGCCCCUCCUUGAAGGGAGGAGGGACAAUGUGAUCUGUAUCGUUAGAAGCUAUUCCAUGUCGUCAUCUUUGGGCUCAGUUCAAUACUAAAAGAUAUGGGCGGGGCCCUUAUCAUUUUAUAUUUCUUCUAGAAGGUUUAUUCUGGAAAUCUUUCACAGAAACAUAUCUUUUUCUUCUCUACGUGAUCCGUGGUUUGAAAGUUGGAAAAAUGGGUCCGUUAACAAGCCACCGAGUUGAAAAGUUGGAAAAAUGGCAACACCGCCAACCUCUUGUAUUCGAUAGUUAAAUAAAAGGUCACUGGAAGUGAGAUCCCUUUUGGCCUCUUGAUUUUCAUUCCAGCAUCUCUAUGGCCUGAUAAAUUAAAAAACUAAAAAAAAAGACAGUACGUGGGUUGGUGUUAAGCAUCAAGAGUCAAGACAUGAUAAUGGAGAGAAAGGAUAUUCAAAUUCCAGUUCUGACAACAUGAUUUUCUUUGCUGAACUACCAUAUUAUAUUUGAUCAAGAAAGAGUAGUGCAUGUGGCCAGGAUCAAGACAUACAUUAAUUUCCACAUGAUGAAGACAGUUUCUGAGAGUUUCUUCUAAAGCUCUUGCGCGAGUAGGCUUCAAGUCAAAAUCUCCCAUGUAAACACUGGUUUUUCUUUCAUUGCCACUAAGGAUGCAGUUAAUAUUGACUUAAGAUCCUACGUGAUAUAUUUUUUUAAAAGAGCUAUAUUGUAGAUAAUAUUUGAAAUAAUGUUGAUUCGUUGUGGAAAUAUAUUUGUAAGGAAAGUUGUUGACAAUUUAAUAUAGUAUAAGAAGAAAAAAGUUAUCAACUAGCUAGAGAUGAGUAUGUAAAGUGAGGCUCACGAUUCAACGCGUAAAUAUAAGAUAUUUUAAGGCUCAAUAGUUAUGAUAUCUAUUUUAUUUUUUGUAUCUCAUAUAUUCAAAGAUAUAGUAAAAUGAUUUUACAUAUAUAUAUAUAUAUAUAUAUGAACAUAACUAUUUGUGCCAAUUGAUUUUUAUCUUUAUUUUGUAUAUUAGUAAUUAUAUUAAAGUUUUUACUAAUAUAAUAACUAAUAUAAAAGCUUUUUCUAAAAGAGUCAACAGAGCAAAACACUUAUUAUAAAAAAUAAUUUUGAUUGAAGGUGGAGUCAAUUAUUCUUUAUUUAACAUGUAAUGCAUACGGCGUGUACUUCAUAACUAAAGUAUAUAAGUGUAACAUCUCUUAUAUAUUCUCAUUCAAUCUCGAAAGUGGAAAUUUUAAAAAGAUUAAACGGUUCAAAUUUGUCGUGCAUAAAGGGGAUCAUGUCACAUAAGCAAACCAUGGCAUACCAAAGACAUAGGUAUGGACUAAGAAUUUUUUUCAAAUAAGUUUCUUAUUAGGGUACAUUAAUAGGUGACUUUUUAUGACAUAUCAAAGGAGUCAAGUGCACCAAUAAAAACAUAUAUAGAAAAUUCAUGCAUGACAUGUAUCACUAAGAGAAGAUUGACUUGAUAGAGUUUAAUCCAAAUAGGAGAUUGUUAAAAGGUGUCUCAAAUUCUUGAUUGAUAUAUAUUUUUUUUAUUAAAAAGGUUAUUAUAUAGAUAUUUCAAUAGACUAUUAAUUCUUUGUAAAAAUAGUUAUAUAAUGAGGAUGGUGAUUAAAAAUAUCUCUAUCAAUAUUUUGGAUUAUAAAAAGAAAAAAAAUGAGAUAAUGAUAAACAUAUAAAACUUGUACAAGUAGAUAAAGAUGUGAUGAAAGACACUUGAUGAAUGAAGGCUUUGUAUUUCAAGAUAUAAAUAUAUGGAGCAAAACUCUUAAUUAUAUGAUCAAAUGAUUCUCUCAUAUUCAUGAAUAUAAGCAGGAUUGGGGAACCAUGAUAGAAUCUUAUAUGCCUCUCCAUGUAGAGUGAUCGAUGUUUAUCUUCAUAUUUUACACCAGUGAAUGACAUUGAAACUCUUAUUGAUAAAAGGGAAAAGGCAUGGCCUCCACCCCAAGAAAAACAAGUAACCUCGGUUUAAAUCACUAGUCUACACCCCGAAGAGAGAACUAGCCAAACCUACUAAAAGAGAAACUUAACAAUUUAGAAAGAAACCGUCCAUGAUAAAGGGCCCCUAAAGGUCCAAUUCAGUGAGGUCGUGAACAAAAACACUUUCAUGUCAAAACAGAGAUAGGUACCACCAAAAUGUAAAGGGAAAGAUGUAAACCACGUCGAACUUUGGUAAUCAAUGGUAAAGAUAGCAUGAUAGCUAAAAGCACUAAAGCUGUGCUUGGUAUGCAAAAAUGAAAAGUGGAAAUCAGCGUCUUAUUCUUUUUCACCUUUAUUCACAUAUUAGGAUAACUAAUAUCUAAUGUUUUUUAUGUCUCAAAUUCUAUUCCAUGUUAUGGUAAACUUUCAUCUUGUUUAGAUCACUUUUGUCUGGUUUGGGCUCAAGACGAUAAGCCUAUAGAGACUUCAUAUUGGGUUGAAUCGAUGCCCUUGAUCUGAUCUGUUCGUUAGAAAAAUCUGAAUUAUUAUAAGCAUUUAGAUAAAAAAUAAAUAAAUGUGAAACACAAACUACUCCCUGCACAACCUUGACCCUAGUUACUCAGUUUCACUGCUCACAGGACUAACCUCUCCAUUCAGUCGAAAUGAAUUGUAACAAGAAGAUUUUUGACAGGAGGACGGUAGUUUAAAAUAAUAAUUUCUAAAGUACUUUUGUGAAAAAAAAUAAUUCCAAACGUGGAUUUUAUCAAGUAAAAAGAAAAAAAAAAGUUAUUUUCUUUUAAAAUCUGUUCUUCUAAAGAUGAUAUAUAUACCAAAAAAAAAAAUUGUUUUCUGAAGGUAAAAUUUUUAAAAUUCAUUUUUAAAAAAAUUUACACACUAAAAUUAUCUUUUCAAGAGAAGAUUUUUUUAAUUUUAAAUAAUUAUUAAUUUAUAAUUAAUUUGUUAUUAAUUAUUUAUUAAUUUUUUUAUUUGAAAAAUGCAUUUAUAAAAAACAAAUUUGUUAUUAAUUUAUUAAAUAAUUUUUACAAAAUAAAUAAUUUUUUUUUAUUUUAAUUUUAAAAUUAAUUUUAUUAUAUAAAUUUUAAAAUUAAAAAUAUUAAUAUUUAAUUUAAAAUUUAACUAUAAAAGGAAUAAAAUAUAGAAAAAUAAAUUAAUUUAUUAUUCAAUAAAUUAAUUUUCAAUAAAAUUUUCAGCAUUAAGAGAUAAAUUUUUAAGUAUUAAUCAAUUUAAAAAGAAAUAAUGAUCAUUUGUAUAUUAAGAUAUUUUAUUUAGUAAUUAUGAAUGAUAAACAACUAAAGUAAUUUGAAAAAAUAAUAAAAUAUUUAAAAAAUAAUAAUUUAAUACACGUAAAAUUAGAAAUGAUUAACUAUUUUUUAUUAAGAAAAAAUUGAGGAAAUAUUUUGUUAUUUAAAAUUUUUUAUUUGUUUUCAAUUUUUAAUGUUAUAGGUUUCAAGAAAAUUGAUCAAAUAAAAAUUAAGAAGUCAUUUUUUCAAAAACUAUAUAUCUAAAUAAAAGCCUUGAAAUUCAAAUACACAAUAUCAUAAAUAUAAACACCAAGUCAAUCCUUAAUUAUCAAAUGUUUUUAAUAUUAAAGAAUCAAAAUCACCUACUAUCAUGAUAAUAAGAAAACCAAUAAUAUUGUUCAUAUAAAUACUAAAAAGCUAACAAAUAUCCCAAACAAUUAAUAAAGUAUCAAACAUGAUAAAAAGUCAAUUAUUAUCAUGAAUGCAAAAAAUCAAUAAUUUUGUUUAUAUGAACCAUCAACAAAGAAAAAAAAAAUCAAUAUCUAAAUAUUAAACAUAAUUUAUAUUUUUAUAAAUAUUAUUGUUGAUAAAUAUCUUAACAAUUAUAAUUUUAGUAAAUAAAAUUAAUUAAUUUUAGUUUAAGAAUUAUUUUUUUAUACUUUCGUAUUCUUAUCAAAAAUCCCCAUUUUGCAUGUCUCCUUUGGCAUGACUUUCUUACCUAAACAAGCAUAUAUAUAUAUAUAUAUAUAUAAAAUAUUUGGUUAAGAAAGAGUACUAAAGUUUAUAUGGCACACAUCAAGAUAGAAACAGAAGUGGAAGAUAAUCCAAAUGUAUGAACAGAUAUAUUAUAUCCAUGUAGUGGUAGUGACUUCAUUAUUUACUUUUAUCUAAUGGAGCAUGACACACUUCUUCUGAAUAUUUUGCACGAUUAUGUUAUGUGUCAGCUUGUUCUAAGUCAAAACUAGUGAUAAAAAUCGGUUUUUUUUGCAUUUCCUUCAUGAAGAUGGCACCUGGAUGGGGCACUACAUGAGUGGCAUAGCACGAAGUGAUUUAUCUGCUCCCUUUACUAUAAAGUGCUUUGUGUAUAAGUUACACCUCCCCUGCACUGCCUCAACAUUUGUUGUUCUGUCUUCCGUCUGUCCAAACGAGGACAAACGUAUGUUGUAGGUUGACAAAACCACAGCUAGCCUAGGAUUUGCAAGGAUCUAGUUUGAUUCGUAUGCAAAAGGAUUGGUGAAAAGAUUCACAAAGAUAAUGCUUUUUGCAAUGCAAUCUUGUUCUAAUUCAACAGUGUGGACCAUUUUCAUGUAAUGCUUCAACUAGAUGUCAGUUUCAUGAAUUUUUGUUCAUCUAAUUGAUCACUGGAUAGGCCAUAACCCGAAGAAAUUCAAAAUUCCCUUCAGUACUGUAGCUAAGGAAAGAUCCCUAUCUACCACUGGGAUUUUAAGAGGGUAAAAAUGUAGGUGGGUGCCUAUAUCAUUUGCACUUCACUAUAGGCCUCUUUGGGAAGAUUUCUUCUGAAGACAUUUCAAAGAAACAUAUUUUUCUCUUCUCUCCGUAAACGGCAGCUGCAAGUCAGUCCAUUCACAGGCCACCGAGUUGAAAAGGCUGGAAAAUUGGCCAAAGCACCCGCCUCCUGGAUUCCAUGGGUAAGGAAAAGGUCACUGGAGGUGUGAUCCCUGUUGGCCUCUUGAUUUCCAUUCCGCCAUCUAUAUGACCUGAUAACCCAAAAACACAGAAGGAAAACGUCACCUGGGUUCAUAGUAAGCAUCAAGUCAUGAUAGAGACCAGACAACAUGACCAACAAAGAGUAGCGAAUGGGGCCAACAUCAAGCCCCAUUACGGUUAGAAGAUGGAAGAAGUAGAAGACAAUCCAAUUCUGAUAGAUUCGGGCAAAUGUAGUGCUGUUCAAACUUAAUCAUUUACUAUUUCUUCAUGAAUCACGGCAUUUUUCUUCUGAAAAUUUUCCAAGAUUAGGCCUCUGAAGAAAAAUUUCAUAUGUAAAUUGGUAUAUUAAGGAAAAGGCGUUACAAAGGUGAAAAAAAACCAAUCAAAUCUUAUAUAUGACAUCUCAAAAAUAUGAACUUGCUAUAAAUAUUUAAAAUCAAAAUCUUGCACAUCACCUCGUAGUACGAACUUGCUAUAAAACUUGAAAAUCAAGAAGAAAGGGGCAGUAUUGGACGAGACUACUUAGCACAUAUUAUUAUGAUGUUUUUUCAUUUUCUUAAUGUUGUUUUUAUGUCUUAAAUUCUAUUAUUCUAUGUUACGGUAAACAUUCAUCUUGUUUGUGUGGAAUAGGAUCACUUUUCUCUGGGUUGAGUCGAUGCCCUUAGUUAAUUUGUUCAUUUGAAUAAACUAAAUUAUUAUAAGUAUUUAGAUAAGAAAAACGUGAUACAUAAAUUACGCCUCUCGGCACAACUUCAACACUGGUUACUCUGUUUCAGUUUCCUCACACAAGAUUAUUGGUUCUAGGGUUUAUUUGGUUUUGGUUUGAUUCUAAUUGCUAAACUUUCUCAAGGAAGAUGUUAUAUAGGGAGUGAGAAACCUUCACUCUUGGCUACCUCCAAGAGAAGAGCAAGUGGUCUGAAUCAAAGAUAUACUGCUCACUUUUUCUUCUUCUAAGGACAGCUAUGACCUUGCUUUAAGGUUCGAAUAGCCUAAUGCAACCUCCCAUUUCUCAAGUCAGCUGAUGAUGUAAGUCACCUUGGCUUUCCACAUUCAUACGGUGAGGACGUUUGUGGGUGUAAUUCUCUUAACAGUUUUCAUUUUAUAUGGAAAAAUUCAUAAUUAAGGGUAAUUACUGAUUCCAUUUGACAGUGACCAAGUUUAAAAUAUUAAUUCAUAUAUUAAAUGCACAUUAAAAAAUCAUGGAAUAAAUAUAUUUACUAAUAUAUAGUUCUUUUGCCAUGUUCUGUCACAGAAGCAUCGAACUUUCCCUAGAAAUUUUUGCAUGGUAUUCUACUUAUGAUUUUGAAAACUCUAGGCACCUGAGGCCACUAAUUGCAUGGUUGGAUGAGGAGCUGCAUGAGAUUAUGUAUCGUGUUGUUCCUUAACUACAAAUAUCAGUUUUAAGUAGCAUCUCCAUGUGACAUUUUCCUGAUGCAAUUUCGCUGUCCACCAACAAAUUUCACCAUGCAGCAAGAUGAAUUGUAAUUUCUUUAUUGUUAUCAACAGCUUUAAUUAAUCUUGAUAUAUAUAUAUAACUUAGUAGAAGUAUAUUAAUCUAGAUUGUAGUUGCACUAAGAUAAUAGGCAAUAUUAUAACAGUGCCACAAUGCUCAUCGCCAAAUAGAAAGGUAGAAAAACUACAAUGAGUAACUCACAACAUUCUCAAACAGGACAUAGCGGCGACUGAUACAUAGAACACUAUUGGCACUCAGGAAAUGAUAAGAUCAGUGCCCAGCAGGCAGCACGUCUUAUUUUACAUACUACUUAAAACUAACCAAAGUCAUUCAGUUGGGAUGGGUGGGAGAUGGUGGUUUGUGCGGUGGCUUUUGGGUAGUUGGUGGCUUCUUUCCUGGAACUGAUGGUUUUUUUGUUGGAGUUGAAGGAGGCUUAAUCGUCUGAGGUGGCUUGUAUGAGUCUUCAGCACUCUCUGCGGGAGGGUGCCCAGGGUUGUGACCAUAAUGGGGUGGCUUCUCUCCCUUAGUUGGUUUGCCAAGUGGGCUGGCUGGCUUGUGCUCCGGGAGCGGCUUCUCUCCCUUAGGUGGUUUGCCAAAUGGGCUUGCUGGCUUGUGCUCUGGGAGCGGCUUCUCUCCCUCAAGAAGUUUACGGGUUUUGUCAGAUGGCUUGUGUUCUGGUGGUGGCUUCUCUCCUUGGGGUGGUUUGCCAAAUGGACUUGGUGGCUUGUGUUCGGGGAGUGGCUCCUCUCCCUUGGGAGGUUUAGUUGGUGGCUGGUGUUCCAUAGGUGGUUUCUCAACCGGGGGCUUGUUCUCCGUUGGUGGUUUAUGAACUGGGGGAUGCUUGGGGUAGUCAGCAAGAGACGGGGUGGUGAGAACCACCAGUCCCAGCAGCAACACUAGCAAGUAUGUGGAAGAGUACAUCUUUGAGUUCAGGCUGAGAUUUGUGCGAGACUUGAAGAAUUAGGUGGCCUUUUAUAGCUGGCUGCACCCAACACUCACAUGACACGUAUCAUGGUGACACAUGUGCUAUGGGUCCAUUUGGGUCCUACAGAAGCUGAAAACUUUUGACUAUUGAGGUGUGGUCACAACUUUUGUCCCUAUUGCUUUCUCCGCAACCGUUUUACAUGUUUCCUUUGGCAUAAUUUUCUAAGCUAAACAAGCAUAUAUCAUAUUUGGUUAAGAAAGAGUAAAGUGUAUAUGGCACACAUCAAGGAAGAGAAACAGAAAAAGUGGGAGACAAUCAAUUGUGAUAAACAGAUAUAUUAUAUUCAUGUAGUACUAGUGACUUUAUCAUUUACUUUUAUCCAAUAGAUCAUCACUCUUUCUUCUAAAUAUUUUGGAGGAUAAUGGUACAUGUUGCUUGUUUCCAAGUCAAAAUUGGUGGCAAAAAUCGGCAUGAUACGAAAGGAUUGGUGAAAAGAUUCACAUAGAUGGUGCUUUGUGCAAUGCAGUCUUGCUCUAAUUCAACAGAGUGGACCAUGGUGAUGUAUUUUAAAUUUUAAAUUUUAAAUUAAUGCAUGCUUCAAAGUUUUAACUAGAUGUCACUUCCAUGGAUUUUUGUUCAUUUAAUUGAGCACAGGAUAGGCUAUCAAACUUGAAGUAAUAUAAAAAUCCCUUCAUUACUGUAACUAAUGAAAGAUCAUUAUCUGCGCUUGGUAUUUUGCCAAGGUAUUUGCUGCUCUUUCUAGCCCUGUCUUACAGUUAAGGACAAUGUGAUCUAGUUAACCUUAGAAGCUAUUCCAUGUCAGAUACAAGAGAUCAAGCACAUUAUCUUUGGGCUCAGUUCAAAACUAUAAUAUAUGGGUGGGGUGGAGGCCCAUAUCAUUUGCAUAUCACCACUAUUGGUUUAGUUUGGAAGGUUUCUUCUGGAAGAUUGCUGCUUUCUGGAAUCAUUUCAAAGAAAUAUAUCUUUUUGUUCUCUUGGUGACGAGCAGCGGCAAUCAAGUCUGUUGACAAACAACCGAGUUGAAAAGUUUGAAAAUUGGUCACAGCCCACGUCCAUGGUUAAGGAAAAGGUCACUGGAAGUGAUCCCUUCUGGGCCUCUUGAUUUCCAUUCUGACAUCUAUAUGACCUGAUAAAUAGAAAGAAAAAAAAACAGAAGAAAAGCGGCACCCGGGUUCAUAGUAAGCAUCAAGACAGGAUACUGAAAGAAGGGAGAAAGGAGAUUGCAAGUCCAAUCCUGAUAAAAUGAUCAACAAAGAGUAUCAAAAUGGGGCCAACAUAAAGACCCAUUGAGGUUAGCAGAUGGCAUGGCAUUUUUCUCCUUAAGUUUUCCAUGAUUAGACUUGAAGUCAAAAUUUCACAUGUAAAUUUGUAUUUCUACAUUUCCCACUGACGACACCCAACUUCAACUUGAGUUAGAAUAACAUUGUGUGAACUUAUCUGGCCCUCAAAAUUUACUGUGAAGUGCUUUCUGCGUGUGAAGAUUCAGAAAAGCACCAAGGGAACAUGUAUGGUCUGCCUUUUUCUGAUGUUAUGUUUGUCUCUAAUUCUGUUCCAUGUCAUGGUAAAUGUUCACAUUGCUUGUAUGGAACACACCAGGAUCACUUUUUCGGGUUUAUUUUGAGGCUUCAUAUUGGGUUCAUAUUGGGUUCAAUGCUUUUAAUGUGUUCAUUAGACAAAUCUGAAUUAUCAUAUGCAUUUAGAUAAGAACAAUAAUGUGAAACCCUAGUUACACCUCCCCUGCAUAACCCCAACCCUGCUUACUCUAUUUCAGUUUACUCACACAAGUUUUACCGGUUCUUAUAAGUCAAGAAAAGGCAACUGAUGUUGGAUUGACUCUCUUCCAUGUAUAAAAAGCAACUUUUAUAUAUACAUAAAAUAACUUCUUCCCCUCACCAAUGUGGGAUAUCAUGGAUUUAUUCUGGAAACACAUCAAAGGAACAUCUUUUCUCUUGGGUGACCCUAAGUGGUGAGUCAGACCAUUUGCAUGCCAUUGAGUUGCACAGUUGGAUAAAUGCACCUACCUCCUGGGCUCCAGAGUUAAAAGGGUGGAUCCCUGGAUCGCAACCCUCUUGGCAUCUUGGUUUCCAUUCCAACAUCCACAUGACUUGACAAAACAAAAAACAGAAUAAAAUCAUCACUAUUUUCAUGCUAAGCACCAAUACAUGAUGGAAAUCAUUGCUUAAAGAUUUGGGGUCAUUUAGGUUUUGACUGCCUCCUAACACCUCACCUAAUCACAAGUUUUUAUGCUUACAAAUCAAAUAUCGUUCUUCAUUAUAUUAAAAUCAUUUUAAGAUUUCAGAUCCAUCUGCUAAUUAUGAUUAUGAUAACAUUAAUUCACCUGUGCUUCUCAUUUUCGACACACAAGGCAUCUAGGUUUGCAGGAUUUCCUUAUUAGAUGAGAUAAAUGAGUACGCAUGGUUAUGUAUGCAGCAUUCAUUAACCAUGGUAUGUGACAUUUAGAAUUAAGAUAGCAAGCAAACUUUCCCUGCAGCUUGAGUAAAUUGUGAUUUCUUAGCCUCUAUGAGUGGUUCCCAAAUCAAAUUAACAUAGUGAAAUAUACGUAGUCCAGUGAAAGGAAAUGUAAAUUAUAAACUAACAGCACUACACUACUGGUAACACUCGAUACUCUCUAUAUAAUGCAAUGAAAUAUACGUUAUACGUUGCUUGUUCCAAGUCAAAAUUUGUGGCCAAACGUUGGCCUUUUUUCAUUUUCCCUAAGAUUAAUGCUCACCUGGGAUAGGCACUACAUGAUUUAUCUGCUCUUUUACUGUAAAGUUGCUUUGUGUAUGAGUUACACCUCCCCUGCACACCCUCAACAUUUGUUGCUCUGUUUUCCUUGUGUCCAGACGAGGAUAUUAAGUGGGGGCUGACAAAACGACUGCUAGCCAAGGAUUUACAAGGUCCUGGUUUGACGCUUCCGCGAAAGUAUUUUUGAAAAUAUACACAUAGAGAUUGCGCGUUCGGUGCAAUGCAACAAUGUGAGCCAUUCUGAAGUUUUUAAUUUCAGAUUAAUGAAUGCUACAAAAUUCUAAGAAGGGCCGUUUCCAAAUAUUUGAGUUCAUUUAUCCGAACAUCGGAUAAGUAAUGAUCAUAGAUUAUUAUUAUUAUCUGACGUUCUUAUAAUGGUUGGCAUUAUAAGAGGGUAUAUGCUUCUUUCUCUAGCCCCUCCUUCAAGGGAGGGACAAUGUGAUCUGUAUCGUUAGAAGCUAUUCCAUGUCGUCAUCUUUUGGCUUAAGUCAAUACUAAAAUAUAUGGGCGGGGCCCCUGUCAUUUUAUAUUUCUUCUAGAAGGUUUGUUCUGGAAAUCUUUCACCGAAACAUAUCUUUUUCUUCUCUACGUGAUCCGUGGUUGGAAAGUUAGAAAAAUGGGUCCGUUCACAAGCCACCGAGUUGAAAAGUUGGAAAAAUGGCAACACCGCCAACCUCUUGUAUUCGAUAGUUAAAUAAAAGGUCACUGGAAGUGAGAUCCCUUUUGGCCUCUUGAUUUUCAUCCCAGCAUCUCUAUGUCCUGAUAAACUAAAAAACUAAAAAAAAAACAGUACGUGGGUUGGUGUUAAGCAUCAAGAGUCAAGACAUGAUAAUGGAGAGAAAGGAUAUUCAAAUUCCAGUUCUGACAACAUGAUUUUCUUUCCUGAACAACCAUGUUAUAUUUGAUCAAGAAAGAGUAGUGCAUGUGGCCAGGAUCAAGACAUACAUUAAUUUCCACAUGAUGAAGACAGUUUCUGAGAGUUUCUUCUAAAGCUCUUGCGCUAGUAGGCUUCAAGUCAAAAUUUCCCAUGUAAACACUGGAUUUUCUUUAAUUGCCACUAAGGAUACAGUUAAAAUUGACUUAAAAUCCUACGUGAUAUAUAUCUUUAACAAAAGUAUAUUGUAUAUAAUAUUUGAAAUAAUGUUGAUUCGUUGUGGAAAUAUGUUUGUAAGGAAAGUUGUUGACAAUUUAAUAUAGUAUAAGAAGAAAAAAGUUAUCAACUAGAGAUGAGUAUGUAAAGUGAGGCUCACGAUUCAACGCGUAAAUAUAAGAUAUUUUAAGGCUCAAUAGUUAUGAUAUCUAUUUUAUUUUUUGUAUCCCAUAUAUUCAAAGAUACAGUAAAAUGAUUUUAUAUAUAUGAACAUAGCCGAUAGUAUCAUGUUAAAACCUUAUAUGACUCUUUGUGCCAAUUGAUUUUUAUCUUUAUUUUGUGUAUUAGUAAUUAGUAUUAAAGUUUUUACUAACAUAAUAAUUGAUAUAAAAGCUUUUUCCAAAAGAGUCAAACAGAGCAAAACACUUAUUAUAAAAAGAAUUUUGAUUGAAGGUGGAGUCAAUUAUUCUUUAUUCAACAUGUGAUGCAUACAGCGGGUACUUCAUAACUAAAGUAUAUAAGUGCAACAUCUCUUAUACAUUCUCAUUCAAUCUCGAAAGUGGAAAAUUUUAAAAGAUUAAAUGGUUCAAAUUUUCCGUGCAUAAAGGGGAUCAUGUCACAUAACCAAACCAUGGCAUACCAAAGCCAUGAUAUGGACUAAGAAUUUUGUUAAAAUAAGUUUCUUAUUAGGGCACAUUAUGUGACUAUUUAUGACAUAUCAAAGGAGUCAAGUGCAUCAAUAAAGACAUAGAAAAUUCAUGCAUCACAUGUACCACUAAGAGAAAAUUGACUUGAUAGAGUUUAGUCCAAAUAGGAGAUUGUUAAAAGGUGCAUCAAAUUCUUGAUUGAUAUAUAUUUUUUUUAUUAGAAAGGUUAUUAUAUAGAUAUUUCAAUAGACUAUUAAUCCUUUGUAAAAAUAGUUAUAUAAUGAGGAUGGUGAUUAAAAAUAUCUCUAUCAAUAUUUUGGAUUAUAAAAAGAAAAAAAAUAUGAGAAAAUGAUAAACAUAUAAAACUUGUACAAGUAGAUAGAGAUGUGAUGAAAGACACUUGAUGAAUGGAGGCCUUGUAUUUCAAGAUGUAAAUAUAUGGAGCAAAACUCUUAAUUAUAUGAUCAAAUGAUUCUCUCAUAUUCAUGAACAUAAGCAGGAUUGGGGAACCAUGAUAGAAUCUUAUAUGCCUCUCCAUGUAGAUUGAUCGAUGUUUAUCUUCAUAUUUUACACCAAUGAAUGACAUUGAAACUCUGAUUGAUAAAAGGGAAAAAGCAUGGCCUCCACCACAAGAAAAACAAGUAACCUCGGUCUAAAUCACUAGUCUACACCCCGAAGAGAGAACUAGCCAAACCUACUAAAAGAGAAACUUACCAAUUUAGAAAGAAAUCUUCCAUGAUAAAGGGCCCCUAAAAGUCCAAUUCAGUCAGGUUGUGAACAAAAACACCUUCAUGUCAAAACAGGAAUAGGUACCACCAAAAUGUAAAGGGAAAGAUGUAAACCAAGUCGAACUUUGGUAAACAAUGGUAAAGAUAGCAUGAUAGCUAAAAGCACUAAAGCUGUGCUUGGUAUGCAAAAAUGAAAAGUGGAAAUCAGCGUCUUAUUCUUUUUCUCCUUUAUUCACAUAUUAGGAUAACUAAUAUCUAAUGUUUUUUUUAUGUCUCAAAUUCUAUUCCAUGUUAUGGUAAACUUUCAUCUUGUUUAAGUGGAAGAGUAGGAUCACUUUUGUCUGGUUUGGGCUCAAGACGAUAAGCCUAUAGAGACUUCAUAUUGGGUUGAAUUGAUGCCCUUGAUCCGAUCAGUUCGUUAGAAAAAUCUGAAUUAUUAUAAGCAUUUAGAUAAAAUAAAUAAAUAAAUGUGAAACAGAGACUAUUCUCUGCACAACCUUGACCCUAGUUACUCAGUUUCACUGCUCACGGGACUAACCUCUCCAUUCAGUCGAAAUGAAUUGUAAUUUCUUUACUGGUAGCAGUAGUACUUUUCAUAGCAAAGAUAAUAGUAAAUAUGAAAUAUAAAUAUAUAGAAGGAAAUCUGGAUUGUAGAUAGCACCAUAAGUAACACUCAAUAUUUACUACAUAAUAAAAGAGAUAGUGUUACAAAGGUAGAGAAACCUACAAUGAGUACUCAUCACCAUUCUCAAACAGAAACAUAGCAGUGACUUAUACAUAGAACCUAUAGGCUCGCAGGGAAAGAGUAACAUGAUAAGUGCACAGCGGGUAGCAGCUCUUAUUUUACGUAUUACUCAAAAUCUCAAACUAACCAAAGUCACUCAGUUGGGAUGGGUAGGAGAUGGUGGUUUGUGGGGUGGCUUCUGGGUAGGAGCUGGUGGCUUCUUUGUUGGAGUUGAAGGAGGCGUAAUCUUCUGAGGUGGCUUGUAUGAGUCUUUGGCACUCUCUGCAGGAGGGUGCCCAGGGUUGUGACCGGAAGGAGGUGGCUUCUGUCCCUUUGGUGGUUUGCCUAAUGGGCUUGGUGGCUUGUGCUCCGGGAGUUGUUUCUCUCCCUCGAGUAGGUUUCGAGUUUUGUCAGAUGGCUUGUGUUCUGGUGGUGGCUUCUCUCCCUGGGGUGGUUUGCCGAAUGGGCUUGGUGGCUUGUGUUCGGGGAGUGGCUUCUCUCCCUUGGCAGGUUCAGUUGGUGGCUGGUGCUCCGUAGGUGGUUUCUUCACCGCCGGCUUCUCUCCCUGGAGAAGGUUACGAGUUUUGUCAGAUGGCUUCUGUUCUGGUGGCGGCUUCUCUCCCUGGGGUGGUUUGCCAAAUGGGCUUGGUGGCUUGUGUUCGGGAACUGGCUUCUCUCCCUUGGCAGGUUCAGUUAGUGGCUGGUGUUCCGUAGGUGGUUUCUUCACCGGCGGCUUGUGCUCCGGAAGCGGCUUCUCUACCUGGAGAAGCUUACGAGUUUUGUCAGAUGGCUUGUGUUGUGGUGGUGGCUUCUCUCCCUGGGGUGGUUUGCCAAAUGGACUUGGUGGCUUGUGUUCGGGGAGUGGCUUCUCUCCAUUGGGAGGUUUAGUUGGUGGUUGGUGUUCCGUAGGUGGUUUCUGAAGUGGGGGAUGCUUGGGGUAGUCAGCAAGAGACGAGGUAGUGAGAACCACCAGUCCCAGCAGCAAUACUAGCAAGGAUGUGGAAGACAUCUUUGAGUUCAGGCUGAGAUUUGUGCAAGGCUAGAAGAAUUAGGUGGCCUUUUAUAGCGGGCUGGACCCAACAACCAAAUGACACGUAUCAUGAUACACAUAUGUGUUAUAAGAUCCUUGUGGGUCCUACAGAAGUUGAAAACUUUGACAAUUGAGGUGUGAUUACAACUUUUGUCCCUAUUGCUUUCUCGUCAGCCGUUUUGCAAGAUUUUUGACAGGAGGACGGUAGUUUAAAAUAAUAAUUUCUAAAGUACUUUUGUGAAAAAAAAUAAUUCCAAACGUGGAUUUUAUCAAGUAAAAAAAACAAAAAAAAGUUAUUUUCUUUUAAAAUCUUUUCUUCAUGAUUCAUAUACCAAAAAAAGAAUUGUUUUCUGUAGGUAAAAUUUUUAAAAUUCAUUUUUAAAAAAAAAAAAUUACACACUAAAAUUAUCUCUUCAAGAAAAUAUUUUUUAAAUUUUAAAUAAUUAUUAAUUUAUAAUUAAUUUUUUAUUAAUUAUUUAUUAAAUUUAUAUGUGAAAAAUGCAUUUAUAAAAAACAAAUUUUUUAUUAAUUUAUUAAAUAAUUAUUUACAAAAUAAAUAAUUUUGCUUUAUUUUAAUUUUAAAAUUAAUUUUAUUAUAUAAAUUUUAAAAUUAAAAAUAUUAAUAUUUAAUUUAAAAUUUAACUAUAAAAGGAAUAAAAUAUAGAAAAAUAAAUUAAUUUAUUAUUCAAUAAAUUAAUUUUCAAUAAAAUUUUCAGCAUUAAGAGAUAAAUUUUUAAGUAUUAAUCAAUUUAAAAAAUAAUAAUAAUCAUUUGUAUACUAAGAUAUUUUAUUUAGUAAUUAUGAAUGAUAAACAACUAAAGUAAUUUGAAAAAAUAAUAAAAUAUUUAAAAAUAAUAAUUUAAUACACUUAAAAUUAGAAAUGAUUAACUAUUUUUUAUUAAGAAAAAAUUGAAGAAAUAUUUUGUUAUUUAAAAUUUUUUAUUUGUUUUCAAUUUUAAAUGUUAUAGGUUUCAAGAAAAUUGAUCAAAUAAAAAUUAAGAAGUCAUUUUUUCAAAAACUAUAUAUCUAAAUAAAAGCCUUGAAAUUCAAAUACACAAUAUCAUAAAUAUAAACACCAAGUCAAUCCUUAAUUAUCAAAUGUUUUUAAUAUUAAAGAAUCAAAAUCACCUACUAUCAUGAUAAUAAGAAAACCAAUAAUAUUGUUCAUAUAAAUACUAAAAAGCUAACAAAUAUCCCAAACAAUUAAUAAAGUAUCAAACAUGAUAAAAAGUCAAUUAUUAUCAUGAAUGCAAAAAAUCAAUAAUUUUGUUUAUAUGAACCAUCAACAAAGAAAAAAAAAAUCAAUAUCUAAAUAUUAAACAUAAUUUAUAUUUUUAUAAAUAUUAUUGUUGAUAAAUAUCUUAAUAAUUAUAAUUUUUUAUAUAUUAAAUUUAGUAAAUAAAAUUAAUUAAUUUUAUAAUAUAAGAUAUAUAUAAUAAUUAAGAGACUAUUUGUCCCAAACAAUUUAUUUAUUUUUUUUUUAGGAAAUUGUCUCUUCAAGAGACGACUUCUCCCAACAUUUUUAAAAAAAAAAAAAAAAACAUCUAUUCAAAAGACGAUUUCUCCUCAUUUUUUAAAAAUGAAUUUUAGAAAUCAUAUUUUCAAAAAUGAAUUUUAGAAAUCAUAUUUUCAAAAGACGAUUUUUUUUUAUAUAAAUUAUUUUUUAAAAUGACGAUUUUAAAAGGAAAUAACGAUCUCUCUCCUACUUGGCAAAAACUAUGGUAAAUUUGGAAUUAUUUCUUCCACAACCAUAGUUUAAGAAUUAUUUUUUUAUACUUUCGUAGACUUAUCAAAAAUCCCUAUUUUGCAUGUCUCAUUUGGCAUGACUUUCUUACCUAAACAAGCAUAUAUAUAUAUAUAUAUAUAUAUAUCACUUUUGUCUGGGUUGAGUCAAUGCCCUUAACUAAUUUGUUCAUUUGAAUAGUCUAAAUUAUUAUAAGCUUUUAGUUAAGAAAAAUGUGAAACAUAAAUUACACCUCUCGGCACAACUUCGACACUGGUUACUCUGUUUCAGUUUAUUCACACAAGAUUAUUGGUUCUAGGGUUUAUUUGGUUUUGGUUUGAUUCUAAUUGCUAAACUUUCUCAAGGAAGAUGUUAUAUAGGGAGUGAGAAACCUUCACUCCUGGCUACCUCCAAGAGAAGAGCAAGUGGUCUGAAUCAAAGAUAUACUGCUCACUUUUUCUUCUUCUAAGGACAGCUAUGACCUUGCUUUAAAAUGUUCGAAUAGCCUAAUGCAACCUCCCAUUUCUCAAGUCAGCUGAUGAUGUAAGUCACCUUGGCUUUCCACAUUCAUACGGUGAGGACGUUUGUGGGUGUAAUUCUCUUAACAGUUUUCAUUUUAUAUGGAAAAAUUCAUAAUUAAGGGUAAUUACUGAUUCCAUUUGACAGUGACCAAGUUUAAAAUAUUAACUCAUGUAUUAAAUGCACAUUAAAAAAUCAUGGAAUAAAUAUAUUUACUAAUAUAUAGUUCUUUUGUCAUGUUCUGUCACAGAAGCAUCGAACUUUCCCUAGAAAUUUUUGCAUGGUAUUCUGCUUAUGAUUUUGAAAACUCUAGGCACCUAAGGCCACUGAUUGCAUGGUUGGAUGAGGAGCUGCAUGAGAUUAUGUAUCCUGUUGCUCCUUAACUACAAAUAUCAGUUUUAAGUAGCAUCUCCAUGUGACAUUUUCCUGAUGCAAUUUCGCUGUCCACCAACAAAUGUCUCCAUGCAGCUAGAUGAAUUGUAAUUUCUUUGUUGUUAUCAACAGCUUUAAUUAAUCUUGAUAUAUAUAUAACUUAGUAGAAGUAAUUAAUCUAGAUUGUAGUUGCACUAAGAUAAUAGGCAAUAUUAUAACAGUGCCACAAUGCUCAUCGCCAAAUAGAAAGGUAGAAAAACUACAAUGAGUAACUCACACAACAUUCUCAAACAGGACAUAGCGGCGACUGAUACAUAGAACACUAUUGGCACUCAGGAAAUGAUAAGAUCAGUGCCCAGCAGGCAGCACGUCUUAUUUUACAUACUACUUAAAACUAACCAAAGUCAUUCAGUUGGGAUGGGUGGGAGAUGGUGGUUUGUGCGGUGGCUUCUUUCCUGGAACUGGUGGUUUUUUUGUUGGAGUUGAAGGAGGCUUAAUCGUCUGAGGUGGCUUGUAUGAGUCUUCAGCACUCUCUGCAAGAGGGUGCCCAGGGUUGUGACCAUAAUGAGGUGGCUUCUCUCCCUUAGGUGGUUUGCCAAGUGGGCUGGCUGGCUUGUGCUCCGGGAGCGGCUUCUCUCCCUUAGGUGGUUUGCCAAAUGGGCUUGCUGGCUUGUGCUCUGGGAGCGGCUUCUCUCCCCCAAGAAGUUUGCGGGUUUUGUCAGAUGGCUUGUGUUCUGGUGGUGGCUUCUCUCCUUGGG